This 100505-nucleotide long non-coding RNA is filed under the name Vitis vinifera (wine grape). Its description in RNAcentral is "long non-coding RNA (VVIN_LNC003057)". Lineage: Eukaryota; Viridiplantae; Streptophyta; Magnoliopsida; Vitales; Vitaceae. The record is from RNAcentral.
AGAAGGAGGCCUUUAUAUCAUCGACCAGAUCAGGAUUAUUUGAAUUUAGUAAGGUCCUGCUAUUGUUUUAUUCUCUUGCACAAACUAUUCUUCAAAAUAUGUUACCAUGACAUAGAUAAACUUUUCAUUUGCUUAACAUUGUUCAAAGGGCUUGACAUUGCUCAACAUUAUCUGAGCUUUUCUCCUACAGAUGCUUCUUUGGCAUGGCAAUGCAACCAGACUUAAGGCGAUGGCACUCACUUACAUACUCUGCAAGAGCCCACAAUGGAAAAAUAUUCCUGUGAUCUGCAUAGUGUAACAUGCAGUUUUUCAUGAAGGCUCCAGUGAUUUCCUGCCAUAGAUAAUUGAUGAUCAAAUGGUUAGACUACCACCCAGUAUAUAUAGUCAGCUACAAAAGAACAUCAUUUUCCAUUUCCCAAAUCCAUGUUAAAAUGUUACUUCUUUCGUUUUUUAUUCAUGUUCAAGUGAGCUACCUGUUGGGGAAAAUCACCAUCUUCCAUUUGGGAAUUAAUUAACAGCUUUGCAGCCCUGUAAAGAGGUGUUGGGUCUCUCUCCGCCUGUUAGAAAGGAAAGGUUAGACUCAGAUGUUUGGGGAUAAGCCAUAUUGUGAAAAUAACGUAGAAGACCAAGUUAAGCUUGUUGAUGGUGGAACUGUACAAACUGACCUGACCAGAAGAAAGCAGCCCCAUCAGAGCCCACCCGGUUUGUACCAGAUUUGACUUGUUUCCUUCAAGAGGUGUAUGUUUCUGUAUCACCAAGCACAAGGAUUACUUGUUUUUGUGCAUGUUUCUACCAGAAAACAGAGCAGUGGGUGGCAUGUAAGAAUUACCUUGUCCUGGCAAGAAAUAUAGCUCUCUCCCCAACCACCAUCAUCUCUUUGUGAUUUGAGUAGAAACUCAACAGCUCUACCAAUAGCAAGACAGUUGUGGUAAGUCCUGCCAGCAGCUGUUAGGCCCCCAAGUGCAAACCAUGAGCCAUAGGUGAAACAUACUCCCCAAAUGCCUCUUUGUUUAAAUGGAUUUGCACUGCAUAUAUAAAAAAAGAUUUCCCCAGUGAAAUAGUAAUAGUGGAGUUGAGAAACAUACCAUGAGCCAUCAGGCAUUUGUUGGUCUUCAAUGUACUUGGUAGCAUUUGUGAUGAAAUUGUCUAUCUCCUUCGUCCUGUGUCGGGGGUAUAACUUCUUAAACAAAACCAGAGCCUGAAUUGCUGAUGCAGUGCACUCAACAUACCUGGAUCAUCGUUUUGUUAGUCUCCAAGGAAGUUAAAGCUAGUAGAGUUAGAAAAAAAAGCUGAUCUAUUAUCAAGAAUUUUACUCAUGCUCGAUGACAAUGUCUUCAAACAUUUCAGAGGGGUUGAGCAGCUGAAAAGAGAAGGGAUUGACAUUGAUUUAGAUUCAAAGAAUACAGAGAGAGAGAGAGAGAGAGAGAGAGAGAGAGAGAGAGAGAGAGAUAAAACGGAAACAUUAAAGUUACUUAAACAAGUUGAAGUAAUGUACCUCCAACCAUUCUGAAGCUCCUGCAGGCUCCCAGAUUGCUAAACCACCAUUUUUACUCUGCAGUGGUUUUGAAAACAAGGGUUAUUGAUACUAAGAAGUUAUAACCUGUUUUGUGAUGGGGACAACCAUGGAAUGGCCCAAGGAAGAUGAUUCUCACCUGUAGGGAAAGCAGGAUGUUGACAGAAUCAAAUAGUCGUUCGGGUUCCAUCUUCAUACCAACAAUUUCUGGUGCCAUCAUUGAAAAGAGAAGACAACACUGUAACAGAGGGGACUUCAGUGAGAAACCAAGUGACUUUAGUUAAUCUGCAAGCCCUGACUCAAUUAAGUGUUUGAACAGAAAAAGUUACCUUCAAACCUUCUGCAGUGCAAUCAGAAACUUGCCAACCAUGAUCCUGAUCUGAGAAUGUCCACGAACCUUUGGAAAUGUGGCGAUACAUGCUUUUAAAGUCACCAGAAGGAUUGUCCUUGACCUUCAAGAUUUCAAGCAGUAUGAAGUAAAUAGACCAUGAGAAACCCAAGUAGAUUCUGGUUAAAGUCAAGACACAAACAAUGGAAUUCAAGAUCAAACCUGAGAUUCCUUUAUGAAUUCAUGUCCUUUCUUGAGUGUAGGUCCAAUUUCAUCGGUCAUAUUGCAAGCUAGCGGUGCUUGAAGGGCAAAACCAGUGUCCCACUCUUGACUACCAAAGGUCUACAGCAAUCGACAAUUUCAAAACCAAUUAGGCAGGAGAGGAUAAAAGCAUAGCUUCAAACCAGUUGCACACUUGAAAUAUUUUAAGAAAAAGAUGAAAAGAUCAAAGCUCCAAGCCCAUUUAUGAGGUUAAGAUGAUGACUAGGUUCAAAAUAUAUAUACCUGAUGACAGUAUAGGUAGCGAAGAAUUUCUUUACGAUAUUCUCCAGGGAAUACAGUGUCAAGAUGCCCUGUAAUGUAUAGACACAUGACCUGAAUUUUCCAUGAAAUUAUUCCAUUGAGAAUGGUUGUUAAAAUGGUCCAUAUACAUGAUUUUAAGGAGGGUGAGAGGGUGUUGAGUAGACUCACCAGAGGAGGAAGGAAAUACAAUGGGCCAGCAUUUUCAGCAGGCCAAUGGCCAUCACUAGCCUGCAAAGCUGAAAAGAAAUGUGCACCCCUUCUCACUGCUGCUGUGAUUGUCUCAUAUGUAAUUUCUUCACCAUCCCCAACCUUAACUUGUGGUAUUGUUUGUUUGAAAUUUUUCUCUCUCAAAAACUGCAGUUUUUUUUGGCCAAAUGAAAUGGGAGUUAAUGAAGUGAAAGUUUAAAAGAAAAGGUAAAUUAACCUCAAUAGUAAGCAUCUAUUUAUACAAUUGUUCCAAGUUAAGAGAAUUAUUACAAUUUUUAAAGUGCAUAAUAUAUAUUUUGGGUUCAAAUCCUACAAACUUAAUCUUUUAGGAAAUUACUUGUUUAACAUGGUAUCAAAGCUCGGUUUUGGAAUCGGUCUUACCUCUCAUUAUCCGACAAUUUGCUUGAUGGUGUCUCAACCAGUUUAAAAGAAAAGAAAAGAAAAGGUAAAUUAACCUCAAUUGUAAGUAUCUACUUAUACAAUUGUUCCAAGCUAAGAGAAUCAAGAUAGAGUUAGCAAUUGUUAAACUGCAUAAUAUAUAUUUUGGGUUCAAAUCCUACAAACUUAACUUUUUAAGAAAUUAGUUGUUCAACAUGGUAUCAAUGCUCAGUUUCGGAAUUGGUCUCACCUCUCAUUAUCCGACAAUCUGGUGGUAUCUUAACCUAAGGCCUGGUGUAUGAGGGGAAUAUUGUUAGGUUUUCCCAUAUCUCUUAUAGAAGGAAUUGGGUGACUCUUUAUCAGUGUGCAUGAAAAUCUCAGCCUUCAAGCUAAUUUUUGGGGUGAUAAGGCCCAAAAUCACCCAAUAUAUUUUUUCUUUUUUACUUUAUGAUAUCAUAACCUCAUUUGGGAGUUUUGGGUCAAAAUGGCUCAUUUUUUAAACUUAAUGUUAAAAAUGGGCACAUUUUCAAACUAUUGUUCAAAAUGGCCUCUUUGAUGCCACGUAGGCGUCACAUCAUUAAAAAAUAUUUUUUUUUCGUCAUUAUAGUGAAAGCCGCAGUUGGGAAACGCAGCUUCAUUUUUGUACUAAAGCCGCAGUUGGGAAACGCGGCUUCAUUUUUGCACUAAAGUCGCAAUUGGGAAACGCGAUUUCAUUUUUGUACUAAAGCCGCAGUUGGCAAAUGCGGCUUCAUUUUUACACUAAAGCCGCAGUUGAGAAACGCGGCUUCAUUUUUUAACUAAAGCCGCGGUUGGCAACUGCGGCUUUAGUUAAUUUUUAUUUAAAUUUAAAAUUUAAUUAAAAAAUUAUUAAAUUACAAUUUAUGAAUGAAAUUUAAAAAUAUACUUAAAUAAUAAAUUAUUUAUAUUUAAAUUUAAAAUUCUAGUAUUACUUCAACAAACAUAAAUUGGUAAAUAGAAGAUAUUAUAAAUGAAUGUUUUAUUUAUUAAUAAAUUAAUAAUCUUAAAAUAAUAAAUUUAUAUAACAUAUAAAUAAUAUAUAAAAUUGUAUAAUUUAUUAAUUUAAGAUAUUUAAUUUGUUAAAUUUUAAGAUAUUAAUUUAUUUAUAUUAUGAUAAAUUUAUCUUUAUCGAAAUAAUAAUAUAGUAGUUAAUAACUGAGAUUUCAAUUAUAAUAUUUUUUUUUACUUUCCAAUUUAAUUAAAAACUAUUAAAUCACAAUUUAUGAUUGAAAUUUAAAAAAUAUACUUAAAUAAAAAAUUAUUUAUAUUUAAACUUAAAAAUCUAGUAUUACUUCAACAAACAUAAAUUAAUAAAUAAAAGAUAUUAUAAAUGAAUGUUUUAUUUAUUAAUAAAUUAAUAAUCUUAAAAUAAUAAAUUUAUAUAACAUAUAAAUAAUAUAUAAAAUUGUAUAAUUUAUUAAUUUAAGAUAUUUAAUUUGUUAAUUUUUAAGAUAUUAAUUUAUUUUUAUUAUGACAAAUUUAUCUUUAACAAAAUAAUAACAUACUCUUAAGCCGUAGUUGUCAUAUAUAGAUUUUUUUACAAAAUUAGUUAAUGAAAUUAAUUACAAAAAGUCUACUACAAAAUGUAAUUUUUAAUAGUUUAAUUAAAGUCACAAAAAAUAUCUACUAAACAUUAAUAUAGUGGAAAAUAAAAAACAUAUAUAAUCUCACAUGCCUCCACAAGAAGAGAACCUAUGUGUAACUGGUACUCUCUUCCUUUGGACAAGAACGCCGAUUGUGACCCUAUUGCUUGCAAAGUCCACAUGUUUGUGGAGUCCUAGUUUCCCUUGCAUCCAUCUCAUUAUGCAAACGACUUGAUUUUGGUCGACCAGAAGUUAGCCAUUUCAUUGAGUCUGAAGGCACAAUUAUCGGUCCAUUAUAUUGAGGCCACUCCAACUCAUCAAAUAUGGGAUAAAACAAGGGAGCCCAUGUUGAUAGGUAAGCACGUGUGGUGUAAUAACCUUGUACAAAUUGUCGAAAAUCAAUUGCUCGACAAUGACAAGCAGCAAGAAUGUGCGAACAUGGGAAUCAUAACAAAAGUGUUUUGUUACAUGUGCAAGACCCCAUUUGAAGGGUAACAUGAUAUAUGCGAGGUUUCCUAUUACUGCUUCCAACAGAGUGUCUAGUUUUAACAUGAAAACGUCCCGCCACAUGAUCAUACAAAAAAACCUCAUGUGCACCCACCUUAACAACUUUAGCCUUUAUCUUGGCGUCAAUAUGUGGAGUGAAUUCUUCACCUGAAGCGAGCCGACUAGCACCAUGCUCCCGCCUGACUGUGAAGUAACUGUUAACCCGAUAGAAAGUUAACUGGACUAAAGCUAUUAUUGGUAAGUUACGAGCACCCUUAAGGACACCAUUAAAAACUUCAGACAUAUUAGUUGUCAUAAUCCCAUAUUUUCGCCCACCAUCAUAUGAGAGUGCCCAUUUUUCAAGAGGAAUUUGCUCCAACCAAUUUCUAGCCUCGGCAUUUAUCCGGCCAAUUGUAUCCAUGUGAGAAAUAAAUUUUAUCAUGUGUGAUUAUAUAUAGGUUCUUGUCCAAACAGGAAGAGAGUACCAGUUACACAUAGGUUCUCUCCUUGUGGAGGCAUGUGAGAUUAUAUAUGUUUUUUAUUUUCCACUAUAUUAAUGUUUAGUAGAUAUUUUUUGUGACUUUAAUUAAACUAUUAAAAAUUACAUUUUGUAGUAGACUUUUUGUAAUUAAUUUCAUUAACUAAUUUUGUAAAAAAAAAUCUAUAUAUGACAACUACGGCUUAAGAGUAUGUUAUUAUUUUGUUAAAGAUAAAUUUGUCAUAAUACAAAUAAAUUAAUAUCUUAAAAAUUAACAAAUUAAAUAUCUUAAAUUAAUAAAUUAUACAAUUUUAUAUAUUAUUUAUAUGUUAUAUAAAUUUAUUAUUUUAAGAUUAUUAAUUUAUUAAUAAAUAAAACAUUCAUUUAUAAUAUCUUCUAUUUAUUAAUUUAUGUUUGUUGAAAUAAUACUAGAUUUUUAAGUUUAAAUAUAAAUAAUUUUUUAUUUAAGUAUAUUUUUUAAAUUUCAAUCAUAAAUUGUGAUUUAAUAGUUUUUAAUUAAAUUGGAAAGUAAAAAAAAAAUAUUAUAAUUGAAAUCUCAAUUAUUAACUACUAUACUAUUAUUUCGAUAAAGAUAAAUUUAUCAUAAUAUAAAUAAAUUAAUAUCUUAAAAAUUAACAAAUUAAAUAUCUUAAAUUAAUAAAUUAUACAAUUUUAUAUAUUAUUUAUAUGUUAUAUAAGUUUAUUAUUUUAAGAUUAUUAAUUUAUUAAUAAAUCAAAUAUUCAUUUAUAAUAUCUUCUAUUUAUCAAUUUAUGUUUGUUGAAAUAAUACUAGAUUUUUAAGUUUAAAUAUAAAUAAUUUUUUAUUUAAGUAUAUUUUUAAAAUUUAAUCAUAAAUUGUAAUUUAAUAGUUUUUAAUUAAAUUUGAAAGUAAAAAAAAUAUUAUAAUUGAAAUCUCAGUUAUUAACUACUAUACUAUUAUUUCGAUAAAGAUAAAUUUAUCAUAAUAUAAAUAAAUUAAUAUCUUAAAAAUUAACAAAUUAAAUAUCUUAAAUUAAUAAAUUAUACAAUUUUAUAUAUUAUUUAUAUGUUAUAUAAAUUUAUUAUUUUAAGAUUAUUAAUUUAUUAAUAAAUAAAACAUUCAUUUAUAAUAUCUUCUAUUUAUCAAUUUAUGUUUGUUGAAGUAAUACUAGAAUUUUAAAUUUAAAUAUAAAUAAUUUAUUAUUUAAGUAUAUUUUUAAAUAUCAUUCAUAAAUUGUAAUUUAAUAAUUUUUUAAUUAAAUUUUAAAUUUAAAUAAAAAUUAACUAAAGCCGCAGUUGCCAACCGCGGCUUUAGUUAAAAAAUGAAGCCGCGUUUGGCAACUGCGGCUUUAGUACAAAAAUGAAGCCGCAUUUGCCAACUGCGGCUUUAGUGCAAAAAUGAAGCCGCAUUUGCCAACUGCGGCUUUAGUAUAAAAAUGAAGCCGCGUUUUCCAACUGCGGCUUUAGUGCAAAAAUGAAGCCGCGUUUCCCAACUGCGGUUUUAGUACAAAAAUAAAGUCACGUUUCCCAAUUGCGGCUUUCACUAUAAUGACGAAAAAAUAUAUUUUUUAAUGAUGUGGCGCCUACGUGGCAUCAAAGAGGCCAUUUUGAACAUUAGUUUGAAAAUGUGCCCAUUUUCAACAUUAAGUUUCAAAAAUGGGCCAUUUUGACCCAAAACUCCUCAUUUGGUGGGAGGUGAAGGUCAUAUGGUGGCCCACUAUGGUCACUUUGUUUGAAGUCAAGUGGUUUCAAUACAUGUUUCUUUUCCCAAUUUAUCAAGUUCGCAUGCAAGCCUGAAAAUAGAAGCUGCACAUGUAAGAGGGAGAGAGAGUGAGAGAUUAUGGUUGUUUGGUGGUGAAAACAUGAUUCUAAAGAGGACCCCAUAUCUUGCGAUUUUUUGGGUUCCUUUUUUCAUAGAAAUCAUCACCCAUAAUCAAAUAAAUGGAAACAAAACAAGAAAAGCUAUGUAGCUAGACUACGUAAAACAACAAGUAUGUAUGCAUGGAAGACACAUAUAGUCAGUGAAAAACUGCAAUCUAGGACGCAGAUGACAGAUCAAUAUCUGUUGUGAUAUCAAGACUUGAGAUAGAUGGGAUCAAAUCACCUGCAUCCGCCAAAGGAGGUCGCUGCUGGGCUUAACCUGAAACCGGUUUUUCCAGAAAUUUUCACGAGCUGCUUCGACCUCAGCUCGCUCUUCUGGGGUCCCACAGUCAGAAUCAAACUCCCAUAUCUGUCUUCCCACGAAGUUGUUGGUGCUGUAGAUGUAGGGAUCAUUGCCUCCAUCUGCAACCUUGAGCCUCCACAUUUUCUAACUCACCAAACAGACGAGAUAUAUCUCUAUAUAUAUCUAAGUUUACAAAUAAGUGUCUCCCUUCCGAAAACACCUGCUGAUCAUGAAAUCACCAGAAAGGUAAGACAAGCUUUUCUUUGCAGUAAAAUUAAGUUAAAAUGAUACAGACCAAGGAUAGAGAGAUAGAUGCUGGGUGGGCAGAGAAGAGAGAGACUUCAGAAACUUGGAAUGGCGAGUUCCAGGUGGGAAUCACUCAUUCAUAUAGAAGCAGAACACCAAGUCAGUCACCAACCCCCAUCACUUCUAUUAAUUCUUUUUUCACCCACUUCAAGUAUUUAAUGCAAAUUUUCACCAACCCCCACCAAGUUUGUGGAAUUUUUUGACUUUCAAGUAUUUUUUAAUUGAUGUGUUUUUUAAAAGGGUUAAACCAUUAAAGAACUCAAUGCAUGGAGUCCAGGGACAGUCCCUGAUAGAUAUCAGUCAUUCAAUCCUAAAAUUAAUAUACUUUAAAACAUACAUGAAGAAAUGACACAUCAAUUAGGUAUAUAGCAUUCAAAUUGUAUCAACUAAUAUGUCCAAUUAAAGUCUCAAUCAAAUUGUUGCCAUCAGUUAUAAUUAUGGUUCUUGUGGUUGUUAUUAGGAGAAAUGGCCACCAGUAUUUGAACAUAGAGUAGAUGUGAAUCAUGUGAUAGCCUACUUACAUAACUCCACACCCAACCAAAUCAACAACUCACUAUUUAAGACAAAUAUAACAAUGUGUAAGGCUAUUCCAAUGGUUCUUCCCUCUACUAGAUUAUUCAUCCAAGAACGUAAUGGCUAGUUUAUUUUCAUAGAAUCAUUCAUAAAGUAGGAAAAAUUUUAUUCUUUCCAUUUGUAUCAGCAUAAUCGAUUGAUUAGCUAAACUAAGGCCAAAUUAGUUGACUUGCUUUUCCCUUUCUACCCAUAGUUUUAUAUAUUUUCUAAAAAUCAAUGCUAAUCUAAUGAGGGCCUACUAUAGUUUCAUUUUCUUGUAUAAAAUAUUCUUCAAACUUCUUAUGUUAUUAGAAUUCUACCUCACAAUUCAAUCUUUUCACCAAUGUGCAAACUUGGUAUUUGUGAAAUUUCAAAUUUUCAAUCUUUUCACAAUUUCAAAUUUCUACCAAGUAUCUUCUUUGGAGAUCUUAAUAUUUGCCUUUAAUCAAGAGUCUUUAUCCUGAAAAUCACCUUACAAAUGUUGGUAAGAAGGAAGUGAAUCCAAGCUACACAAUCUGGGUGAACAAUGAUGGCCUCCCGUCUUAACUUAUAGGGUUGAUAAAAAAAAGAUGAAGUAUUACCAUUGGAGGACAAUCUAGUUGAUAGAUCUGGAUUUUUUAUUGAAGAACAACAAACACAUCAAUACCAAUUCCUCCUCCUAUCAUUCUUGACACAUAGCCUACAGUUACUAUCACUACACUUCCAAUCAUAGAAUCACCUUUUCCUUUCCACGAAAUCCAUUCCAACCACCUUUACACCUGAUCCUUCCUCUCCACCAUACACUCCACACUAGAUUUAACGAACCAAUUACUUACCAAUCUUCCAACUGCCCCAACUUCUCUAUGAACACAACCUAUGCCUGACAAUCCCUCUCCUUCACCAGAACAACCCACACAACUUCCCACUAGCAUUAACACUCAUGGCUUGUCACCUAUGCAAAAUUGAGACAAAAACGUUAUUUGGCUCUCCAUGCUAGUCAUUCUACUCGUAUUGAACCUAGAACUCUUAAAUCAAAACUUAAACAACCUCAUUAGGUGGUUCAUAUGGAGGAAGAAAUAAACAACUAGAGGUUGAAAAUGUCUUCUUAAUUGACUAUCUUAAGGAAAUGAUUUACAAGGAGUAACCUCCAGGGUUUGUUAACCCUAAUUUUCCUUCACACGUUUGUCUUCUUAAAUGUUCCCUAAAUGGCAUGAAGCAAGCCUCUUAAGUUUGGUUUAAGUGUUUAUCACAAGCUCUUAUUCAACUUGGUUUCUUUGAUACCAAGAAUGACUCAUCAUUAUUUAUUUUGCAUACAAGUUCUCUAAUUGUUUUAAUCUUAUUUUAUGCAAAUGAUGUUAUUGUAAGAAGUAGCAACCCUUGCUAUAAUUCAAUAUAUUAUUACUACUUUCAACUCUAGAUUUGCUUUAAAGACCUUGGCUACCUAAAAUAUUUCUUGGAAAUUGAAGUUAAAUAUUUUCAAGGUGGUUUUUUAUGGACCUACAUUUUUCACAUACGUUCCUACUCGAUAGCGAGACUCGUUUUUUAAUGAAAAAUUGAUUUUGAAAAAGUUAGAGUCACCAUUUAUUUUUGUUUAUUUUUUAAAGGGAAAAAAAUAAAAAAUAAAAUCUAAAAAUGACUUUUUAUUUGGAAAAGUAUGUCUUUCAAAACUAGGUCCAAAUCCAGGAUUCAUGUUAUCUAUCGAGAAGGUACCAUAAGGUAGCACUCUUCUAAGCCCUAAAUAAAGGUCUCUACUAAUUAAAUUGAGGUAACUAUGACAAUUGAUUUGUAAAUCAAUGGAUGCUAAGAAUCAUGAGAUAUAUAUCAUAGUAAUAAUGAAAACAUAAUUAAAAAUCACUCAAACAAGCCAUGCACACUCAAAGAGUCACAUCAACAAGGAAAGGAAGGAGCGUACCUUAUAGCAUGCUAAGCAUUCUUAUAAAAUAACAUAAUGUUAACAAAUAAACCAUAUCAAGGAAGCAUUCAAAACAAUACAUGCAUACUCAAAGAAUCAAACAACAGAAAAAGAGAGGAGAUAUACCUUGAUAGCUAGCAAAGCACUUUCAUAAAAUCAUUUAGGGGUAGUUCAUAAGUAAUAAUAAUAGCAGAUAUAAAAUCAUAGGUAAGACCUCACAAUAGAUACAACAUAUGCAUAUCUCAAAUCAUGAAAUAAAGAGAUGAUAAGGUAUGAACAAGAUGAAACAAAAUACAAUACACAUGCUUAAAAUUUCAGAAUUAGCUAACAAGUAUUCACUCACAAAAAUUAGUCUAAAUAAAAUAUCAAAUAAAGAAUCCCAAUCCAAAGAAAGGUUCAACUAAUGUGUAUAAUAUGUCUACAAUGUAAAUCAAUAAUCAAAAGCAUGCAUAAAGGGGAUCGAAUUAUAAAAAACCUACAGACUAUCAUCAAUAGGGCAGAACAAGGGUAUUUACAAAAUAAAUCUUAAAUAAAUACCUAAAAUUCUUAUUUUAUCAAAAUAAAAAAUGGAGAACAUCUUCAAUAUGUCUAAAUCAAAAUAAAAAAAAUUCCAAAUUAUUUAAUUAUAUGCUAUUCAAUACCAAAUUAAAUCAAACUAAGGACACUACACAGAACAUUCAACAUAUGAUUAAAACAAAGAUGUUCAUGAAAUGGAUUCUAAAAAAAUAUCUAGAAAUAGAAUUUCAUCACAAAAAAGGGACAAUAUCUCCUAUGUCUAUAUAAUAACCCAAAAGAUCACAUUAUUUAAUUAUGUUCCAUUCAAUACCAUAUUUCAUCACAAUUCAUAUUGGUAAAAAACAAGACAAAUUACAAAGCAUACAAGAAUUAAUUUAUUUGGUGAAUUUAGAAGUAUGUUAAAAUCACAUAAAAAGUUAUACAAUUUCUUCUAUAUGAUUUCAUUACAUGAAAAAUAAUAGCGAGAUUAAAUCAUACAAGAACUUAUUGAAAUUCAACCAAAAAAAACCUUAACUAUAGAAUAGAGCCGAUGUAGUGGGUGUAGAAAUGAAAAUUUAUUUCUCCUACUUGGGAGGUAAUUUUUGAGUGUCAUAGGGGUCUAAAUUAUAAUUUAUGAAGUUUAGAUUAAGGAAAAAACAUCAAAAUAAAUUAAUUUUAAAAAACUAUUUUGGGUAUCUAGAAUAGUGCUGAAAUUAGACCUAAUGAAAGACUAAUUUAAAUGCCUUACUUAGAGAAGCGUUUCAAGCUCAAAAAUAAAAUAAAAUAAUUUCACAUAGUUAAGAAUUCUAAAACAAUAACCAAGCAUUGAAAAAAAUUUAAAAGGUCUCUAAGUGGUCGGAUUCUAAUUUACAACUUCAAAGGUGCAGUGGACUAACAACAAUGGCAAUAUAGAACUGAUUUUUGGAAAACUUUGAAUUAAGGGAUUCACUAGGUCCCUUUUAAAUUUUUAUGAAUUUAUCUAUGCUUCAUUAACCUCAUGUGAGCAUGAACAAGCUCACUAAGGCUAGGAAUGACUCCAUUGAUUGGAGCUAUAAAUUUAAUUCAUGUAUGAGAAAAAUCGAAAAUAAAUGAAACCUUUUCAAAUAUGCAUAUCAAAUUAAAUGAACAAGGUAGCAAUUUUUAUUUUUUUAUUAUUUUUAAAUAGUCUUCUUUUCACCUAAUUGAUCUAAUAUGGAUUUGAAUAGUGAACUUUCAUGAUUCACUUUGUUUUAGAAACAAUUAAAAAUACUUUCAAAAUCAUUAAAACACAUAAAAUCAUAAAUCACUAAAAAGGCACCUAAAGAUCAUUGUGUGUGUAUAAAAAAUUGAGUGUUCAAAGUGAAGUGAAUUGCGUAUUUUGUGCAUCUUAAAAAUGACUAAAAAAAUGACCUGAAAGUGUGCCAAAACUAAGCCUCUAAAGUGACAUAAAAAAGCAUAUAAAAUUGACUUAAAAGUGAAAUGAACAAGUGAUACGGAAAAUAGAGAUACAUGGUGAACUCAACUAAUGACCUAUAUGUGUGAUUAGUGAUGAAAGAUUAUAAGGAUCAACUAACCUAAAAAUAAAAAUUAAGAGACAUGAAUCAAUACAAAAACACUAACAUUCAAAACCUAUUUUCAUGAUUUUUCAAUCGCUUAUUUUUGGAAAAACAAAUUUAAAAGAAAAGAAACCUAAUCUUAAUUCUAAAAUUAACUAACAAACAUUUCACAUUCAAGCAACAUAUCAUCAAUUAAUCCAACACUCAUGUGUGUCCUAUUCCUCCACACCCAACCUAAUCUAAUAUAUCCAAAAUCAUGAAAAUGAGAAGAAAUAGGAAAAAAAAAAAAAAGAAAUCAAAACUAAAAUCAAAAUUCAGCAACUUACCUCAAAUUAACUUUCUCUUCAAAAUUCGGUGGGGUCCUUUUUACUUUUCACAAAUCUAAUCUAUGCAUCUGUGUGUUCUCAAUGGCCGAUGCAUGCCUUCUUCUCCAAUAUUCCUCUACUGCAUCUCUUAAGGAUCAAAUUCUUCUCCAAUAUUCCUCUACUGCAUCUCCUAAGGAUCAACGUUGCUGCAUGUUUUCUCUCUCCUUUACCAAAUGCUGCUACAUUUCAUGCUUGCAUCUUCACUUUAAAAAUUAUGUUGUAACUUUCAAUUAAAGGCAUGCACUAAUAGCUCCACAAUCAACCCACUCUAAUCAUCAAUUGUGUACAACCAACUCAAGAAAAACAUGAAUAGUGUUUUUUUCUCACAAAUUUCAUUUAAAAAAAUUAUUCCUUAUCUAGAAACUUCCCUCAAAUUAUGCCAUGCCAAUUUGUGGACCUGCAUUUUUCACGUGUGUCCCUACUGGACGGCGAGACUCACUUUUGAUUUGUGAAAAACUACAUUUUCAUUAAAAUUUGGACUCACCGCUUACUUUUAUUUAUUUUUUAAAGGGGAAAUCAAGUAAGAACAAAAUGUCUGAAAUGACUCCUAAAUUUUGGAAAAGCUAUCUACGAAAAACUUGAGUCUAGGUUCAGGGAUCAAGUAAUCCAUUGGGAAGGUACCUCCAAAGAGAUAACACCCCUCUAAGCCCUAAAGAGGCCUCUACUAGUUAAGUUGAGGGAAGCAUGUCAAUUAGUCAGUUGAUUGAAGAUGCCUAAGUAGGUUAAGGUAAUUUCAAAACUUUGAUAAUUCUAAAGUGUCAAACAAGGAUUCAAAUCAUAAUCAUAAAAAGAGGAUAAUAUGUGUAUUUGGAUCAGUAACUUAAAUGCCAUCACAAAACACCAAAGUAAGUUAAGGUAUUAUAUCACUCAACAUGCAUUUUAUCAAAGGAAAUCAAAUGAAUAUCAAGGCACCCGAAGUCAAUUUCAAACAUGGAUAUAGUUUCCAAUGACAUACAUAUUCAUGGAACUUUGAAAUGGGAAGAUAAAGAGCAUACCUAAGUGCCAAGCAUUUGUGCUUUUAUAAAAAUGGGGUUAACUCAAAAAUAAUAAUAAUGAGAUUAAAGAAUAAUAAAAAUAAAUAAAUCUAUAUAGAUAUAUAUAUAUAUACUUAGCAUGUCUCAAAUCAAGGAAAAUUCAUAAGCAUAUUCAAAAGUGACCAAAUUAUCAAAAGGAAAGGAAAUAUCAUUAAAAGGGUAAAAUAUUGGUUCACAAAAUAAACUCCAAAUAAAUAUCAAGAAAGGUUAUCUCACCAAAAUAAAAAUUAGGCAACAUCUUUAACAUGUCCAAAUUAACAUCUGAUAGGCCAAAUUAAUCAAUUAUAUUUCAAUUAAUAACAAAUUGAUUCAUAAAUGGGUUACUUCACAGAAAAAAGUCAUCAAAUGAUCAAAAUAGAAGACUGUACAAAAUAAAUCUAAAACAAAUAUCUAGAAUCUAAGUUUUAUCAUGAAAAUUUUCAAAGAACAUUUCUUAUAUGUCUAGUUUAUCAUCUAAGUGACCAAAUUGAUUGACCAUCCCUCAUUUAGUACCAGAUUUCAUAAUGAUGAUAAUAGGUCCAAAACGUGGCAUCUUUUUAAGGUAUUCAACAAUUGAUUUUUCCGAUUAACUUAUAGAUGUCCUAAACUCAUAAAAAUAAAAUAAAAAAUUCACACAACUAUCUAAAUUUUCUAUUUUAUAGGAAAAAUAAUCAUAAGGCAAUAACACAUUCAUAUUUUAAAGUAAAUAAACAUCUCUCUACUUUAGAAGAGCCCUCAUGCAGUGUGUGCAACAAGAAAAAAUUAUAUCUCUUAUUUUAGAAAUCAUUUGUUAAUAGUUUAUGUAUCAAAAAUUAAAUUCAAAAAGUUUAGAUUAAGAGAAAAAUGUUCAAAGAAAUUAAAGAGAUCGUUUAGUAAUUUAAUUUUGUAAAACAAAACUGAGUGUCAAAAACAGAGUGAAAAGUGAACCUUUUGAAAAAUUGAUUUAUAUCUCCUAAUUGGAAAACCAUAUUUGACCCAAGAAAGAUUCUAAAAUCAAGUUCAAGGAGUCUAGAAUGUUAUAGAAUAGUUAGAAAAAUUUUAAAGGGUUUCUAAGUUGUUAGAUUCCAAUUUACAGAUGCAGAAGUACAAUGUACUGUAAUGAAAAAUUCUAAACUAGCUAAAAUGAAUUAAGAUAAAUCAAGACAAAUUUCAAAAUAAAAACUGCAUCACCUAGAAUAGAAGCCAAUUUACCAAAAAUAUAAGAAAUACUCAAACUAAAAGAAUGGGAUCAAACCAAAUCAAAGCAUUAACUGUAACACCAAGGAUUGAUUAAAUUAAUGAUGAAAAAUCAUAAAUGGGCCUAAACUAAUAGAACAAAUUAAACUAAACUAAAACAAGAAUUUAAAAACAGAACUUACGUUCAACCGUGUAAGAGGGGCUGCUAUUAGAACGCUCUUAAUCCUUCCAAUCUGAUGCUUUAUAUGCUACAUUUUCUAAAAGAAAAUCCCGAGACAUCCUCAAAGUUGCAGCUUGUUGUCAUCUUCUUUGCAUGGUAUGGUUGCCCUCCAAAUUUCAUCAAAAUGUGUGGAUGGCUUUCACAAAAUCUGGUGGUGCCAUAUUCUUAAAGUGGCAACCUUUUUUUUUUUUUUUUUUUCCAAAAAAUAAGCUGAUGUGUAGUGGAGGUUCAAAGUGGUAGCCUUAUUCUCAUCCUAGUAGUGCGUGGUGGAUACCUCUCACAAAAUCUGGUGGUGCAAAAAUCUGUGCGUGUAGGGGCUUUUUGAGUGGCAGCUUGUUGUGUAAAAUCCACAGAUGCAGCCUUGAUGGAGAUCUCUUGGUGCGUCAGUUAAAGCUCCAAUCCAUAAUCAGUCCGGUGCGUCUUUAGGAAGAUUUGGACAUUCAAUGCAUGCAGUUCCCUAUUCUCUCUGAGUAACAAGGACUGUUCAAGCUUUAACUCAGCAAAAGUAUAGCCUGAAAAUCAUAUAUCAAUGAUUAUGGUGCAUUCUGUUGCUUCAAUUGAUAGAAGCAUUGCUGCCCGACCAUAUGUCAUGCCACUGUUUUGGUUCCGACAAUUUCCAUCUUCUCAUUCCAUUUUCCAGUAGAAUUUAUGUGGAGAUAUAUAGUCUUUGUGGGGUUGUCGAAAUCCAACCACGUGAAUUGAGAGUAAGAAGCUCAGCUAUUAUAGGUAUGACGGGCAUGCCUAAACAAUAAUUUCAAGUUUCUAAGAGCAGUAGAUCCCUUCACAUCUUCAGAUUUUAGAAACAUAGGCCAAAAAAAUACUCAAGAUUUCUCCACCCCGCAACCAUUCCAUCGCAAUUGUAAAUAUGCAGUAAGUAUAACCAGUCCAGUCUUGUGCCAUUGUAUUGGCUUUCAUUUUGGGAGCAAAUCAUCACCAGUAGGUCUCGAAAUGGAAAAGUUAGUGGCUCUCUCAUCUUCUGUAACUUUGUACAUAUCUGUCCAAUUAACUCUAGGCUUCAUUAUAGAUAUUACAGUGUUGCGAGCCACAAAAAUGAUAUAUAGCUCCCAUGUCAAACAAUGCCGCAUCUCCAUCCUCAGAGGUUUUACCAUUUAGAGCUGUUGUGUGCCCGUAAUGGAGAAUAGCACCACUUUUCCCGCAACUUGUUCACUUCAAGAAUGCUAAAGUUACUCUAGUGACAUCCUCAGCAAUCAUAAACAGAGGAGCUCUCAAUGGUCUUUUCUAACAAAAGAAUUAUGCUCUUUAUCAUUGAAAUCUUUUGCUUUGUGUCCAACACUCUUACAUUCUCAAGUUCAACAAUCAAUUUCUCAAGGUAUGUAACAAACCAUGGGGAGAUAUAUCUUCUGUCAAUCUUUGUUCCUUCUUCAACAUCAACAAUUAUUUCAAGAAAGAAUGAUGACUCAACAAAUAAGAGACCGUUUGGCUCAACCCAAUCAAUUGCAUCAACAAUCUUGAACUCAAUGAACUGUUUAUUUCCCACAGACACAGAAGCAAUAUCUUUGGUAUCAAUAUUGACUUCAACAAGUUGAGCUUACAUCUCCAACUCCUUCACUAACUCACGUAUAGUUUUGUAGUUCCCUUUUUCUAUGAAAACUAGAUUUGGACUAGAUUUAACACUUGGCAGGCCCAAGGGCAUGAACCAGAAGUAGAGGAAAGCAACAAAACCAUGGCACGAAUGGGUAAAACAAAAUGGACUAACAAAAGCCACAUUUCAUGUAUGCCUAAACAACAGAUCAAGAACAAGUAAUACAAACUGAGAGCAGCAAUAUGAUUAUCAAAUGCCAAACCUAAAGAUAAAUCCAACUAUUUACAAGGGGAAAUAAAAGAAUCCAAAAUGUGACCAGAACAUAGCAUGUAUGCAGACAAAUGGAUACAGUCAAAGUAACCAAAUAACUCCUGAUGUCCACACCAAAUCAACAAGAUAACGUUCAUAAAUAUGAAGAAAAUGAAAUAAAACAGUAUUGAAAACAAGGAAGAAAUGAAACUCAUAGAGUGAUCUUACUUGGAAGGCUACACCCCGAGCAAGGUGUGUUCGCCUUCCACUCAUCAGGAAAUGACCACUCUUUAAUAGUGGUGAUGUUGCUGAUCUCUCAACAUGCCACCAUUUUUCUAAAUUUCUAAUUCCCCAAAUCACGUGCCUUCUCAAAAGAACCUGGAGAUCCUCCUCCAAAGCAGUGUUAGCUUGACUUCAAGUGAGACCCACCUCCAAAAAUUGGCAAAGCCAGUCAAGCUUCGUCUCUUCUCCUCCUCUACCUCUAGUUUUUAUCUCCAUUUCAAACUAGAGAAUCCAUUUUUCUUCGUUCAAACAUCUUCUUCCUCUCUGUCCAAGAAAAAAUAUUGUGUCUUUCUUCCUCUCCAAACCUCUCCUCAAUGUUCCAUCCUGUUAUUUUACAGCUCCUCUUAUAUCCCUCCUGUCUCUACUCUGCUCCACUCCAAAACAAACUUUUGAAUAUCCUCUCGUAAUCCGCCAACUUCUCAUUCUGGAUGGCUCUUUUCCACUUUCCCACCAAAACUCUUUAAUUCUCCCAAAAAUUCAACCUAUGUCUUCUUCCUCCACGGUCUCUUUUUCACUUUCCCACCAAAAAUUCUUUUUUUUUUAAACCUAAAUAAAUUAGUAAAUAAAAUAAAAAUAACUAAAAGGGAUUUUGGAAAUAGAAAUGAAAAAAAAAAAUAUAAUAUAGUAUAAUAUAAUAAUAAUAAUAAUAAUAAUAAUAUCAAUAAAAUAAUAAUAAUCUUAAUAAUAAUAAUAAUGAUAAUAGAAACAAUGGUAACAAAAACAAUUCUAAUGAUGAUAAUUAAAAAAAUAAAAUAAAAUGACAAUAAUAAUAAUGAAAAUAUACAAUGAUUAUAUAUAUAUAAGUAGAUAUGAAAAUGAACAAAUAAAUAAAUAAAUAACUAGAUAUAAGUACGCAACAUGUAUUUAUAAAGAAGACAUGCAAGCUACGUAGGCCAUGCAAGCCAUGUUAACCAUGCAAAUGACUUACGGGUGUUGGGGUAAGCUUAAGUGGGAUAAGUGCCUAAUGGGCCUCAAUAUGUCUCAGCAAACUGUCAUAAAAGUGUACCUAAUAUCCAAAAUGGCUCAAAGAAGCAAGUUAUAUGAGUAGCAAUGGGCCACUAAAAACUACUGUGGAGUAAUGAAAGGACACUUAAUCAGGGCAUGGCAAGGGGACAAAAUGGAAACACUCAAAAGAUAAGAUAAAAAGUCACAUACAUUCAAUCAAUAAAAAAUUAAUCAUGUACUAAAAUAUUAAAAAUCAAUCAUGCAAUCACAACUAAAAAAUCAAUUAUAAACUCAAAAUUAAAGUCACAUAUAAUCACAAUUAAUAAUCAAACAGGAACUCAAAAUUAAAAUCAAAUAUUCAAGAUUCAAAUGUGAACUCAAAAUUAAAAUCACUCAUGCACUAAAAAUUAAUCAUGCAAUAAAAUCAAUCACAUGCACUCAAAAUAUCAAAAAUCAUUCAUGUACUUAAAAUAUCAAAAAUCAAUCACACACUAAAAAUCAAAUAACAAACCAAAGCUCAUCUAACCUAAAAACAUGCAAUCAAAAUCAAAAUCAGACGUAAUGCACUAAAAAAAUAGAAACUAAACAACAGAAAGACUCACUAGAAAAUAGACUCCUAAACUAGAACCAGAGCCACUAAAAAAAACCACAAUAAGGAUCCAUAUAAUCCUCGAAGAUAUAUAUAUCCAAAAAAGGUCCAAAAAUAAUGAUAAGGUGAGUAGCAAUAGACCACCAAUGGAGACACAAUAAAAACUAAAAAAUAAAUUCUAAGUGCACAAUGAAGGAUCAUGAUAUGAAGGAAGACAACUACUAGAUAAAAUGUGCCAAGAUGACAAAAUUGAGGGUCUACAAAUUUGUCCAUCUUUGAUAGAAAUCAAGAGUGUAAUGAAUAGAUCACUGAUACACGAGAGAUGAGUGAAAUGAAGUGUCCCAAAUUCCUAAUUAGUAUAGAUUCUUUUUUUUUUUUGUAAAGAAUAUUAUAUAGAAUAUUUCUAGGUUGAUAUAUUAUUGUAAUAUUAGACUUUCUUAUAGAAUAAGGAAGGUUGUUGGAAAUAUCCCUAUAAAUAUUCUAGGUCAUGAGGAGAAAAAGUUAUGAGAUGAAGAUGGGCAUGUAAAGACUAUACAAGGUGGAUAAAGAUGUAAAGAAGAACGGGAGGUACCCGAUGGAGUUAAAAGGCUCGUGGUAGGGUAGGGAUACGAAGAGUGGGGAAACAUAAGAUGUUUCGAGAACCCAAUAAUUGUAUCUGGUUAUGUCCUUUGUAAUGUUCUGGUUUUGUCCUCUAUAAUGUUCUCUAUUGUAGAGUGAAAUAAUUCUCUCUCAUCCGUGGAUGUUGGCAUGGUUGGCCGAACCACGUUAAAACCUCGUGUACCAUGUUAAAACAUCAAAUAAAAAAUAAAGGCUCUGAACACUAAAACUAAGAAGAAUGGAUCUAAACGCCAACACUAGGAAAACAAAUGGCUUUGAAUGCCAAUACUAAAAACAAUGGCUUUGGACGCCAAACUAAAAAUGAUGAGUCUAAAUGCUAAGUAAAAAAAUAAUAGCUCUAAAAGCUAAACCAAAGCUGUAGUUUGUACAUUUCCUAAGAAAAGUUUACUAUAGACCUUCUUUAGAAAGCGCAUAUGCUAGAUUGUUUUGGCAUAGCCACACUUACAUCUAUUAAAGAUUCACUAAUUAUAGAUUAUUUACAAAUUUCAAUCUGAGUAUGACACCUUGGUUGGUACCCUCGAAACCAAAUAUUACUCACGCAGUUAACAAAGUGUGCCAAGACCUCCAUCAACCAAGGCAAAUCUUAAGGAUGUGAAACAAAUCCUAUGUUGUUUAAAAGGUACCCUAGAUUACAACAUUUGCUUAUUGGCUUAAAGUCAAUAUCAUUAUAUGAUUUUGUUGAUUCUAAUUGUCUCCGUUAUCCGAUUACAAUGAGUAGCACCAUUGAUUUUGUGUUUAUCUUGGCAGCAAUUGUAUUUUCUAGUCUUCUAAGAAACAAGAGUCAAUAACAUGCCCUUGAAUAGGGGCAAAGCACCACUCAAGGAUUGCAACUAUUGCAAAAUUAACUUGGCUUAUAUUUCUCUUGUGUGACAUUAGCUUACCACUUCCCCAAUUUCCAUUUCUCUUUUGUGAUAACAUAAGUGCAUUACACAUGGCCAAAAAUCUAGUGUUUCAUGCACAAACAAAGCACAUUGAAUUGGAUUACCAUUUUGCCCGUAAAAAGUUGUUAUAGGACACCUUUAUGCUAAAUAUGUUCCCAGUUAUCUUCAAAUAGCUAACAUUCUUGCCAAGACUCUAGCUAGAAAGGCUUUUAGUAUGUUUAGCUUCAAGUUGGGAGCUCAAUGCAUGACCGCACUAGCUGGAGGGGGUUAAACGUCCUUUACAUUUAUCUCCACAACCAAACAAAUCAAUAGGUCACCUUUUGAGAGAAAUAUGACAAUAUGCAAGUGUAGACCCUCCAUCUUAUUCUAGUAGCAUAUGUUAUUCAAUAUAUUUUCCUUCACUUCUUAUUGCCUUAUAGUUGUCCCAUGGUGGUUUAUUUGUUGCUCAUUUGGUACUAUUUUUUAAGCCACCUUCAAAGAUUCGUUGUUGAUGGAUUUAUUUAUUUAUAUUUUUUUAUGGAUCCCAAUUGUGACCUUAGUUGCAUGCUUAGUCUAACUCCCUUUGUUUACUUAGUUGCAUUUUAGGUUUAGUUCACUUAGUCACAUGCUUAGUCUAGCUCACUUAGUUCACUUAGUUGCAUUUUAGGUUUAGUUCACUUAGUCGCAUGCUUAGUCUAGCUCAGUUAGUUUACUUAGUUGCAUUCUAGGUUCAGCUUACUUAGAUGCAUUCUAGGUUUAGCUCACUUAGAUGCACUUUGGUUUAGUUCCCUUAGAUGCACUUUAGUCUAGCUCCCUCAGGUUCACACAUGAGGGGAUUUUUAGGAAGGAAGAGAUAUAUAUAUAUUUUUUAGGAAAACACGAUUGCAUAUUGCAUGAGGAGAAGAGAUUCAUGCAUAGGAAAAAUUUUAUUUGGAAUAUAUGGGCUACCAUUGAGAGGUAAACUACUAUUAGAGACUAAUUUUGAAAAAAGGAGUUAGAGCCGACACUAAUUGAUCUUGAAGAAAAAAUGAAGCAUCUUGAGAAGAAAAGUUGAAGUUUUGAAGAUCAAGAAGGCAAGACUCAAUGCAGGGAAACAAGAAAGAAGUAAGCUUGCAAUCUUUUGGAGGAAAUGUAUGAUUUUUUUUUCUUGCAUAUCUCAAUUAUAUAUAUCUUUUUUUUUUCCCAUCAUGUUUAAGUGUAGAAAUUCUAUUUGUUUGGGGUAGAUAAUGAAGGCCACUUUGAUUGUUGUUAAUCAAAUUGUUGAUGACAUAUUAAUGAGAAUUUGAUGAAUGGUUAAUUGAUCUCAUGUUGAUUAAUGCUUAUUAGAAUUGAGAUUAGAGUUAUUUUCUUUGGAAUUAUUUUCAUUUGAUUGAGGCCUUUUGAUAACAUAUGAUAGGUGCCUAAGAGAUCCUUUAUUUGAUUUUUUAUGCCUUUGGUUUUAUUUUUGGUUAUUCAUUUUUUAUUGUGAUGUUUGGAGUGUUCACCUUGUUGUCAUUUUGUUAGAAUUAUUGAACCUCUAUAAUUAAAAAAUGGAAUCAGGUUAAAAAUAGAAGAAAAAAAACUCUUUUUCCUACACCUGUUGCACUAACCCCUUUUUGUAGUCAAGGGAAGUUUGGCUUAAUUUAAAAAUUCACAUUGUAUGAUUAAGUCAUGUUGUUAUUUUUUCUGUAAGUUAGAUAUAUUGAAGGUAUUGUACAAUUUUAUUUUUUUAUCAUAAUUUUAUCAUGCUUAUAGAUAGAUUAAUUACAUUAGUAUUUUCAUGCUAUAGGAUUUUGCUCUAUUUCUAAUCAAUAUAUUUGUGAUUAAAUCAAGUAUUAAAUGAGAUAUGAUUUGAUGAUUUAGCCUUUUGGGUUAUAAUUUAGACACAUAGGGGAUGUUGUCCAAGUAUUUUUUAUUCGUUCCCACUUGGUGUAUCAACUGAUUCAUGUCCAGCUGGUGCUCCUUGAUUGAGGGAGUGAUCAACAAAAUUUAUAACCUAUUACACCAUGAACUAGGGUAGCAAAGACAAAGCUACUAUAGCAUAGUGGCUCUAGGAUCGUUCACUGGAAAGGGUUUUCAACUCUCAACUGAUACCAAUUCAAAGCUGAGUUGGUGAUUUUUCAUUUCAAGGUUAGCUUAAAAGAAAACAUAAAGAUGUUUGGGUGAAAAGGGUUUGGUCUUAAACUAACCAAAAAGAAAGUAAUGGAAAUUACUUAUGAAGAAAAACAUUCCUUGGAGGUUUAGGUUCAUAGGGGAGGUUCCUUAUGUAAAAACAGAGCUCCGGUCAUUUGGUUCAUUUCCUCGCAUUAGAGAAUUAACAUAUAGUUAAUUCUCUAACCGGUGCUAUACAGAUGUAUCCUUUAAAUGGAUUUCAAACUCUAAUUCCCUCUCACUGAUGCAUCUUGCAAUGGCUCAUACCUCUCACCUAGCACUUGCCAUUCAAGGUGAUCUUUAACUUUGGAUUACCCGUCAAAAGCUCGCAAGAGAUAACUAAUGGAUGUCUCCUUAGAGUCCAAAAGCUUACCAAUUGUUGGCAAUUCUAGAAAAUCCUACCUACAAGUCACUUCCCAAAAGCUUGCAAGAGGUAAACUAGUGCAUCUCCAUGGAUAGAAAUCACUUGCCUUACCAAGUGUUGGCUCAAGUGAAUUGAAGGCGUUUUAAGUUAACUAAAAACAUAGAAAUCAUUAAAGGAUCACACUUUCUCUUCAUUAAUGGCUAAAACCACAAAGCUAUUAAUUCUUGCACUUGGACCCUUUCCUAGCAACCUUAACUCCAAGGAACUAAAAGUCUAGCCACUCAUUCUCUGAGGAAACUUCCUCAAAGCUUGUUUGGCUAGAAAGAAAACUAAUGAGAAAACAAAUAUUAAGCAAAAACAGAGCAAGUGCUCUAUACAAUAUAUUUCUUCCUUCCGUCUAUUACAUAGAUUCUUCUUUUUCAAGAAAAUUACAAACUAUAUAUAUGAGGUUAUUCACCCUUUUUACUUACUUAAAGAUUAACGAAUCCUAUGAUAGGUGGGUUACAAGGAGACUUUGGGAAAUUAGACAUAAAAUAUCUAAAGCAAAAUAUCUCAAAAUAUCCCAAAAUAUCGUUGGCAAAUAUCAGGAAGCUUCAGGAGCACACAGCAGCACUGUGCAGCAUGGCUGCUCUCCCAUUCAGGUAGGCGGCUAUCAGAUGAUCCGGAUACGUCCGUCCGGAGAAGUUGAAAUGCCUCCUCUCCCAUCCGGCGUCGGAAUUCCGGAUGUGAACAUCCGGGGGUGGAAAGUACGUGGCAGCCGGGUGCAAAAAUGGCGGCGCGCAUCCGGGUGUACAUGGCGGCAGCUGGGUGCAAAUCCUACCCGAGUGGAAUGUUGUCCGAAUGAAAGGAUAGCAUCUUAUCCGGAUGCCUUCCGAUGGUAUAUCCGGACGCACUGUCCGGGUAUACUCCUUGUAUGGAUUCCAAAGAACUCUCCUCAAUCUCAGAUUUGCUUUGGUGAUCAAAAAGCUAUCAAAACACCAAAACUUAACACAAUUUGAUUAGAAUUGAUUGCAAGGGUCCUUAAUAUGUUAAUUGGGUUAAAAGGUAAUAACUACUACUCAAAAGUGUCGAAAAGAGUUAAUUACAAGCUAUGAAAUAGCACUUUUUGAGUAGUAAUCACUCCCCCCAACCGACAUAUUGCUAGUCCCUUAGCAAUGAAGGAGAGACAAAUAAAAAAAUAAACAAUACUAUAAUUUACAACAUCAUGCUAAUCAAAAAACAAUUUUCAAGUGGCAUGAUGAUCUAACUCUCACAUGGAACAUUAAAGAAAUAAAACUCAAACUUCAUCAAGAGUUAUCAAAUAACUUAUCUAAUCAUAAUUCUUAAAGAGAAGGCAUUAUGCAAAUUUAAGCUUUAAAAGAGUUUCCACUCCCAAAGGGUCAAACCUUACUCUUCCACAAAAAUCUAAGUGUUAUUUAUUAGUUUCCGAAUAUAGUAUGUUGAAUUAAUCUCUCCCCCCAACCUAGUUCUUUUUCAAAGCUUAGCAAACUGGUCAACCUCCAAUAGGCUAAGAACACACCUCUUUUCACAAUUUUUUUCAUUGUAGGAGUACACGGCUUAAAGGUAUUCUUUUCUAAAUUGUCCAUGUAACGGGGGUCCAUCGAUGACUCCCAACCAAUUAAGGUUUAGGGCAUCAAGCUUAAAGGAUUUUUCAACCACUAACUCCUUGGAUUUUACCCCGGACUUUUGAGAAUGAAUUUAAAUACCCCAGCACCUACAGUAUGUUAAACUCCACCUAUUCACCCUUGUAACGAGCAUUGAGGUCGAUGACUCCCAACCAAUGAAGGCUUAGGGCACCAGGUUUUAAAGAUUUUCAUCAUAUACCCCUCAGACCUUGCUCGGGUUUCAAGGCAAGCAAACAUUUUUUCUUUCUUUUUUGAAAGACUCAUUGGCCUUUUACAAGGUGUCCCAACACUAUUAAAUGAGGUCAAAGGUACCAAGUCUAAAAUUUUCCUAAGUCAAGAGGGAAAUAGUUUUUCAUCUUAUAAUCGGAACCUAUUGUGCACAGUGUGUGAAUAGCUUAAAGUGGAAGACAUAAGCUUGAAUUCAAUAGAAAUUUCAACAAUUCAUCAACUUUAAUAAGCAUAAUACAAACUCUAAGUCAAGUGAAAAGACAAAAAUUCAAUUUCUCCCAUUUUAUUUUGAAAAUUUUUCCUUAAUAACCAUGGAGAGUAGAAUAAAAACUUAAAAAAUUUUAAAAUUAAGCAAAAAGCAACUAAAUUACCAAAAUAACUUAGCAUUAAUAACAAAACUUCCUUCCUCAACUCUCCCCCCAACCAAGCUGAACAUUGUCCUCAAUGUGACAAAAGCGAUUGAAAAAUAGGGAGGAAGUGGUACCUCCUGAGUGACGCGGAGUGAUGUCGUGGAAAUAAUGACUCAGAUGUCUCUCCUAUAGGAGGCUCCGGAUGAGGAGGCAAUGGCAUGCUCAGGAGCUAAUGUACUGCCAAUUGAUGCUGAAUCUGCCUCAGGAUGGCAGUGUGCUGGGCCUGAGUGGCAAGAAUAUGUUCUUGAUUUUAAUCAUUCAAAAAGAUUAAGCUAGUUACAAUUUACAAAAUUUCAAGACUAAAAUUACAAUCAAAUAAUUUACAAAACUUAAAAAUUAACAUAUUUAACAAAAUUAUGGACUUUGGUGAAACCAAGUCCAUCUAACCCUUCUCUGUUCAGGAUUUCUGUGGCUCAAGGAGGUUGAUUUCCUCCUUUUCUGGAUUGAACGGUUCAAUGAAUGGCUUGAGGCGAUGACCAUUGACUCUGAAGGUGUCUAUGCCAUUGGAAUUUAAUAAUUCCACCACUCCAUUGAAAUGUACUUGGUGAAUAAUGAAAGGACCUAUCCACCUUGACUUGAGCUUUCCGGGAAAGAUAUGGAGCCUUGAGUCAUAGAGUAAGACUAGUUGUCCUUUCCUCAAUUCUUUGUUGGAGAUUAGUUGAUCAUGCCAUUUCUUCAUCCUCUGUUUUGCAACUUUGGAAUUGAUGUAAGCAUCAUUUCUUAACUCCUCCAUCUCAUUAAGGUCUAAGCACCUCUUUUCCCCAGCUCUGAUCAAGUCCAUGUUCAACCUCUUGAUUGCCCACCAGGCUUUAUAUUCAACUUCCACAGGGAGAUGGCAUGCUUUGCCAUAGACUAGACGAUAGGGAGACAUGCCAAGAAUAGUCUUAUAAGCUGUUCUGUAUGCCCAUAAUGAAUCAUGAAGCUUAAUAGAUCAAUCUUUUCUGCUUGUAAUCACCACUUUCAUCAGUAUGUUUUUGAUUUCCCUGUUUGCUAACUCCACUUGCCCGGAAGUUUGAGGAUGAUAAGGUGUAGCUACCUUAUGCUUCACUCCAUACUUGGUUAAUAAGGCUUCAAAAGGUUUGUUGCAAAAAUGAGUACCUCCAUCACUGAUUAUGGCCUUGGGCACCCCAAAUCUUGAGAAGAUGUUCUCCUUAAGAAAUUUGAGAACCACCCUGUGAUCAUUCUGUUUACAGGGGAUUGCCUCCACCCAUUUGGAAACAUAGUCCACCCCCACCAAUAUAUAGGAGUUACCAAAAGACAUUGGGAAAUGUCCCAUGAAGUCAAUACCCCAAACAUCAAAAAGAUCAACUAUAAGGAUGGGGUUCAUAGGCAUUUAAUUUCUUUUUGUUAGCUUCCCAAGCCUUUGGCAUCUAUCACAGCUCCUACACAUGAUGUGGGCAUCUUUGAAAAGCGAUGGCCAAGUAAACCCUGAUUGCAACACCUUCAUGGCUAUUUUCUGAGAGGCAAAGUGGCCUCCACAUGCAUUUUCAUGGCAAUGACUGAGGAUCCCUUGUUGCUCUUCUUCAGGGACACACUUUCUUAUGAUCUGAUCUGCACAAUACUUGAAAAGGAAAGGCUCCUCCCAAUAAUAAGCAUGAAUUUUUGCAAAGAAGUGCUUCCUGUCUUGUGCAUUCCACUCACUUGGAACUUCACCAAUAACCAAAUAGUUAGCAAUAUAAGCAUACCAAGGAGCUUUCUCUAGCAACAUAAGUGAUUCCUCAGGAAAGUCAUCAUUAAUAGGUAAUACAUGGGAAUUAUGUGCUAUAGCCAACCUUGAAAGGUGGUCAGCUACCACAAUCUCCACCCCUUUCUUGUCUCUGAUUUGGAGAUCGAACUCUUGUAACAAAAGAAUCCAUCUAAUCAACCUUGCUUUUGCAUCUUGCUUUGUCAAUAAAUACUUCAAGGCUGAAUGGUCAGUGAAAACAGUGAUGAAAGACCCUACCAAAUAAGCAUGAAACUUGUCUAAGGCAAACACCACAACUAACAAUUCUUUCUCUGUAGUUGUGUAGUUUCUUUGAGCUUCGUUCAAUGUCUUGCUUGCAUAAUAGAUCACGUAGGGCUUCCCAUCUUCUCUUUGGCCAAGUACAGCUCCUAUAGCAAAGUCACUGGCAUCACACAUUACUUCAAAGGGUAAUUGUCAGUUAGGAGCCCUUACUAUUGGAGCGGUAGUAAAAAAUUGCUUCAAUUGAUCAAAACUCUUUUGACAUCUUUCAUCCCAUAUAAACUUAGCAUCCUUAGCCAAAAACUCACAAAGAGGCCUUGACAGCUUAGAGAAAUCUUGUAUAAACCUCCUGUAGAACCUUGCAUGGCCAAGGAAUUGCCUUACUCCUUUGACAGUGGUUGGGGAUGGCAAUUUGGCAAUACGUUCCACCUUUGCUUUAUCAACUUCAAUGCCUUUCUCGGAGAUGAUAUGGCCAAGGACAAUUCCUUGACGUACCAUAAAAUGACAUUUCUCCUAGUUGAGCACCAAGUCCUUCUCAAUGCAUCUGUUAAGAACUGCUUCCAAAUUGACUAAGCAUUCCUCAAAUGUACCUCCAUAUACGGUGAUGUCAUCCAUGAAAACCUCCAUAAUUCGCUCCACCAUAUCACUGAAGAUACUAAGCAUACAUCUUUGGAAUGUUACAGGUGCAUUGCAUAAACCAAACGACAUUCUUCUGUAAGCAUAUGUUCCAAAUGGACAUGUAAAAGUGGUCUUCUCCUGAUCUUCAACAUCAAUUUCAAUUUGAAAAUAUCCGGAGUACCCGUCCAAGAAACAAUAAAAAGGAUGGCCAGAGACUCUCUCCAGCACCUGGUCAAUAAAUGGGAGUGGAAAAUGAUUUUUCCUUGUCACAGCAUUCAAUUUCCUAUAGUCAAUACACACCCUCCAACCUGAAGUGAGGCGUGUAGCAAUUUCUUCUCCUUUUUCGUUCUGAACCACAGUAAUACCUGACUUCUUUAGUACCACUUGAGUAGGACUCACCCAAGGGCUGUCAGAUAUGGGAUAAAUAAUACCUGCUUGGAGUAGCUUCAGCACUUCAGCUCGCACCACUUCUUGUAAAUGAGGAUUCAAUCUUCUUUGAGGUUGACGAAUUGGUUUAGCUUCUUCCUCCAUAUAUAUGUAAUGUGUACAAACCAAAGGACUGAUUCCUUUCAAGUCAGAUAUUUGCCAUCCUAUUGCUUUCUUGCACCUCUUGAGAACUUCAAGUAAACACUUCUCGCGAUGACUAGUAAGAGAUGAAGAUAUAACAACAGGACAUUGAUUAUUUUCUUCAAGGUAUGUAUAUUUCAGUUCCACGGGCAGAGGCUUCAAAUUGAGCUUUGGGGUCUCUUCUUCAGCAGCUUCUCCUUCCUCUUUAUUGAAUAAAGGUAGGAUCUCUUCUUUCCUCCUCCAACUUUGUAGAGUAGCAAGCAUAUCAGCGGGUUCAGACAACCCUUCUUCAAGAUCCUUAAGACUUUCAUUCAACUCGUCUUGCAUAUUCUGAUCACAAUGCUCCUCCACUAGAGUGUCAAUAAUGCAUACCUCUUCUGGACCUUCUUCUUCUUCCGGAGUAAUCAGCUUCUUUGACAUAUGAAAGAUAUUAAGCUCAAGUGUCAUGUUACCAAAAGUAAGUUGCAUAAGUCAAUUCCUACAAUUUAUGAUUGCAUUUGAAGUAGCAAGGAAUGGCCUUCCAAGGAUGAUAGGAACAUAAUUAGCUUCCUUAACUAAAGGAUCAGUAUCAAGAACAAUAAAAUCUACUGGAUAGUAGAAAUUAUCAACUUGAACUAAUACAUCUUCAAUUAUCCCCCUUAGAAUUUUCACUGACCUAUCAGCUAAAGAUAGGGUGAUUGAUGUUGGCUUCAACUCACCAAGUCCCAAUUGCUUAUAAAUAGAGUAUGGUAGCAAAUUCACACUUGCUCCCAAAUCUAGCAAAGCUUUUUCCACUACCUUUCCUCCAAUCAUGACUGAAAUGGUAGGACAUCCCAGAUCUUUGUACAUCAAAGGAGAUUUUCAUUGUAUGAUGGCACUUACUUGUUCAGUUAAGAAGGCUUUCUUAUUCACAUUCAACCCUCUUUUGAUAGUACAAAGGUUCUUUAGGAAUUUUGCAUAUGAUGGAACUUGCUUAAUCAUGUCCAGCAAUGGAAUGUUGACUUUCACUUGGCUCAAUACUUCAAGGAUUUCUGAUGCAUUUUUUAUCCCCUUUUCCCAUGCAAAGCUUGAGGAAAAUGAGGAGAUGUACGUUUCAUCAUCAAUUCUUCCUUGAUAAGCUAUUUCUCCAGAUUUGCAUUCACUGUUGAAUCACGGUCCUUUUUCCCUUCACUGAUAUCUUUCUUCUUUCCUUUCAUUUCCCCCCUCUUAUUUGUCUCUUCUUCUUCCUUCUCUUCAACAUAUGGCUUGGGUGUUGGUGACUCAACCUUUUUACCACUCCUUAGAGUGAUCAAGGCUUUAACCUCUCUCACCUGUGAAGAUUCUCCCUCAUGAGUUUCCACUUCGUGGAUACCCUUGGGGUUUUGGUGAGGUUGAGAAGGAAAUCUACCCUUCUCCUGCACUGUGUUCAUAUUAGUGAGCCUUGAGAUUGAGUAUUGGAGAUUAUCUAUCUUCUGAGAUAAGUCAUUUUGCAGCCCAUCAAUCCUUUUGUUCAAAGUAUUCUCUACACUGUCAAUUCUUUGACUGAGCUGAGCAUUGAUGGAUUUUUGUUCUCCAACAAAAUCUCCCACAAUCUUGCUGAGAUUUACUAUUGCUUGUUCAAGACUUGAAGCUUGUUGAGAUGGUUGAGCUGGCUGUUGGUACUGAGGUGCUCUCGGCUUCCAUGAAAAAUUUGGAUGAUUCCUCCAACUUGAGUUGUAAGUAUCGCCAUAUGAAGCAUUGCUAUUGGGCUUGAAUUUUCCAAUGACAUUUGCUUGUUCUCCAAACAUUUCUCUAGCAACUGGAAUUGUAGGGCACUCCUCUACCAAGUGUUCAUAAGAUUGACAAAUAGAACAUGGCUUUACUUGCAUUGGUGUUUCAGCAACAGCUUGCACUUCAUUCAUCUUUUUCAGUUCUAGCGCUUCCACUCUUCUUGUCAUAGUUGCAAAUUUUGCUUUCAUUUCAACAUCUUCAUUCAAGGUGUACAUCCCAGCCUUAGCAUGAAGAGCAUUUGGUUGAGACUUCAUCUUUCCCACUUCUCCUCUGUGCGGUUCAUCCCAUCCUCUUGAGACUUCAGCUACAUAACUCAAGAAAUCCAUAGCUUCCUCAUGAUUCUUACUCAUGAAAUCCCCUCCACACAUUGUUUCGAGGAGUUGCUUCAUUGAGGAAGACAUCCCAUCAUAGAAAUAACUCACCAACAGCCAUGUGUCAAAGCCAUGGUGAGGACAAGCAUUAAUGGCUUCCAUGUAUCUUUCCCAACACUCAUAGAAUUUCUCAUUCUCUUUAGCUGAGAAGUUUGAAAUUUUCCUUUUCAAGCUAUUUGUUCUGUGAGUGGGAAAAAAUUUCUUGAGGAAUUCAGCUUGUAAAUCAGUCCAAGAACGGAUACUCCUUGGCCUUAAAGAAUUAAGCCAAAUCUUGGCCUUAUCCUUUAAAGUAAAAGGAAAUAAUUUAAGCCUCAUCAGGUCGAUAGAAGCUCCUCCCUCUCGGAAUGUAUUACAAACAUAUUCAAAUUCCUUGAUAUGGGCAUAGGGAUUCUCACUUUCCAUUCCAUGGAAAGUUGGCAGAAGUGGCACAAUAUGGGGUCUGAUCACUAGCUGCUCUAUAGAGGGCACUAUACAUGAUGGUGCACUCAUACGAGGUGGAUGCAUACGGUCCCUCAUUGAUCUGAAUUCAUUGGGAUUGUCCUGAUGAUCAUGGUGACUAUGCUGAUCCUCAGGUGUAGUUUCCAUGAUGUUCAAGAUUACUUCCAACUCCUUGUUAUGAGGUGUAUUAAGUUUAACAAGCCUUCCUCCAUUGUCUCGUAUCCACUUUGGCAUACACAACUAGUAUCAACUGUAACUAAAAUGAAAUUAAAAGAAAACAAAAGAAAACAGGGCUACCAAAAUUUUUUUUCUAAAAUAGACUAAACUGAAUUUAAAAGAUAUAUUAGAUUAUGAACAAGUAAAGAUACAAAAAAAUAGAAUUAGUAAAAUGAAAGAAAAGUUACCAAACUUGUGAUGAAAAUCACAAGUACUCUGAAAUAAUAUCACUAUGAAGUUGGCACCUUCCCCGGCAACGGCGCCAUUUGAUUCGUUCCCACUUGGUGUAUCAGCUGAUUCAUGUCCAACUGGUGCUCCUUGAUUGAGAGAGUAAUCAACAAAAUUUAUAACCUAUUACACCAUGAACUAGGGUAGCAAAGACAAAGCUACUAUAGCAUAGUGGCUCUAGGAUCGUUCACUGGGAAGGGUUUUCAACUCUCAACUGAUACCAAUUCAAAGCUGAGUUGGUGAUUUUUCAUUUCAAUGUUAGCUUAAAAGAAAACAUAAAGAUGUUUGGGUGAAAAGGGUUUGGUCUUAAACUAACCAAAAAGAAAGUAAUGGAAAUUACUUAUGAAGAAAAACAUUCCUUGGAGGUUUAGGUUCAUAGGGGAGGUUCCUUAUGUAAAAACAGAGCUCCGGUCAUUUGGUUCAUUUCCUCGCAUUAGAGAAUUAACAUAUAGUUAAUUCUCUAACCGGUGCUAUACAGAUGUAUCCUUUAAAUGGAUUUCAAACUCUAAUUCCCUCUCACUGAUGCAUCUUGCAAUGACUCAUACCUCUCACCUAGCACUUGCCAUUCAAGGUGAUCUUUAACUUUGGAUUACCCGUCAAAAGCUCACAAGAGAUAACUAAUGGAUGUCUCCUUAGAGUCCAAAAGCUUACCAAGUGUUGGCAAUUCUAGAAAAUCCUACCUACAAGUCACUUCCCAAAAGCUUGCAAGAGGUAAACUAGUGCAUCUCCAUGGAUAGAAAUCACUUGCCUUACCAAGUGUUGGCUCAAGUGAAUUGAAGGCGUUUUAAGUUAACUAAAAACAUAGAAAUCAUUAAAGGAUCACACUUUCUCUUCAUUAAUGGCUGAAACCACAAAUCUAUUAAUUCUUGCACUUGGACCCUUUCCUAGCAACCUUAACUCCAAGGAACUAAAAGUCUAGCCACUCAUUCUCUGAGGAAACUUCCUCAGAGCUUGUUUGGCUAGAAAGAAAACUAAUGAGAAAACAAAUAUUAAGCAAAAACAGAGCAAGUGCUCUGUACAAUAUAUUUCUUCCUUCCGUUUAUUACAUAGAUUCUUCUUUUUCAAGAAAAUUACAAACUAUAUAUAUGAGGUUAUUCACCCUUUUUACUUACUUAAAUAUUAAGGAAUACUAUGAUAGGUGGGUUACAAGGAGACUUUGGGAAAUUAGACAUAAAAUAUCUAAAGCAAAAUAUCCCAAAAUAUCAUUGGCAAAUAUCAGGAAGCUUCAAGAGCACACAGCAGCACUGUGCAGAAUGGCUGCUCUCCCAUUCAGGUAGGUGGCUAUCAGAUGAUCCGGAUACGUCCGUCCGGAGAAGUUGAAACGCCUCCUCUCCCAUCCGGCGUCAGAAUUCUGGAUGUGAACAUCCGGGGGUGGAAAGUACGCGACAGCCGGGUGCAAAAAUGGCGGCGCGCAUCCGGGUGUACAUGGCGGCAGCUGGGUGCAAAUCCUACCCGAGUGGAAUGUUGUUCGGAUGAAACGAUAGCAUCUUAUCCGGAUAUGUUGUCUGGAUGCCUUCCGAUGGUAUAUCCGGACGCACUGUCCGGGUAUACUCCUUGUAUGGAUUCCAAAGAACUCUCCUCAAUCUCAGAUUUGCUUUGGUGAUCAAAAAGCUAUCAAAACACCAAAACUUAACACAAUUUGAUUAGAAUUGAUUGCAAGGGUCCUUAAUAUGUUAAUUGGGUUAAAAGGUAAUAACUACUACUCAAAAGUGUCAAAAAGAGUUAAUUACAAGCUAUGAAAUAGCACUUUUUGAGUAGUAAUCAAUUUUCAUGGUGAAAUUUCAUCUCUAGAUAUAUGUUUAGGAUAUAUUUUGCAAGUGUCUUUGUUCUAGAUGCAUGCCAAUUGUUCUGUAAAGUGUCCUUAAAGUGAAUUAAUUUGGUAUUGAUUGACACGUAAUUAAAUGUUUUGGGAUUUUGUAUUGCAAUAUAGACACAUUGAAGAUGUUGUCAAUAAAGUAGUGAUUUUGGCACUGCAGGGCUCUUCAAUUUCUUUCUUCAUUUUUCAAUUUGCACGAAUGUGGAAACUUUUACACAUGAAUCAUUUGCUACAAUAAUGAUCAUGCAUGUAAAUUUGGUCUACUUUUCCCAUUCUCUAUAAUUGAUUAGCUUUGGAGCUGUUUGACAAUAAUAUAUAGGAAACCUCUGAUGCAGGCUUCUGACAUUAAAAUGAGCUAAAGAUGGGUUUGGAAACCACUUUCAAAUGAAAAUUGACAUGCAUAAUUUUUGGUGUAUUUGACACAUGCAAUAAAAAUUACUUAAAUAGGAGUGACUUUGUCACAUGGCUUCGGAUGGAAUUACAGCACAGUAUUGGAAUUAGUAUUCAAAUGGCUGCCCUAUGGAGAGUUUUUUAGGUCUCAAUCUUAACAGUAUAGGUUGACCACUCGGAAAUUGGGACCACAACCUAGCCUAGGCUUGAUCCAAGCACUACUUAGAGACACAUUUCACUUAACUUCUUUGAUCUGUUACUUGUAUUUAUUGUGACACUUAGGUGGUGUUUGUUUUUUGGCUGAACAAAAAAAGUAAAAAUAUUUGGUUUUUUCUAUUCAGUUAAAAAUAACAUGUUGACAUCAUCCAACAUAACUAAACUGAACCUAUUGAUAACAAGUUCAUUUUAGCUAUGUUGGAUGAUGUCAACAAGUUACUUUUAGCUUAAUAGAAAAAGCCAAAUAUUUUGGCUUUUUCUAUUCAGCCAAAAAACAAACACCACCUAAGUUGCUUCUUGUUUAUCUGAUCUAGGAAGCUUGUUUUGUCAAAGAAGCAAGACCUUCCGAUGUUUAUGGAUGAACUCCUCUUGUCAGCAUUGGUUCUAACUUUGGUCCAUUUUUCCCAUUCUCUAUAAUUGAUUAGCUUAGGAGCUGUAUGGAGAGGAAAAUGACAUGGGUCGGUGUUUGACAAUAACAGGAAACCUCUGAUGCAACAUUGGUUCAUUAAUAUUCACCAAAAAGUGAACAAGCUUGGAGCCUUCGGUAGAUAUUUUACAAAGCCUUCUGUACUGUUAUCUUAUGCUAAGUACUGAAUAUAAAUGUUGUUGAGGGUACCACCAGUGACAUGCAGAUGCAAUGUUUAUUUUGAGAACGCCAACGGCAUAGUGCAUCAACGGAUAUUUGAGUUUUCCGAGAAGGAGGCCUUUACAUCAUCGACCAGAUCUGGAUUAUUUGAAUUUAGUACGGUCCUGCUAUUGUUUUAUUCUCUUGCACAAACCAUUCUUCAAAAUAUGUUAUCAUGACAUAGAUAAACUUUUCAUUUGCUUAACAUUGUUUAAAGGGCUUGACAUUGCUCAACAUUAUCUGAGCUUUUCUCCUACAGAUACUUCUUUGGCAUGGCAAUGCAACCAGACUUAAGGCGAUGGCACUCACUUACAUACUCUGCAAGAGCCCACAAUGGAAAAAUAUUCCUGUAAUCUGCAUAGUGUAACAAGCAGUUCUUCAUGAAGGCUCCAGUGAUUUCCUGCCAUAGAUAAUUGAUGAUUAAAUGGUUAGACUCCCACCCAGUAUAUAUAGUCAGCUACAAAAGAACAUUUUCCAUUUCCCAAAACCAUGUUAAAAUGUUGCUCCUUUAGUUUUUUAUUCAUGUUCAAGUGAGCUACCUGUUGGGGAAAAUCACCAUCUUCCAUUUGGGAAUUAAUAAACAGCUUUGCAGCCCUGUGAAGAGGUGUUGGGUCUCUCUCCGCCUGUUAGAAAGGAAAGGCUAGACUCAGAUGUUUGGGGAGAAGCCAUAUUGUGAAAGUAAUGUAGAAGACCAAGUUAAGCUUAUUGAUGACGGAACUGUAAAAACUAACCUGCCCUGAAGAAAGCAGCCCCAUCAGAGCCCACCCGGUUUGCACCAAAUUUGACUUGUUUCCUUCAAGAGGCAUAUAUUUCUAUAUCACCAAGCACAAGGAUUACUUGUUUUUGUCCAUGUUUCUACCAGAAAAUAGAGCAGUGGGUGGCAUGUAAAAAUUACCUUGUCCGAGCAAGAAGUACAGUUCUCUCCCCAACCACCAUCAUCUCUUUGUGAUUUGAGUAGAAACUCAACAGCUCUACCAAUAGCAAGACAGUUGUGGUAAGUCUUGCCAGCAGCUGCUAGGCCCCCAAGCGCAAACCAUGAGCCAUAGGUGAAACAUACUCCCCAAUUGCCAUACCUGGUGAAAUGUUUCUUUGUUUAAAUGGAUCUGCACUGCAUAUAUAUAAAAAUAUUUCCCUAGUGAAAUAAUAAUAGUGGAGUUGAGAAACAUACCAUGAGCCAUCAGGCAUUUGCAUGUCUUCAAUGUACUUAGCAGCAUUUGUGAUGAAAUUGUCUAUCUCCUUCUUCCUGUGUCCCGGGUGUAACUUCUUAAAAGAAACUAGAGCCUUAAUUGCUGAUGCAGUGCACUCAACAUACCUGCAUCAUUGUUUCGUUAGUCUCCAAGGACGUUAAAGCUAGCAAAGUUAGAAAAGAAAGCUGGUCAAUUAUCAAGAAUCUUACUCAUGCUCGAUGACAAUGUCUGGAAAAAAUUCAGUGGGGUUAAGUAGCUGAAAAGAGAAGAGAUUGGCAUUGAUUUAGAUUCAAAGAACACAAAGAGUUAGAAAGAGAGAGAGAUAAUGCAGAAAUAUUGAAGUUACUUAAACAUGUUGAAGUAAUUUACCUCCAACCAUUCUGAAGCUCCUGCAGGCUCCCAGGCAGCUAAACCACCAUUUUUACUCUACAGUGGUUUAAAAAAUGGGGGUUAUUGCUACUAAGAAGUUAUGACCUAUUUUGUGAUGGGGACAACCAUGGAAAUGGUGUAAGGAAGAUGAUUCUCACCUGUAGAGAAAGCAAGAUGUUGACAGAAUCAAAUAGUCGUUCAGGUUCCAUCUUCAUACCAACAAUCUCUGGUGUCAUCAUUGAAAAGAGGAGACAACACUGUGACAGAGAGGGGACUUCAGUAAGAAACCAAGUAACUUUAGUUAAUCUACAAGCCCUGACUCAAUUGAAGUGUUUGAGCAAAAAGAGUUACCUUCAAACCUUCUGCAGUGCAAUCAGAAACUUGCCAACCAUGAUCCUGAUCUGAGAAUGUCCACGAUCCCUUGGAAAUGUGGCGGUACAUGCUUUUAAAGUCACCAGAAGGAUUGUCCUUGACCUUCAAGAUUUCAGGCAGUAUGAAGUAAAUAGACCAUGAGAAACCCAAGUAGAUUCUGGUUGAAGUAAAGAAAUAAACGAUGGAAUUCAAGAUCAAACCUGAGAUUCCUUUAUGAAUUCAUGUCCUUUCUUGAGUGCAGGUCCAAGUUCAUCAGUCAUAUUGCAAGCUAGCAGUGCUUGAAGGGCAAAACUAGUGUCCCACUCUUGACUACCAAAGCUCUGCAAUAAUCGACAAUUUCAAAACCAAUUAGGCAGGAAAGGGAUAAAAGCAGCUUCAAACCAGUUGCAUACCUAAAAAAUUUUAAGAAAAAGAUCAACAGAUAUUAUCUAAUUUUCCUACAACUGUUUGGGAGAUUAGUGAUUGAAUUAACUUGUCUUCUUACCUGCAUCUUUAUUCCAUCUUCUGCAACCCAUAUAUAAUCUGGGAUCCUAGCAAGGUGCUUCUUGAAAUAAUCCCCAUUUGGAUCUUCAACCCAACAUGAGAGCAUACACAAUACCUGUUCAAUUUAAGGGAUAUCAGUACCCCAAAAGGAGUGACAUAUUGUCUGAAUAGUCAUUAUCCAUUACUGAAAAAAUACCUUCGCCACACAUCCAAUGGUUAUGUAUCGACUGUUUUCAUCUUCAUAAUGGAUGUGUUUCAUUGUUACUUCAAGAGCCUUCUGUCUCAACUUGUUGAAGGGCCAACGAGUAAGAAGAGGCUCAGUACAUAUGUACAAACUAUCCCACAUCAGAUCUUGUAUUAGGGGAUGGGAGUAGUAGAGAUCCUCCUGCAAUAAACAAUUUUGAAUGUGUUUCAUGCAUGCGAAGCAUAUUCAUAGGAAAAAGAAAAGUUUUCCAUACAAAAUCAAAACUUACCUUCGCACAAAGAUGUCGUACUUUCUUCCAAUUGAUUUCAUUAUAUGGUUGAAGGAAGAGCUCUUUUCUCAGUUCUAGAACAAGAGGCGUGAUUGGGCCAACAAAUCGUUUACCAUAUAACUAUGACAUGGGCAUGUAAACCAACCGACAGUGGCACCACAUUUUUGCUGCAUUUAUGGACUUAAAUUACAAGAAGCUCGACCAACGAUAGGAAAAUGAAAGUUAGACCGAAGUAGACAUGGGAAUGUCAUUUCUUGAGACUAAUAAACCAUCCCCAGGUUGAAUUUUUAAGUAUUCAUGCGUGAUCUUAUAAUUGUAUAAGGCUGAAGUUACACAGCUUUUGGCUUAAACAUUUCGAGUCCGUGUGACCAAUUCCAAGUUUUAUGUAAGAAGACCCUAGGAUGUAAAAUGCAUUAAGUGCAGAAGUAGAUGUGAAAUUCAAGCACUUGAGUAGAUGACUACAGCACAAACCUGGAUGCAUAGGAAGACGAGAAGGGAAGAGCCAAAACUCUGGGGGCAUUGGGUUGCUUCCUGACCAGUCAAACAAGCCAAAAAUCUACACGGAAGAAGCAAUCAUAUAAGAUUCAGUCCAUCACACAAGAAUGCAUUGUAUAGGAUGAAUGUGAACUUGUGUUUCAAAUGGCCAUACUGAAAGCCAAGUCUUUCCCCAAGAGGGAAGGGAUGUCACUCCACCACGAUCGAGGAUCCAUUUACGCCCUCUUGCACAAGCAUUGUCUCUACCACCAUCGCGCCCUUCUCCAAGGAUACGCAUACAAUGGGCCAGCAUUUUCAGCAGGCCAAUGGCCAUCACUAGCCUGCAAAGCUGAAAAGAAAUGUGCACCCCUUCUCACUGCUGUUGUGGCUGUCUCAUAUGUAAUUUCUUCACCAUCCCCAACCUUAACUUGUGGUAUUGUUUGUUUGAAAUUUUUCUCUCUCAAAAACUGCAAUUUUUUUUGGCCAAAUGAAAUGGGAGUUAGUGAAGAGGAAGUUUAAAAGAAAAGGUAAAUUAACCUCAAUAGUAAGCAUCUAUUUAUACAAUUGUUCCAAGCUAAGAGAAUUAUUACAAUUUUUAAAGCGCAUAAUAUAUAUUUUGGGUUAAAAUCCUACAAACUUAAUCUUUUAGGAAAUUAAUUGUUUAACAUGGUAUCAAAGCUCGGCUUUGGAAUCGGUCUUACCUGUCAUUAGCCGACAAUUUGCUUGAUGGUGUCUCAACCAAUUUAAAAGAAAAGAAAAGAAAAGGUAAAUUAACCUCAAUUGUAAGCAUCUAUUUAUACAAUUGUUCCAAGCUAAGAGAAUCAAGAUAGAGUUAGCAAUUGUUAAACUGCAUAAUAUAUAUUUUGGGUUCAAAUCCUACAAACUUAACUUUUUAAGAAAUUAGUUGUUCAACAUGGUAUCAAUGCUCGGUUUUGGAAUUGGUCUCACCUCUCAUUAUCCAACAAUAUGGUGGUAUCUUAACCUAGGGCCUGGUGUAUGAGGGGAAUAUUGUUGGGUUCUCCCAUAUCUCUUAUAGAAGGAAUUGGGUGACUCUUUAUCAGUGUGCAUGAAAAUCUCAGCCUUUUAAGCUAAUUUUUUGGGGUGAUAAGGCCCAAAAUCACCCAAUAGUAGUGUCCCCAAUAUUAUUUUUCUUUUUUACUUUAUGAUAUCAUAACCCCAUUUGGUGGGAGGUGAACGUCAUAUGGUUGCCCACUAUGGUCACUUUGUUUGAAGUCAAGUGGUUUCAAUACAUGCUUCUUUUCCCAAUUUAUCAAGUUCGCAUGCAAGCCUGAAAAUAGAAGCUGCACAUGUAAGAGGGAGAGAGAGUGAGAGAUUAUGGUUGUUUGGUGGUGAAAACAUGAUUCUAAAGAGGACCCCAUAUCUUGCGAUUUUUUGGGUUCCUUUUUUCAUAGAAAUCAUCACCCAUAAUCAAACAAAUGGAAACAAAACAAGAAAAGCUAUGUAGCUAGACUACGUAAAACAACAAGUAUGUAUGCAUGCAAGACACGUAUAGUCAGUGAAAAACUGCAAUCUAGGACGCAGAUGACAGAUCAAUAUCUGUUGUGAUAUCAAGACUUGAGAUAGAUGGGAUCAAAUCACCUGCAUCCGCCAAAGGAGGUCGCUGCUGGGCUUAACCUGAAACCGGUUUUUCCAGAAAUUUUCACGAGCUGCUUCGACCUCAGCUCGCUCUUCUGUGGUUCCAUAGUCAGGAUCAAACUCCCAUAUCUGUCUUCCCACGAAGUUGUUGGUGGUGUAGAUGUAGGAAUCAUUGCCUCCAUCUGCAACCUUGAGCCUCCACAUUUUCAAACUCACCAAACUGACGAGAUAUAUCUCUAUAUAUAUCUAAGUUUACAAAUAUGUGUCUCCCUUCCGAAAACACCUGCUGAUCAUGCAAUCACCAGAAAGGUAAGAAAAGCUUUUCUUUGCAAUAAAAUUAAGUUAAAAUGAUACAGACCAAGGACAGAGAGAUAGGUGCUGGGUGGGCAGAGAAGAGAGAAGCUUCAGAAACUUGGAAUGGCGAGUUCCAGGAGGGAAUCGCUCAUUCAUAUAGAAGCACAGCAGCAAGUCAAUCACCAACCCCCAUGACUUGUAUUUAUGAAUGAGACUAUUAACACUUAAUUUAUGCUUAUCUAUAUAUAUGAAGUGAUGUCAGCCAUAGUAACUUGAUUUCUAAAUUCAUGAAUCUUGUAACAGACCCUGAUAGAUAUCAGUCCUUCAAUCAUAAAAUUAAUAUGGUUUAAGACAUACAGUCCCUGAUACAUCAAUUAGUUAUGUUUAAGUGACGUUUCACCAAUUUUUCCCCAACGUCCAACAAAAGUCUCAAUUAAAGCACAAAAAAUUUAAUUUAGAUGGUGGACAUGUGAAAAAUUCCAGUUUUGCAAAGAAAAAAAAAAAGAAAAAAAAAAGAAAAAAAAAGAAAAAAAAAAAAGAAAAGGAAAUAAUUGACCUUCUGUGUUGUUGCCACCAGUUAUGAUGGGUGUUCAUUUUUAGAGAGAAUUGUGCUUAAGGGAGUCCACUUGUUCAUAAUGGGUCAAACAUCCUUCAAAAUCUUAUAAUUGACAAUUGAUAAGAAGGAUAUAAACUUUAGAGAGACCAGGGUACCCUUCAAAGUUGUUAUGUCCCUUAACACCAAUACUUUCACCGAUUGUUGAAUUAGAAAAGUUAUCAAUUCAUGGUUUAUUCAUCAGACUGACAGGCAAACUAUAGUCGAAAUUAACCUAAACUAAAACAAGAAUUUAAAAAGAGAACUUACGUUCAACCGUGUAAGAGGGGCUGCUAUUAGAACACUCUUAAUCCUUCCAAUCUGAUGCCUUAUAUGCUACAUGUUCUAAAAGAAAAUCCCGAGACGUCCUCAAAGUGGCAGCUUCUGUGAUCUUCUUUGCAUGGUAUGGUUGCCCUCCAAAUUUCAUCAAAACGUGUGGAUGUCUUUCACAAAAUCUGGUGGUGCCAUAUUCUUAAAGUGGAAGCCUUUUUUUUUUUUUUUACACAAAAAAUAAACUGAUAUGUAGUGGAGGUUCAAAGUGGCAACCUUAUUCUCAUCCUAGUAGUGCGUGGUGGAUACCUCUCACAAAAUCUGGUGGUGCAAAAAUCUGUGCGUGGAGGGGCUUUUUUAGUGGCAGCGUGCUGUGUAAAAUCCACAGAUGCAGCCUUGAUGGAGAUCUCUUGCUAAUGCAUAAUCAGUCCGGUACGUCUUAAGGAAGAUUCAGACAUUCAAUGCAUGCAGUUCCCUAUUCUCUUCGAGUAACAAGGAUUGUUCAAGCUUUAACUCAGCAAAAGUAUAGCCUGAAAAUCAUAUAUCAAUGAUUAUGGUGCAUUCUGUUGCUUCAAUUGAUAGAAGCAUUGCUGCCUGACCAUAUGUCGUGCCACUGUUUCAGUUCCGACAAUCUCCAUCUUCUCAUUCCAUUUUCCAGUAGAAUUUAUAUGGAGAUAUAUAGUCUUUGUGGGGUUGUCGAAAUCCAACCACAUGAAUUGAGAGUAAGAAGCUUAGCUAUUACAGGUAUGACGGGCAUGCCUAAACAAUAAUUUCAAGUUUCUAAGAGCAGUAGAUCCCUUCAAAUCCUCAGAUUUUAGAAACAUAGGCCAAAAAAAUACUCAGACUUCUCCACCCCGCAACCAUUCCAUUGCAAUUGUAAAUAUGCAGUAAGUAUAACCAGUCCAGUCUUGAAGGCCACUUCUUGUGCCACUGUAUUGGCUUUCAUUUUGGAAUGGUUAGAUAUGCAGGAAGCUUGUUUUAUCAAAGAAGCAAGACCUUUCGAUGUUUAUGGAUGAAUUCCUCUUGUCAGCAUUGGUUCUUUAAUAUUCACCAAAAAGUGAACAAGCUUGGAGCCUUAGGUAGAUAUUUUACAAAGCCUUCUGUACUGUUAUCUUAUGCUAAGUACUGAAUAUAAAUGUUGUUGAGGGUACCACCAGUGACAUGCAGAUGCAAUGUUUAUUAUGAGAACACCAACGGCAUAGUGCAUCAACGGAUAUUUGAGUUUUCCGAGAAGGAGGCCUUUACAUCAUCGACCAGAUCUGGAUUAUUUGAAUUUAGCAAGGUCCUGCUAUUGUUUUAUUCUCUUGCACAAACUAUUCUUCAAAAUAUGUUACCAUGACAUAGAUAAACUUUUCAUUUGCUUAACAUUGUUCAAAGGGCUUGACAUUGCUCAACAUUAUCUGAGCUUUUCUCCUACAGAUGCUUCUUUGGCAUGGCAAUGCAACCAGACUUAAGGCGAUGGCACUCACUUACAUACUCUGCAAGAGCCCACAAUGGAAAAAUAUUCCUGUAAUCUGCAUAGUGUAACAUGCAGUUCUUCAUGAAGGCUCCAGUGAUUUCCUGCCAUAGAUAAUUGAUGAUCAAAUGGUUAGACUACCACCCAGUAUAUAUAGUCAGCUACAAAAGAACAUCAUUUUCCAUUUCCCAAAACCAUGUUAAAAUGUUACACCUUUGGUUUUUUAUUCAUGUUCAAGUGAGCUACCUGUUGGGGAAAAUCACCAUCUUCCAUUUGGGAAUUAAUCAACAGCUUUGCAGCCCUGUGAAGGGGUGUUGGGUCUCUCUCCGCCUGUUAUAAAGGAAGGUUAGACUCAGAUGUUUGGGGAUAAGCCAUAUUGUGAAAAUAAUGUAGAAGACCAAGUUAAGCUUAUUGAUGGUGGAACUGUAUAAACUGACCUGCCCAGAAGAAAGCAGCCCCAUCAGAGCCCACCCGGUUUGUACCAGAUUUGACUUGUUUCCUUCAAGAUGUGUAAGUUUCUGUAUCACCAAGCACAAGGAUUACUUGUUUUUCUGCAUGUAUCUACCAGAGAACAGAGCAGUGGGUGGCAAGUAAGAAUUACCUUGUCCUGGCAAGAAAUAUAGCUCUCUCCCCAACCACCAUCAUCUCUUUGUGAUUUGAGUAGAAACUCAACAGCUCUACCAAUAGCAAGACAGUUGUGGUAAGUCCUGCCAGCAGCUGCUAGGCCCCCAAGUGCAAACCAUGAGCCAUAGGUGAAACAUACUCCCCAAUUGCCAUACCUGGUGAAAUGAUUCCUUGUUUAAAUGGAUCUGCACUGCAUAUAUAAAAAGAGCUUUCCCCAGUGAAAUGGUAAUAGUGGAGUUGAGAAACAUACCAUGAGCCAUCAGGCAUUUGUUGGUCUUCAAUGUACUUGGUAGCAUUUGUGAUGAAAUUGUCUAUCUCCUUCGUCCUGUGUUGGGGGUAUAACUUCUUAAACAAAACCAGAGCCUGAAUUGCUGAUGCAGUGCACUCGACAUACCUGGAUCAUCAUUUUGUUAGUCUUCAAGGAAGUUAAAAGCUAGUAGAGUUAGAAAAAAAAGCUGGUCUAUUAUCAAGAAUUUUACUCAUGCUCGAUGACAAUGUCUUCAAAAAUUUCAGAGGGGUUGAACAGCUGAAAAGAGAAGGGAUUGACAUUGAUUUAGAUUCAAAGAAUACAGAGAGAGAGAUAAAACGGAAACAUUGAACUUACUUAAACAAGUUGAAGUAAUUUACCUCCAACCAUUCUGAAGCUCCUGCAGGCUCCCAGACUGCUAAACCACCAUUUUUACUCUGCAGUGGCUUUGAAAACAAGGGUUAUUGAUACUAAGAAGUUAUAACCUGUUUUGUGAUGGGGACAACCAUGGAAAUGGCCCAAGGAAGAUGAUUCUCACCUGUAGGGAAAGCAGGAUGUUGACAGAAUCAAAUAGUCGUUCGGGUUCCAUACCAACAAUUUCUGGUGCCAUCAUUGAAAAGAGGAGACAACACUGUAACAGAGGGUACUUCAGUGAGAAACCAAGUGACUUUAGUUAAUCUACAAGCCCUGACUCAAUUAAGUGUUUGAACAAAAAAAAUUACCUUCAAACCUUCUGCAGUGCAAUCAGAAACUUGCCAACCAUGAUCCUGAUCUGAGAAUGUCCACGAUCCUUGGGAAAUUUUGCGAUACAUGCUUUUAAAGUCACCAGAAGGAUUGUCCUUGACCUUCAAGAUUUCAAGCAAUAUGAAGCAAAUAGACCAUGAGAAACCCAAGUAGAUUCUGGUUGAAGUCAAGACACAAACCUGAGAUUCCUUUAUGAAUUCAUGUCCUUUCUUGAGUGUAGGUCCAAUUUCAUUUGUCAUAUUGCAAGCUAGCAGGGCUUGAAGGGCAAAACCAGUGUCCCACUCUUGACUACCAAAGGUCUACAACAAUCGACAAUUUCAAAACCAAUUUAGGCAGGAGAGGAUAAAAGCAUAGCUUCAAACCAGUUGCACACUUGAAAUAUUUUAAGAAAAAGAUGAAUAGAUAUUAUCUAAUUUUCCUACAACUGUUUGGGAGAUUAGUGAUUGAAUUAACUUGUCUUCUGACCUGCAUCUUUAUUCCAUCUUCUGCAACCCAUAUAAAAUCUGGGAUCCUAGCAAGGUGCUUCUUGAAAUAAUCCCCAUUUGGAUCUUCAACCCAACAUGUGAGCAUACACAAUGCCUGUUCAACUUAAGCCAUAUCAGUAUCCUAAAGAACUGACAUAUUGUCUAAAUAGAAGUUAUCCACUGCAGAAAAAAACCUUCUCCACACUUGCAAUAGUGAUGUAUCUACUGUUUUCAUCUUCAUAAUGGAUGUGUUUCAUUGUUACUUCAAGAGCCUUCUGUCUCAACUUGUUGAAGGGCCAACGAGUAAGAAGAGGCUCGGUACAUAUGUACAAACUAUCCCACAUCAGAUCUUGUAUUAGGGGAUGGGGGUAGUAGAGAUCCUCCUACAAUAAACAUAUUUGAAUGUGUGUUUCAUGCAUGCGUAGCAUAUUCAUCGGAAAAGGAAAAGUGUUCCAUACAAAAUCAAAACUUACCUUUGCACAAAGAUGCCGUACUUUUUUCCAGUUGAUUUCAUUAUAUGCUUGAAGGAAGAGCUCUUCUCUUAGUUCUAGAACAAGAGGCGUGAUUGGGCCAACGAAUCGUUUACCAUAUAGGUAUGACAUGGGCAUGUAAACCAACCGACUGUAGCACCACAUUUUUGCUGCAUUUAUGGACUCAAAUUACAAGAAGCUCAACCAACGAUAGGAAAAUGAAAGUUAGACCAAAGUAGACAUGGGAAUGUCAUUUCUUGAGACUAAUAAACCAUCCCCAGGUUGAAUUUUUAAGUAUUCAUGCGUGAUCUUAUAAUUGUAUAAGGCUGAAGUUACACAGCUUUUGGCUUAAACAUUUCGAGUCCGUGUGACCAAUUCCAAGUUUUAUGUAAGAAGACCCUAGGAUGUAAAAUGCAUUAAGUGCAGAAGUAGAUGUGAAAUUCAAGCACUUGAGUAGAUGACUACAGCACAAACCUGGAUGCAUAGGAAGACGAGAAGGGAAAAGCCAAAACUCUGGGGGCAUUGGGUUGCUUCCUGACCAGUCAAACAAGCCAAAAAUCUACACGGAAGAAGGAAUAUCAUAUAAGAUUCAGUCCAUCACACAAGAAUGCAUUGUAUAGGAUGAAUGUGAACUUGUGUUUCAAGUGGCCAUACUGAAAGCCAAGUCUUUCCCCAAGAGGGAAUGGAUGUCACUCCACCACGAUCGAGGAUCCAUUUACGCCCUCUUGCACAAGCAUUGUCUCUACCACCAUCGCGCCCUUCUCCAAGGAUACGCAUACAAAUGUAGCUGAGUGUUGUACAAAACAUUGUGCUGUGUCCCUCAAUAUGCAAUCCCCACCCACCAUCUUCAUUCUGCCAUGUACAUAAGCCAUUUUCAUACUUCAAAGCUCCAAGCCCAUUUAUGAGGUUAGGAUGAUGACUAGGUUCAAAAUAUAUAUACCUGAUGACAGUAUAGGUAGCGAAGAAUUUCUUUACGAUAUUCUCCAGGGAAUACAGUGUCAAGAUGCCCUGUAAUGUAUAGACACAUGACCUGCAUUUUCCAUGAAAUUAUUCCAUUGAGAAUGGCUGUUAAAAUGGUCCAUAUACAUGAUUUUAAGGAGGGUGAGAGGGUGUUGAGUAGACUCACCAGGGGAGGAAGGAAAUACAAUGGGCCAGCAUUUUCAGCAGGCCAAUGGCCAUCACUAGCCUGCAAAGCUGAAAAGAAAUGGGCACCCCUUCUCACUGCUGCUGUGGCUGUCUCAUAUGUAAUUUCUUCACCAUCCCCAACCUUCGCUUGUGGUAUUGUUUGUUUGAAAUUUUUCUCUCUCAAAAACUGCAGUUUAUUUAUUUAUUUUUUUUGGCCAAAUGAAAUGGGAGUUAGUGAAGAACAAGUUUAAAAGAAAAGGUAAAUUAACCUCAAUAGUAAGCAUCUAUUUAUACAAUUGUUCGAAGCUAAGAGAAUCAAGAUAGAGUUGCAAUUGUUAAAGAGCAUAAUAUGUAUUUUGGGUCCAAAUGCUACAAACUUAACCUUUUAGGAAAUUAGUUGUUCAUCAUGGUAUCAAAGCUCGAUUUUGGAAUGGGUCUUACCUUUCAUUGUCUGACAAUCUGAUUGAUGGUGUCUCAACCAGCUCAAAAGAAAAGAAAAGAAAAGGUAAAUUAAGCUCAAUAGUAAGCAUCUAUUUAUACAGUUGUUCCAAGCUCAGAGAAUCAAGAUAGAGCUCACAAUUGUUAAAGCACAUAAUAUAUAUUUUGGGUUCAAAUCCUACAAACUCAACCUUUUAGGAAAUUAGUUGUUCAAUAUGAUAUCAAAACUUGGUUUUGGAAUUGGUCUCACCUCUCAUUAUCUAGCAAUUUGGUCGAUGGUCUCUUAACCUAGGGCCUGGUGUAUGAGGGGAAUAUUGUUGGGUUUUCCCAUAUCUCUUAUAGAAGGAAUUGGGUGACUCCUUAUCAGUGUGAGGGAAAAUAUCUCCCUUUAAGUUAAUUUUUAGGGUGAUAAGGCCCAAAAUCACCCAAUAGUAGUAUCCCUAAUAUAUCCUCUCUUUUUUUUUGGUUUUACUUUAUGAUAUCUUAACCUCAUUAGGUGGGAGGUGAGCCUCAUAUGGUGGCACACUAUGGGCACCUUGUUUGAUGAAGUCAAGUGGUAUCAAUACAUGUUUUUUUUUUCCCAAUUCAUUAAGUUCAAGUGUAAGCCCGAAAAUAGAAGCUAGGCAUGUAUGAGGGAGAGGAAGGGUGUUAUAGAGAGAGAGAGAGAGAGGUGGGAGGUGAGCCUCAUAUGGUGGCCCACUAUGGUCACCUUGAUCGAUGAAGUCAAGUGGUAGAGAGAGAGAGAGAGAGAGAGGUGGGAGGUGAGCCUCAUAUGGUGGCCCACUAUAGUCACCUUGAUCGAUGAAGUCAAGUGGUAGAGAGAGAGAGAGAGAGGUGGGAGGUGACCCUCAUAUGGUGGCCCACUAUAGUCACCUUAGAGAGGUGGGAGGUGAGCCUCAUAUGGUGGCCCACUAUGGUCACCUUGAUCGAUGAAGUCAAGUGGUAUCAAUACAUGUUUCUUUUCCCAAUUUAUUAAGUUCGCAUGUAAGCCCGAAAAUAGAAGCUACACAUGUACGAGGGAGUGGGAGGGUGUUAGAGAGAGAGAGAGAGAGAGAGAGGGUAAUCAAACAUAUGGAAACGAAUUAAAUAAGAAAGCUAGCUAUGUAGCUAGACUACGUAAAAGAAGGAGUAUGUAUGCAUGGAAGACAUGUACGUUCAUUUAAAAACGGGAAUCUAGGAUGCAGAUGACAGAUAAAUAUCUGUUGUGAUAUCAAGACUAGAGAUAGAUGGGAUCAAACCACCUGCAUCCGCCAAAGGAGGUCGCUGCUGGGCUUAACCUGAAACCGGUUUUUCCAGAAAUUCUCACGAGCUGCUUCGACCUCAGCUCGCUCUUCUGUGGUUCCAUAGUCAGGAUCAAACUCCCAUAUCUGUCUUCCCACGAAGUUGUUGGUGCUGUAGAUGUAGGGAUCAUUGCCUCCAUCUGCAACCUUGAGCCUCCACAUUUUCUAACGCACCAAACAGACGAGAUAUAUCUCUAUGUAUAUCUAAGUUUACAAAUAUGUGCGUCUCCCUUCCGAAAACACCUGCUGAUCAUGAAAUCACCAGAAAGGUAAGACAAGCUUUUCUUUGCAGUAAAAUUAAGUUAAAAUGAUACAGACCAAGGACAGAGAGAUAGGUGCUGGGUGGGCAGAGAAGAGAGAGACUUCAGAAACUUGGAAUGGCGAGUUCCAGGUGGGAAUCACUCAUUCAUAUAGAAGCACAACACCAAGUCAGUCACCAACCCCCAUCACUUCUAUUAAUUCUUUUUUCACCCACUUCAAGUAUUUUAUGGAAUUUUUCACCUACCCCCACCAAGUUUGUGGAAUUUUUUGACUUUCAAUUAUUUUUUAUUGAUAUAUUUUAUUUCAAAGAAAAGCUUGUCUUACCUUUAUGGAGCCUCUGAUAUAAGGAUGGUGUCUUUGCAAUAAAAUUUUAUGGAAUUGAUAUAUUUUUUAAUUAAAGAAUCCCAUGCAUUAAUUUUAUUUAAAUAAAGUUUAUUUACUCAAUAAAAAUAUAUAAUUAUGUGCUAAUCAUAAUUAUAUAUUUUCUAAUUAAUUUCAUUUUCUACAAAUCAAUGCUAAUCUAAUGAGGGCCUACUAUAAUUUCAUUUUCUUGUAUAAAAUAUUCUUCAAACUUCUUAUGGUAUUAGAGCAACAUGGCCAAGAAUUCUACCUCACAAUUCAAUCUUUUCACCAAUGCGCAAGCUUGGUAUUUGUGAAGCUAUUUUUUUUUUUUAUCAAUUUUUACCUUUAAUCAAGAGUCUUUAUCUUGAAAAUCACCUUACAAAUGUUGGGGCUCCACUAGAAGAAAUAGAAAAUGAAGAUGGCAAGAAGGAAGUGAAUCCAAGCUACACAAUCAUAUAGGGUUUAUAAAAAAAUAUAAAGUAUUACCAUUAGAGGACAAUCCUCUAAUUGUUGAAAGAAGACAAACAUUUCAAUACCAAUUCCUCCUCCUAUCAUUCUUGACACAUAGUCUACAGUUACUAUCACUACACUUUCCAUCAUGGAAGCACCUUUUUCUUGAGCUUUGACCCAAAAUAGUGCGUUUUUAAAAAAAAUUCCAAAAAAUAAAGUUGUUUUCUAAAUAAUGUUCGAUCUAAUGCGUCUGUACCACAUAAGCUGCCACGUCAUAAAACCGUAGUUGGUGACUACGGUUUUAUUUUUCUAAAGUGGUUAGAAACCGUAGUUACCAACCACGGUUUUAACUUUAAGUUUAAAGCCGUAGUUGGUGACUACGGCUUUGACUUUUUUUUAAAAUGGUCAAAGCCGUAGUCACCAACUGCGGUUUUAACUUUAUAUAUUUAUAUAUAACUUUAAUUUUUUUAAUAAAAAUAUUAUAUUAUUUUGCUUUUAAAUAUACUUAUUUUAUUAUUUUAAUAAUAAUAAUAUAUGAAAUUAAAUAAUUGAUAUUUUUAAUUUGAUAUAAAUAUAUUUUAAAAUUUUAUUAAAAUAAUAUACUCUAUAUUUAAUAUAAAUAUAUUUAGUUAAUUAUAUUUAAAUAUAAAUAAAAUAUAAUAAAUUAUGAAAGCCUAUUAAAAAACAAAUAAUAUAAAUUAUUAUAUUAAUUAAUAAUUUUUUAUAUACUAUAUGUAAGUGGUAUAUAAUGUCACAUGUAUAUAAGUUCAAUUAAGUUUAAAAUUUAUUAUAUUUUAAUUUAAGUUCAUAAUAUUAUAUCGAUAUGAUAAUAAUUUAUUUAUAUAUUUAAAUAAAUAUGCCAUAUAUAUAUAUAUAUAUAUAUAUGUGUGUGUGUGUGUGUGUGAUAUUAUAUACUACUUACAUAUAAUAUAUAAAAAAAUUAUUAAUUAAUAUAAUAAUUUAUAUUAUUUUUUUCUCCAAAUAGGCAUUUAUAAUUUAUUUAUUUUAAAUAAACAUAAUUUAUUAUAUUUUAUUUAUAUUUAAUUUUAAUUAAAUAAUUAUAUUUAUAUUAAAUAUAGUGUCAAUUAUUUUAAUAAAAUUUAUUUAUAUAUUUAAAUAAAAAUGUGAUAAAUUUUAAACUUAAAUUAAACUUUUAUAUAUAUAUAUAUAUAUGUGUGUGUGUGUGUGAGAGAGAGAGGUAUUAUAUACCACUUAUAUAUAAUAUAUAAAAAAUUAUUAAUUAAUAUAAUAAUUUAUAUUAUUUUUUUAUUUUUCUAAAUAGGCAUUUAUAAUUUAUUUAUUUUAAAUAAAUAUAAUUUAUUAUAUUUUAUUUUAAUUAAUUAAUUAUAUUUAUAUUAAAUAUAGUGCGUUUUAAUAAAAUUUAAAAAUAUAUUUUUAUAUCAAAUUAAAAAUAUCAAUUAUUUAAUUUCAUAUAUUAUUAUUUUUAAAAUAAUGAAAUAAGUAUAUUUAAAAUCAAAAUAAUAUAAUAUUUUUAUUAAAAAAAAUUAAAGUUAUAUAUAAAUAUAUAUAAAGUUAAAACCGCAGUUGGUGACUUCGGCUUUGACCAUUUUAAAAAAAAGUCAAAGCCGUAGUCACCAACUACGGCUUUAAACUUAAAGUUAAAACCGUGGUUGGUAACUACGGUUUCUAAUCACUUUAGAAAAAUAAAACCGUAGUCACCAACUACGGUUUUAUGAUGUGGCAGCUUAUGUGGCACAGACGCAUUAGAUUGGACAUUAUUUUGAAAACAACUUUAUUUUUUGGAAUUUUUUUUUAAAACACACUAUUUUGGGUCAAAGCUCCUUUUUCUUUUCACAAAGUCCAUUUCAACCACCUUUACACCUGCUCCUUCCUCUCCACCAUCUCUACACUCCACACUAUAUUUAAUAAACCAAUUAUUUAUCAAUCUUCCAAUUGCCCCAACUUCUCUAUCAACACAACCUAUGCCUAACGAUACAUCCCUCUCCUUCACCAAAACAACCCACACAACUUCCCACUUGCAUUAACACUAUGGCUAGUCACCUAUCCAAAAUUGAGACAAAUACGUUAUUUGGCUCUCCAUGUUAGCCAUUCAACUCAUAUUGAACCUAGAACUCUUAAAUAAAAACUUAAACAACCUCAUUAGGUGGUUGGUAUGGAGGACGAAAUAAACAACUAGAGGUUAAAAAUGUCUUCUUAAUUGACCAUCUCAAGGAAAUGACCCUAAUUUUCCUUCACACGUUUAUCUUCUUAAAUGUUCCCUAAAUGGACUAAAGCAAGCCUCUUAAGUUUUGUUUAAGCGUUUAUCACAAGCUCUUAUUCAACUUGGUUUCUUUAAUACCAACACUGACUCAUCAUUAUUUAUUUUGCAUACAAGUUCUCUAAUUGUUUUAAUCUUAGUUUAUGCUGAUGAUGUUAUUGUAACAAGUAGCAACCCUUGCUAUAUGAUCCAAUAGAUUAUCACUAGUUUCAACUCUAGAUUUGCUUUAAAGACCUUGGCUACCUAAAAUAUUUCUUGGAAAUUGAAGUCAAAUAUUUUCAAGUUGGUUUCUUAUGGACUUGCAUUUUUCACAAGCAUUCCUACUCAAUGGCGAGACUUGUUUUUUUAGUGAAAAACUAAUUUUGAAAAAGUUAGUCACCCUUUAUUUUUGUUUAUUUUUUCAAAGGAAAAUAAAAUAUAAAAUAAAACUCUAAAAAUGACUCUUUAUUUGGAAAAAUAUGUAUUUGAAAACCAAAUCCAAAUCCUGGGGUCAAGUUACAUAUCGAGAAGGUAUCAUACGGUACCACUACCCUAAGCCCUAAAUAAAUGUCUCUACUAAUUAAAUUGAGGUAACUAUAAUUGAUUUGUAAAUCAAUGGAUGCUAAGAAUCACGAAAUAUAUAACAAAGUAAUAAUGAAAGCAUAAUUAAAGAUCACUCAAACAAGCCAUGCACACUCAAAGAAGCACUUAAAGAAGGAAAGAAAGGAACGUACCUCAUAACAUGCUAAGUGUUCUUAUAAAAUAACAUAAUGUUAACAAAUAAAGCAUAUCAAGGAAGCAUUCAAAACAAUACAUGCAUACCCAAAGAAUCAAACAAAGGAAAAAGAGAGGAAGUGUACUUUGAUAGCUAGCAAAGCACUUUCAUAAAAUCACUGAGGUUUAGUUCAUAAGUAAUAAAAAAUAUAGAUAUAAAAUCAUAGGUAAGACUUCACAAUAGAUACAACAUAUUCAUAUCUCAAAUCAUGAAAUAAAGAGAUGAUAAGGUAUGAACAAGAUGAAACAAAAUACAAUAAACAUGCUUAAAAAUUAAGAAUUGGCUAACAAGUAUUCACUCACAAAAAUUAAUCUAAAUAAAAUAUCAAAUAAGGAAUUCCAAUCCAAAGAAAGGUUCAAAUAAUGUGCAUAAUAUGUUAACAAUGUAAAUCAAUAAUCAAAGGAGCUCAAAAGCAUGCAUAAAGGGGAUCGAAUUAUAAAAAAACAUAUAGGCUAUCAUCAACAGGGCAGAACAAGGGUAUUUACAAAAUAAAUCUUAAAUAAAAAACCUAAAAUUGUUAUUUUAUCAAAAUAAAAAAUGGAGAACAUCUUCAAUAUGUAUCUAGAUCAUAAUAAAAAAUUCCAAAUUAUUUAAUUAUAUGUUAUUCAAUACCAAAUUAAAUCAAACUAAGGACACUACAUAGAACAUUCAACAUAUGAUCAAAACAGAGAUUUUUUUGAAAUAUAUCCUAAAAAAAAUCAAGAAAUGGAAUUUCAUCACAAAAAAAAUAAAAUAAAAUGGACAAUAUCUCCUAUUUCUUCUAUAUUAAAACCCAAAAGAUCAAAUUGUUUAAUCAUGUGCCAUUCAAUACCACAUUUCAUCACAAUUCAUUUUAGUAAAAAAACAGGACAAAUAUCAAAGCAUACAAGAAUUAAUUUAUUUGGCGAAUUUAGAAGUGUGGUAAAAUCACACAAAAAGUUAUACAAUUUCUUCAAUAUGAUUACAUUACAUGAAAAAUAACAGCAAGAUUAAAUCAUAUAAGAACUUAGUGAAAUUCAACCAAACAGUCCUUAACUAUAGAACAGAGCUAGUUUAGUGGGUGUAGAAAUGAAAAAUUAUUUCUCCUACUUGGGAGGUCAAUUUUGAGUGUCACAAGGAUCCAAAUUAUAAUUUAUGAAGUCUAGAUUAAGGAAAAAAACAUCAAAACAAAUUAAUGAAAUCACCAAAUAAUUUAAUUUUACAAAACUAUUUUGGGUGUCCUAUUUUGUACUGAAAUUGGACCUACUGGAAGAGUAAUUUAAAUGCCUUGCUUGGAGAAACGUUUCAAGCUCAAAAAAUAAAAAAAUAAAAAGAUAAAUAUUUCACAUAUUUAAGAAGUUUAGAACAAUAACCAAGCAUUGGAAACUUCAAAGGUGUAGUAGACUAACAACAAUGGCAAUAGAGAACCAAUUUUUGGAAAACUUUGAAUGUAGGGAUUCACUAGGUCCCUUUUUAAUUUUUAUGAAUUUAUCUAUGCUUCCUUAACCUCAUGCAAGCAUGAAUAAGCUUACUAAGGCUAGGAAUGACUCCAUUGAUUGGAGCUUUGAUUUUAAUUCAUGUAUGAGAAAAAUAAAAAAUAAAUGAAAACCUUUUCAAAUAUGCAUACCAAAUGAACAAGGUAGCAUUAUUUUUAAAAAUAUACUUCUCUUCACCCAAUUGAUCUAAGAUAACCUUUGAGGAUACACUUUAUUUUAGAAACAAUUUAAAAUACUUUCAAAAUCAUUAAAACACUUAAAAUCAUAAAUCACUAAAAAGGCACCUAAAGACAAUUGUGUGUAUCAAAAAAUGAGUAUUCAAAGUGAAGUGAAUAGGGAACUAUUUGUGCAUCUUAAAAAUGACUUAAAAAAAUGACCUUAAAGUGUGUCAAAAUUAAGCCUCUAAAGUGUCCUAAACAAGCAUAUAAAAUUCACUUAAAAGUGAAAUGAAAAAGUGAUACCAAAAAUAGAGAUACAUAGUGAAAUCAACUAAUGACUUGUGUGAGUGAUUUGUGAUGAAAGAUUAUAAAGGUCAACUAACCUAAAAAUAAAAACUAAGAGACAUGAAUCAAUGCAAAAACAGUAACAUUCAAAAACAGUAACGAAAAUGAGAAGAAAUAGGAAGAGAAAAAGAAGAUAUAGAAGAAAUCAAAACUAAAAUUAAAAUUCAGUAACUUACCUCAAACUUUCCCUUCAAAAUUCGGUGGUGUCCUCUUCACUUUUCACAAAUUUGAUCUAUGCAGCUGCAUGUGUUCUCAAUGGCUGAUGUGUGCCUUCUUCUCCAACAUUCUGCUACUAUAUCUCUUAAGGAUCAACGUUGUUGCAUGUUUUCUUGCUCCUUCACCGGAUGCUGCUACAUGUCAUGCUUUCAUCUUCCCUUAAAAAAUUCUACCGUAACUUUCACUUAAAGACAUGCAGUAAUAGCUCCAUAAUCAACCCACUCUAAUCAUCAACUGUGUACAGCCAGCUCAAGUAAAACAUGAAUAGCGUUUUUCCCUCUCUAUUUUCAUUUUAAAAAAUUAUUCCUUCUCUAGAAACUUCCCUCAAAUUAUGGCAUGCACUCAAAAAAACAAGAUAAAAAAUCACAUGCAAUCAAUCGAAAAAAAUUAAUCAUGUACUAAAAUAUUAAAAAUCAAUCAUGCAAUCACAAAUCAAAAAUCAAUUAUGGGCUUAAAAUUAAAGUCACAUGCAAUCACAAUCAAUAAUCAAAGAUGAACUUAAAAUUAAAAUCAAGCAUACAUUCCAAAUCAAGAUUCAAAUGUGAACUCAAAAUUAAAAUCACUCAUACACUAAAAAUUAAUCAUGCAAUAAAAUCAAUCACAUGCACUCAAAAUAUAAAAAAUCAUUCAUGCACUUAUAAUAUCACAAAUCAAUCAUGCACUCAAAAUAUCAAAAAUCAAUCACACACUAAAAAUCAAAUAACAAAUCAAAGUUCAUCUAACUUAAAAACUUGCAAUAAAAGUCAAAAUCAAACCUAAUGCACUAAAAAAACUUAAACUAAACAAUAGAAGGAUGCAUUAGAAAACAAACUCCUAAUCUAGAAUUAGAGCAACUAAAAAAAUCACACUUCGUAUCCAUAUAAUACUCCAAGAUAUAUCUCCAAAAGAGGUCCAAAAAUGGUCAUUAGGUGGGUAACAGUGACCACCAAUUGAUUACUACUCAAAAAGUACUCUUUUAUAGCUUGAAACUAACUGUUUUAAACACUUUUGAGUAGUAGUUAAUACAUUUUAACUCAAUUGGCACAUUAAGGAACCUAGCAAGGGUUACUAAUCAGUUUUUGGCUAGUUUUCGUGUUUUUGGUAGCUAUUUGAUUAUUGAAACAAGCCAAGAAUGAGGGAGAAUUUUGUGAAAUCCAUGGCAAUGCAAGUUGAAGCUCAAAUACAUGAAGAAUCCGAGCUUUGGAGCACUUCAUAGCUCUUUUCCAAACUUGGCAAUAGGUUGCCAAGCCAAUCAGAGAUGCAAAGAAGAAAACCAGAGGAAAAAAUCCAACCACCAGCAUUUUUCGCAUGGCUAUGCAAAAAUUUCGCAUAACAUGCGAAAUCAAGAAGAGGAGUAGCUGCAGGACUAAGAGCAGACUGAGUGAAAGACAAUUUCGCACACUGUGUGAAAUUUCGCACACCAUGCGAAACCACAGAAGCAGCCAAAGAUUUCGCACACCAUGCGAAAUUUCAUGUGCACCUACUCAAUAGAUUUUAUCACUUANNNNNNNNNNNNNNNNNNNNNNNNNNNNNNNNNNNNNNNNNNNNNNNNNNNNNNNNNNNNNNNNNNNNNNNNNNNNNNNNNNNNNNNNNNNNNNNNNNNNUCAAUAUUUAGUUUUAGUUUUUUUAGGAGUUUGGGUUAAUUAAUUUAGUCAAUCACAUGUUAUUAUUUUUAUAUUUGGAGUAUGACAUAUUUUGGUAUUGAUAUAUUAAUAUUUAGUUUGAGUUUUCAGGAAUUUUAGAUAAUCAAUCUAGUUAAUUGCAUGUUAUUGUUUCAUAUUUUUUAAGAUUGCUAAACUUUGGUUUUUGAUUUAUCAUAUUUUGUUAGAAUGUUAAUUUACUUUAAUUAAUCCCACAUUAUUAUCUCCAUAUGCUAAGUUUGUUGACUUUAAUCUUUGAUUGGUUUUUUAUUUUAGUUAAUGCGUUUCCUGAAAUCUAGAUGUUGGUCUUGGAUGAUAUUUUGUUAGUUUGUUUAAUUUGGAAGUCAUUAGUUUGAUGCCUUAGUGAUUGUUGGUCAAAUCCAUUUUUUUUUUUAAAAAAAAAAAGCCAUUGGAAAUCCAUGAAGGUUGGCCCUACUCUCACCAGUUUAAUUAGCAUGAUUGUCUAAAUCUUUAUUUUGUGAUUUUCGUUUUCUUUUGUUUUGGUUGAUAUUUUGUUUUCUAUGUUUUUUUAUUUUAAAAAUUAAUUUCUUUUAUUUCAAAACAAAACAAUUUUUCUCAAAAGAUCCCUUUAAAAAUUAAAUUCAUUUAGUGUCUUUAGAAUCAUUUUAAAAAAAUAAAAUAAAAUAAUAUGCAACCAUAUCUUGAUCGAUUCGCAUCCUUCUUAGUUUUCAAUAAAAAUUUUGGUUUUGAACAAAACACGAAACAAAGCUUGUGGUCCUAAAUAAAUGAGGUAAUUCUAGGCUAAAUUUGUGUAUAUCGAUUGGGGAAUUAGUGAAACCCCUACAUAAGAAAAUCUUUUUAAAACUUAUUUUUACUACCAUCUUUGCUACUUAUUGAAAUCAUGUUUAUCUAUUUUUUGAGAAUUGUAUACAAGAUGUGUGUGAUAAUUGGUGAUUUAGUAUACUUCGAUCUUUUUUUGUUAUGUUAAUUAGAUAACAAGCAUGUUAGGGUUUCUUCUUUUAUUAUUUAUUAUCUAACCCCUCAUGUCCUGAGGAAGCGUAUAAUGAGUUAUCUAUGCUAUUUAGGUAUGCUCUCUAUCACCCACUUUCUGAAUUCUGUAAAUAUGACUGUCAGUAUGAACUAUGCCUAUGUUUGAUAGUGCUUGGGUGUUUGGAUAUUUGUUACAUUGUUCGAUCAUUUAUGAUGAAACGCAUGCUUGGUGAUAUGAUAUUUAAACUAACCAGUGAUGUUAUAUAAUAGUGCUUAAGAAGUGGUCCAAGUACGCACCCUAAAUAUUCUAAAUGAUUGUGAUUGGUUUUCUUGUUCGGCAUGCCAUUCUUUUGAAAUCACCUAGCCUACUUAGGUAUCUAUAAUUAACCAAUUAAUUGCCACAUUUCCCUUAACUUAGCCAGUAGAGACCUUUAUAGGGGUUAGAGGGGUGCUACCUCCUAGAGGUACCUUCCCAAUAAGUAACGUGAUCCUUGGACCUAGACUCGGGUUUUUCAAAGACAUGUUUUUCCAAAACUAUGGAGUCACUUUUUUUAGGGUUUUCUUUCUUAUUUUAUUUUCCCUUUAAAAUAAGAAUAAAAUAAGUGGCGACUCCGACUAUUCCAAAAUAAAUAAAUUUUUUCAUAAAUAAAAAGCGAGUCUCGCCAAUCGAGUGGGGACGGGCAUGAAAAAUGCGGGUCCACAGGUGCGACACAACGUUGGUUCGCUUCAUUGGAUGUAUCACGCUGUAGGACUUGGGAUGAUCUGACCCAAAAUUUUUUGAGACAGUUUGCAUUUAACACUAUCAUUGAUGUUUCUAGGAGAGAGUUAGAGGCUUUGAGACAGAGGCUAGAGGAUUCAGUCACUUCAUUUAUCUCCCGUUGGAGGGAGAAGAUUUCAUAGAUUAUUGAUCAUCCUUCAGAGAAGGAUAGAUUAGUAUGAUUUUGAGGAGCUUACAACCUAGAUUUGUUAGACACUUGAUGGGAUUUCCCCAUAUAGAUUUCAGAUCUUUGGUACAGGCUUUGUAUGGUAUAGAGGAGGGCAUUGCUAAAGGAUUGUGGCCCGAGUCUUCCCCUACUGACUCUAAGGAGAAGAAGCCUUUAUCAAUUUUCUUGCAUAUUCGAUAAUGAAGGCCACUUUGAUUGUUGUUAAUUGGAUUUUUGAUGAUAUAUUAAUGACAAGUUGAUGAAUGGUUAAUUGAUCUCAUGUUAAUUGAUGUCUAUUAGAAUUGAGAUUAGAGUUAUUUUCUUUGAAAUUAUUUUUACUUGAUUGAGGCAUUUUGAUAACAUAUAAUAGUGGCUAAGAGAUCCUUUAUUUGAUUUUUAUUGCCUUUGGUUUUAUUUUUCGUUAUUCGUUUUAUUUUUUAUUUUUUUUUUGUGAUGUUUGGAUUGUUCACCUUGCUGUCAUUUUGUUAGAAUUAUUGAACCUCUAUAAUUAAAAAAUUGGAUCAGGUUGUUUCAUGUCUCUCUAAAAUUUUUCUUAUGAUUGCAUGAUGUUGUAGACUUCCUAGAUAUAUUGAUAGAAUUUUGUUUGAGUGUAAAAUCAUUUUUUAAUUAAGAGAUAUAAACCAAUAUUUCAAUAGGUCCGUUUUUUCACUCUAUUUUGAACACUAGAAAUUGUUUUGUAAAAUUAAAUUAUUUCAUGAUCUCUUUAAUUUGUUUUGAUAUUUUUCCAUUAAUAUAAAUUUUGAAAUUUAAUUUUAGGGCCUUGAUUUGUUGAAAAUUAAUUCUCCAAGUAUAACAAAAACAUUCUUUUUCCUACACCUACUGCACUAACCCAUUUUGUAGUCAAGGAAAGUUUGGCAUAAUUUAAAAAUUAACAUUUUAUGAUUAAGUCAUGUUGUUAUUUUUUAUGUAAGUUAGAUAUAUUGAAGGUAUUGUACAAUUUUUUUUCAUGAUUUUAUUAUGCAUAUAGAUAGGUUAAUUAAAUUAGUCUUUUCAUGCUAUAGGAUUGUUGCUCCGUUUUUUAUCAAUAUAUUUGUGAUUAAAUCAAGUAUUAAACGAGAAACGAUUGGAUGAUUUAGCCUUUUGGGUUGUAAUCUAGACAUAUAAGAGAUAUUGUCCAAGUUCUUUUAUGGUGAACUUCCAUAUCUAGAUUUUUUUUAGGAUAUAUUUUGAAAGUGUCUUUAAUCUAAAUGCAUGUCGAUUAUUCUGUAGAGUGUCCUUGGUGUGAAUUAAUCUGGUAUUGAUCGACACGUGAUUAAAUGUUUUGGGAUUUUGUAUUGUAAUCUAGACACAUUCAAGAUGUUAUCCAUUUUUUUUUUCAUUAUGCAAUAACACCUCUGGGUAUUUACUUAUGAUUUAUUUUGAGAAUGUCUAUUUUCUAACCCAAUGUUGAGUAUUUUUCAUGAUUUGUUAUUUUCACCACUUUUUGCACAUUUUUAAAUCUUUUGGACCAUUGUUAUAUAUUUUAGACAUAUUGUAUAUGAUAAGUGAAUUUUGUUUUGCACCAUAAACCCUUAUUGAACAUUUUAACUAAACUCAUUUUAAAAUUGUAUGCAUACUAAAAGUGUAUUGAAUUUACAUGACAAUUGUUACUUGGUUUUUUUUUUUUUUUUUUAUUCCUUUAUUAGAGUAGUGGAUGCAUUAUGUAUGAUGAUAGAUUUUUAUUAAGAUUUUUCAUGUCUAUUUUUUAUUGCUUGUGAACUAACCCUCGUUGAUUUUAUGAAAGCACUAUACAUGUUAUUAAGGUAUGUUCCUCUCCUUCCUUUGUUUGAUUUUUUUAAUACAUGGUUCAUUUGAGUGAUGCAAAUUAUGAUUUCACCAUUGUCUUGAUUGUAUAUUACUUAUUUAUUUGGUAUACGCUAAUUUACAAAUCAAUUGUCAUAGUUGUCUCAACUCAUUAGCAAAGACCUUUAUUUAGGCCUUAGAAGGGUGCUAUUGUAUAAUACAUUCCCAAUAGGUAACUUGACUCUUGAACAUAGACUCGGGUAUUCAAAGACACGUUUUUUCAAAUAAAGAGUCAAUCUUAGGGUUUUAUUUCUUUUUUUGUUUUUCAUUUUUUUAAAAAUAAAAUAAGUGAUGACUCCACUUUUUUAAAAUAUCAGUUUUUCACUAAAAAAACGAGUCAUCAUCGAGUGAGGAUGCACGUAAAAAAUGUAAGUCAGCAACAAGGCUAUUCCAAUGGAUCUUUCCUUUACCAGAAUAUUCAUUCAAGGAGCUAAUGGCUAGAUUAUUUUCACAUAAUCAUUCAGUUGUUGUUUCCCUUAUAAAAUAGGAGAAGAUUUAUUCUUUCCAUUUGUAUCAACGUGACUCAAUUGAUUAGCUAAACUUAAGCAGAAGUAGUUGGCUUGUCUUUCAUUUUCUACCCAUUUUUGUAUAUAUAUUCUGCACAAAGAUGUUAAUUUAAUAAGGGUAUGCUAUUGUUUUAUUCUCUUGCACAAACUAUUCUUCAAAGUACUUAACUGUAUUAUAGAUAACCUUUCAUUUACUUGACAUUACUCAAAGGCCUUGAUGUUACUCAACAUUAUCUAAGCUUUUCUCCUAUAGAUUAGCGUUCAAAAAAUUGGCCGAGUCGUAUUUGCCUCGACGUCAACUGCGAUGAGUCUGAUACCAUAUGCAGAUUUAUACCUAGACUCGUCCUUGAAUCGGUUGGACUUGGAUGACUCAGCUGAUAUUCUGAGUUAACUUGGCCGACUUGACAAAAAAAACCCAAUUAAGAGAUUUCCUCUCCUUUCCCAUGACAACAAGAAUUAAAUUUUUUAGAGAAAUAAGAGAUUCCUCUACAAAAGAAAACACUCGUGAAUCUAUGAUUCACGAACCCAAUUUUUCAACCACGACAUCAAAUGAGAAGAAGAAAAAAAACAAGUUUGAAACAAGCCCGUGACCCUUUCAAAAGCCUUUAAAAAGAGAAAUCUUUGAUUUGGUAAGUCGUCGGUGCUGCAACGAUGAUUAGCGUUAUAGGUCAUGGUGUUCAUGGUGUUACUCAACAUUAUCUAAGCUUUUCUCCUAUAGAUUAGCGUUCAAAAAAUUGGCUGAGUCGUAUUUGCCUCGACGUCAACUGCGAUGAGUCUGAUACCAUAUGCAGAUUUAUACCUAGACUCGUCCUUGAAUCGGUUGGACUUGGAUGACUCAGCUGAUAUUCUGAGUUAACUCGGCCGACUUGACAAAAAAAACCCAAUUAAGAGAUUUCCUCUCCUUUCCCAUGACAACAAGAAUUAAAUUUUUUAGAGAAAUAAGAGAUUCCUCUACAAAAGAAAACACUCGUGAAUCUAUGAUUCACGAACCCAAUUUUUCAACCACGACAUCAAAUGAGAAGAAGAAAAAAAACAAGUUUGAAACAAGCCCGUGACCCUUUCAAAAGCCUUUAAAAAGAGAAAUCUUUGAUUUGGUAAGCCGUCGGUGCUGCAACGAUGACUGGACCCCAGCAAGGCAACCCUUGUCUCUCCAAUUGUGAUUGUGUGGUACUAGUCAGUGUGUUGGACAAGGUCCGACAAUCUGCAAAACGUGGUGUAUUGGGUCCUUGGGGAAGACAAGCCAACAAAUAAAGGUAAAAUUUGAUUUACCUUAUUUAAAUCAACACACCCACAUUGCCAUAGUCACACCAUAUUGAGAUUAUAUUUUUAAUUUAUUGAAUCAAAUCAUAUAAAUUGGUAAAUUAUAUUUUACUAGUUAAUUUGAUUCAUAAUUUGAGAUUAAAAUAAAAAAAUUACAUAAUUUGAAUCAAUUAAAAAUAUAUUUAAAAUUUGGUUUACCUUAUUAUGUUGAGAUUAUAUUUUUAAUUUAUUAAAUUAUGUAAUUUUUUAUUUUAUAAUAUUAAAUUGAUUUACAUGUAUUUAAAUUGGUAAAAUUAGGAAAUUCAUGUAUACAGUGUAAAGUAAUAUUUAGAUGUAAUGUUAUGAAAUUGAAGAAUUGGAAAGUAAUGUUUAUAUGAAAUUGGAGAAUUCAUAAUGAUAAUAUUAUGAUGAUAUUAAAUAUAUUAAUAUGUAAUGUUUUUAUUUUAUAUAGAGAUUAUAUUUUUUUUUUAUUAAAUUAUGUGAUUUUUUUUAUCUUAUAAUAUUAAAUUGGUUCACUAAAUUAUUUUUGUAUGGUAUAGAAAUUAUAUUUCUUAAUAUAAAAUAAUUUAUAUGGUAAACUUUAUAUGGUAUAGUUAUUGUAUUUUUCAUUUAUGUUUUUAUCUUAUAAUAUUGCAAAAUUAAAUUAUAUUAGAAAAUUAAUAAUUAUUUAAAACAAUUUUUUUUUCAAAUAAUCAUAACUAUAAAAGUAAUGAUUUAAUAAUACGGAUUGAAGGGCAUGCAUUUACAUCGUAUAGAGAAAUUAAAUUUAUAUUUGAAUCAAUUUUACUUCAUUAUAUCAUGUAGAUUUUUUAUUUUAUAAUAUUCUACAAUUAAAUUACAAUAGGAAAUCAAUAAUUAUCAAAACAAUAAAUUGGUUCACUAAAUUAUUUUUCUAUGGUAUAGAAAUUAUAUUUCUAAAUAUAAAAUACAUUAAUAUGCUAAGCUUUAUAUGGUAUAGAUAUUGUAUUUUUAAUUUUUGUUUUUAUCUUAUAAUAUUACAAAAUUAAAUUACAUUAGAAAAUUAAUAAUUAUUUAAAACAAUUUUUUUUUCUUUCAAAUAAUCAUAACUAUAAAAGUAAUGAUUUAAUAAUAUGAAUUGAAGGGCAUGCAUUUACAUGGUAUAGAGAAAUUACAUUUAUAUUUGAAUCAAGUUUACUUCAUUAUAUCAUGUAGAUUUUUUUAUUUUAUAAUAUUCUACAAUUAAAUUACAAUAGGAAAUCAAUAAUUAUCAAAACAAUAAAUUGGUUCACUAAAUUAUUUUUGUAUGGUAUAGAAAUUAUAUUUCUUAAUAUAAAAUACAUUUAUAUGGUAAACUUUAUAUGGUAUAGAUAUUUUAUUUUUAAAUUAUAUUUUUAUCUUAUAAUAUUGAAAAAUUAAAUUACAUUAGAAAAUUAAUAAUUAUUUAAAGCAUUUUUUUUCAAAUAAUCAUAACUAUUAAAAUAAUGAUUUAAUAACACAAAUUGAAGGGUAUGCAUUUACAUAGUAUAGAGAAAUUAUAUUUAUAUUUGAAUUUACUUCAUUAUAUCAUGUAGAUUUUUUAUUUUAUAAUAUUCUACAAUUAAAUUACAAUAGGAAAUCAAUAAUUUUCAAAACAAAUAUUUUAAAAGAAUUUUUUUUUAUAAAAAUAUUCAUUUAUUUAACUAUUAUUUAUUUUAAUUAAAAAAACAUACAAAUAAGUGGAAAAUAAAAUAUGGUGAACUUAGGUGAGAUUGUGUUUAUUACUUUUUUAGUAGAAUUUAUUGUUAUAUGGUAACAAUAUGAAACAUAUAAAUGAGUGGAAAAUUGAAUAUUAAAAUUCUUAUAUAUAUGUGUUUAUAUAUAUUUAAUUUGAAAAGUAAGUUGUUUUCCUUUUAUACAUGGUUAGGUUAAAAUUUCAAAAUGACUUCAAAAACAUGAUAUUGGUUGGGAGCAUGCAGAACCUAUUGGUGGUAGUAGAACUACGAAGUGUAAAUAUUGUGGGAAAGUUAUACAUGGUGGUAUAACAAGAUUAAAACAACACAUCACACAUAUAUCCGGACAAGUGGAAGAAUGUCCACGUGUACCGGUAGAAGUGUCACAGUGCUAGACAAAUAUGUAUGAUACUUCAAAAGAAAAAACAAAGUUAGAGAAAAAAAAAAGAAUGAAUUUUGAGUUCCUUAAAUAAAGAAAAUUUCUAUGAAAUUGAUUAGAGUGAUUUUGAUGAUGAAAUUGAGGAAGUUGCUAUGGCUGAUUUUGAAAGAAGACAAAUGAAACAAGCGAUGAAAGAAAGUUGUCGAAUUUUUUAAGAAGGUAGACAAGAACAACAGAAGGGUGCUAGUUCCUCACAACCUUUUGGUGCUAGGAUUAAGCACGGACUGACACACAGCUUCAGUGUAAGAGAAUGAGCUAGCAUACCUCCAAAAGGAAUUUAUCCCUACAUGUUCCCAUCAAAGCAGAAAUCAAUAAAAAAACUUGUUUUCUACCGAAGACAUGAGGAAAGUGGGUAAAGCUAUUUCUAAAUUCUUUCUUUUUAAUGCAAUUGACAAUGGGCCUUACUAUCAAUCAAUGAUUGAUACCAUAGUAGAAGCAAGUCCAAGCAUCAAGGGUCCCACGGGAUACCAAAUUGGAAAUACUUAUUUGGAAGAGGAGGUGCAAGAGCUUGAGGUAUAUAUAACAACAUUGAAGGCUAAAUGGCCUAUAUAUGGGUGCACAAUCCUCUGUGAUGGUUGUAGUUCUAAGACUAGAAAGCCUAUCAUCAAUUUCAUGAUUUGUUAUGAUAGAAGUAUGAUAUACCAUUCUUCAGUUGACACUACCAACAUACCUAAGACAACAAACUGCAUCUUUUCCCUUAUGGAUAAAGUUGUAAAGGAGCUUGGGGAGGAAAAUGUUGUUCAAGUAGUCACUGAUAAUGAGGCAAGUUUUAAAGCAGUCGGUAUGUUGUUGAUGGAGAAGCAGAAACAUUUGUUUUGGUCUCCUUGUGCAGCCCACUAUAUUGAUUUAAUGCUUGAAGAUAUUGCAAGCAUGAAGCAGACUAAGGAGACAUUAGAUCAAGCAAAGAUGAUCAUAGAAUUUAUUUAUAAUAACUUGAAAGUAGUGAAUUUGAUGAAAGUGUUCACCAAGGAUACAAAUCUGUUAAGGCCAGGAAUAACCCAUUUUGCCACUAAAUUCAUUUCACUUGAGAGUCUUAUACGUUAUGAGGCUGAUUUGAAGAGAAUGUCCACAAUAAAUGAGUGACGUGAAUUCAAUAAAGAUAGGAGCAGAAAAAGUCUAAGAGAUAAGGUAUCCAACCUAAUCUUAACUGAUCGAUUUUGAAAUAAGGCAAAGGAAGUUCAAACCAUCAUGGAACCUCUCGUCAAAGUAUUGAAAUUGGUUGAUCAAGAUAAAAAGCCCACACUAUCAAUCAUUUAUGAAGCAAUGGAUAAAGCUAAAUUGGCUAUCAAGGCAUUGGUCAAGCAAUGGGAAAAUUUUUGGGAAGUUAUUGAUAGAAGGUGAGAAGGUCAAUUGCACAGACAUUUGCAUGUUGCAGGUAAUAAAAAAAUUCUUUAUAUAUUUUUUAUUAUUUUUUUCAAGUACAAAUUAUUAUAAAUUGAUCAUUAUUUAACUUAUGGUAGCAUAUUUUUUAAAUCCAAUGUUCCAAUAUUCAAAGUAUUUCUCCAACCAUCUAGAAAUUAAAAUUGGAUUAAAGGAGGUUAUUAAGAGAUUAGAGCCAAAUUUGGAUAGACAAGCAAAAGCUAUUAACGAAGUAUAAUAAUAGUUUGUGACCUUUAUAUAAUACAUUUUGUAUAUGUAAUGUGCAUUAAUAAAAAAAAUAUGUUAAUGAUGUAGGUGAAAUUAUUUGUUGACGACCAAGGAGAAUUUGGAAGUGCACUUACAAGGAAAGCAAUAAAUCAAUCUCUUCCAGGUACUUAAUACAUUUAUGUCUAUUACAAAUAAGAAAUUAUCAUCAUUUUUUGUUAAAUAUAUCAUAGAUCAAAUUAUCACCGUAUUGAUGAGCACUUAUAGAAUUUGGGUAUAGGAUCAAGGUCAUAUUUUAGAGGAGCAGAUGAUAGAUCAUAUCACAACUUUAGAGACCGUGAUAGCUCUUCCAGUACUUUUAGUAGAAAUGAUUUUGAUUAAUUUUCAAUGAUGCAUCCAGAGGGAUAUUCAAAUACUGGAACAUGAGCUGGUGAUUCCUAUGGAUAUGAUCAAUCUUCUAGUAGCAGUAGAUUGCUUAUCGAGGUUUUAGAUACUAUCAAUAUGGUGUUGAUCCCGAACAACCUUCGAAACCAUAUUUUCUUGAUUAUGGAUCAUCAAGCCAAUAAUCUAAGCCAACAUAUUUAAGUUAUGAACAACUCUUUCAACCAUAUCCUCACUAUGGGAAUUACCAUCCUAAUUUGUAUACUUGUUGAAGGACUGAUGAUGACGAUUUUGAACCCCCUCAUCAUUCAACAUGGAAUUGAUUAUUGUAUUUUAUGUUUGUUAGUAAAAAUGUUAUUAUAUUUGAAAUAAAAUAAUUUUCUUUUAUUAGCAUUAUCAUAAAUAACUUUGAGCGGAUACUUUUAUAACUAUUUAAAUAAUGUUAAAUGUGAGACAAUUUUAUUUUCUUAAUUUUUUGAGCUUAUUUAAUUGUAUAUAUUUUUCUGAUGAUUUACAUAAUAUUUUAUAAUUUUUUCAAUUUUCGAAUUAGCUUAUCUUAUGUAUUGUCUGAUACCAAGGCGAUACACCGAGACUCACACGCCUCGGGACCCUCCGAGUCAGUGACCGAUACCUCAACUUUGAACCAUGCUACAGGUGCUUUGACGGCAUGGUAAUGCAACCAACCUUAAGGUAGUGGCACCCACUUACAUACUGUGCAAGAGCCCACAAUGGAAAAAUAUUCCUAUAAGCCGCAUAGUGUAACAUGCAGUUCUUCAUGAAGGCUCCAGUGAUUUCCUGCCAUAGAUAAUUGAUGAUUAAAUGGUUAGACUACCACCCAGUAUAUAUAAUCAACUAUGUUGCUCUUUUGUUCCGUCCACUUCAACUCCUUUUUUUUUUACACUCAUUGGACUGCACUCCCCUUUCAGGUUCAUGAAUGGUAGUUGCGGGUUACUCCUCAUGAGGAAGUGAUCCACCAAAACGAUGACCAACAACAUGUUUUCUUUCUGAUUUCUCAUCAACACAUUCUCCAUUCUGUUCAGAGACAAAUGAACUCAUGUUUGUUCCUUGUUUCCCAUACACUUUUAUCAUUAUAGACUGGAAAACUACAUUCCUUCUCAUUGGCAUUUCUUCAAACAUCUUCCAUGCUCCUCGACCUCCCCUUAGUGUACAUACUCUGAAAUGACAAAUUCUGAGAAACCUCAUCUCUAAUCCCCACAUCAACCCACAAAUUUACAUUACUGUAACCAAGCUUAGUAAGUGCAUAAGCAGCCGACAAGCCACUUGGACAAUCUUCUUUGGAUCCCAUAUUAUGAUAACAGUUUCUACAGCAAUGGCCAGACCAAAAGCAUCAGCAGAAAACGUGGCAGCUAUCAAUGCCCAAACCUUGGAGUCACCCCCAUAUGAAGAGUUGACGACCAUAUGACGGGUAGGAGCAAAAGCAAAAACAAGUGUAGUGGAGAAUAGAGAAAACAAGGAGAUAACAAAUAUGCAGGAUAGAAAUCAGAUAAAACCACAUUUCAUGAUCUUUCAAUGGGCUCAGGCUAGUGGGGAAGAUCACAAACAGAUUUGGGGCAAACAAGCAAGCAACCAAUAUCAACAAAACAAUUUGUGGCAUUUUUUGUCCACACCAAUCAACAGUAUAUUAAAUAUUCAAAAACGAACAUACAGAGAAAUCGAAUAAGGGUAAGAAUUCCAAGAGUAACAAGAAACAUACUUGGACAAACUCGGCUGCAAUUGCUCAUUUCUUGCUCCUUUGUGCUUUUCCCCCAAAAUCUCCCCAAAAAGAAAAAAAAACUUCGUGAAUCCUCUUUUUUCUUCUUCCCCUCUUUUUUUUUUCUCACUCGUUUGUUCCCUCACCUUUUUUUCCAAAAUCCUUAUUUUUUUGUAUUUGUAUCAACCUCUCAAAAACUCAAUCUGCUGAAGGAAUUCCACUUUCAUUUCUUUUAUUUCCCUUCAUUUUUGAAAAUUAGAAUGUUUCUCCUUUCUAUGUGGGAUCUCCUCUUUCCAUAUGUAUGCAACCAUAUUAAUCCUCUUUUCCCUCCAAAAAUAUUUUUCUUACCUUCUUUAAGUGCACGUGCUUAGUGAGAGUUGAUUAGCAACCCCCAAUUCUCUUGUCAAACAAUAAAAAAAGAAAAUAAAAAGAAUAAAACCAAAAAAAAGCUAGCAAUCUUGCAACAUAUAAAGGAAUAAAGUAAAAUAAAAUAAAUAAAUAAAGUAAAACAAAAUAACAAAAUAAAAUAAAAUAAAAUAGAAUGGUCAAUCCUAUGCGGGAUAUGCAAGUCAUGCGGCUAUGUGAAUCAUGCAAGUCAUAUAAAAAGUGAGUCUAAAAGUGCCUAAGGUGGUGCCUAAUGGGUCGGGGUAUGCCUAUACGGGCCUAGGGUGAGACUGGGCGGGCUUAACUAAGUCUAACCUAAAGUGCACCUAAGUGAAGUCUAAUCUAAACUUGAUGGGCAGCUAAGGUCAUAAUGUCGAGCUAGAUAAACCCUUCAACCAAAGUCCCCAAAGUGGCUAAAAAAAAAGGUAAGCAGUAUGAGUAGCAAUGGGCCACCAAGGAACUAUUGUGGAGCACUGGAAUUGAACUUAAGGACAUGUGCUAAAAGGACAAAAUGGAGGGUCUAAAAAUGUACCUAGGGUUCCAAAGUUUGUUCGAAGUAGGGAACGAUCUCCAAUCACUUCUCAAAGAUCCCUAAAGGAAUAAACAAACCAUGGGUAAUAAGAUAGAGGUUUUGUUAGCUCAAGGAUUGGAUGUACCAAAUUUUUUUAAUGAUGUGCCAAAUUUUGUAAAGAAUGUACCAAAGGGGCCAAAGUUUGUUUCGAAGAAGGGAACGACCUCUAAUCAUUUUCUAAGGUUGUUCAAUGAAAUAAAUGAACCAUGGGAAGGAAGUUAGGUGUCCCGUUAGCUCAAGAAUUGGAUGUAUCAAAUUUUCUUAAGAAUGUACCUAGGGUUCCAAAGUCUGUUUCAAAGUAGGGAACAACCUCCAAUCACUUUCCAAAGAUCCUUAAAGGAAUUAACGGACCAUGGGUAAUAAGAUAGGGGUCCCGGUAGCUCAAGGAUUAGAUGUACCAAAUUUUUGGUACAGAGAUUCAACCGGUACCAUUUUAUAAUGCAAAUUGAAAUUUAUGUGAAUGAAACAAAAUAUACUAGCUAGUUUCCUGUAAUGAGCUAAAUAAAAAAAGUAGUUAAAAAUAAAAAGAUAAUAUAAAAUAAAAUGAUAAUAUAGAUUUAAAAUAAAAAAAAUUAAAUAACAAUUAAAAAUUUUAAAAAUAAUAAAUAUUUUUUAAAAAAAAAAUCUUUCAAAAAAUAUAUGAUUUUAAAUCAACAAGGAAUUAUUUCCACUACUUAUUUCAUAUGAACGUCAAGGGCCAACCUUUCAAGCUAUCAGCAUGCCUCCAUUUGCCUUAUUGCCCAACCCAUACCUUAAAGCAAGUCAUCCUAAAUUCAUGCCUCUGACAGAGAGUUAUGUCUAUUUUUUUCCUACUGCACAUAGCUUAACAAAAAUAAAUUUUUCACCCACAUUCAUGCGUCUUCCAUGAAGGUUGUGCUCUUAGGUUGACUAGUGCACAAAGCCUACAAAUAUAAUGGUUUCAGUAAUAGGCAUGCUUCUAAAAUCAAGGGUGUGCCCCUGGUUUGCAUACUGCAUAUGGUACAUGCUUCAUUAAAUUUGAUACAUCUGAUCCUAUUGUUUCCAGGUCCCUCAUCUGAACAUGGAUGGUCCAUGAUUUCAUUUUGGAACCUAUAAGGAAGUGAUUGGGGGCCAAUCCCCACCUCGGAAUGCACUUUGGAACCUUUGGUACAUCCUUCACAAAAUUUGGUACAUCCUUCAUUAAAUUUAGUACAUCCGAUCCUAUUACUUCCGGGACCCCCAUCUGAACAUGGAUGGUCCAUGAUUUCAUUUUAGAACCCAUAAGGAAGUGGUUGGGGGCCCAUCCCUACCUCGGAAUGCAGUUUGGAACCCUUAGUACAUCUUUCACAAAAUUUGGUACAUCAUUCAUUAAAUUUGGUACAUCCGAUCCUAUUGCUUUCGGGUCCCCCAUCUGAACAUGGAUGGUCCAUGAUUUCAUUUUGGAACCCAUAAGGAAGUGAUUGGGGGUCGAUUCCCACCUCGAAACGCAGUUUGGAACCCUUGGUACAUCCUUCACAGAUUUUGGUACAUUUUUCACAAAAUUUGGUACAUUCUUCAUUAAAUUUGGUACAUUCCAAUCCUAUUGCUUCUGGGUCUCCCAUCUGAACAUGGAUAGUCCAUGAUUUCAUUUUGGAACCCAUAAAAAAGUAAUUGGGGGCCGAUCUCCACCUUAGAACGCAAUUUGGAACCCUUGGUACAUCAUUCACAAAAUUUGGUACAUCCUUCAUUAAAUUUGGUACAUCCGAUCCUAUUGCUUUCGGGUCCCCCAUCUGAACAUGGAUGGUCCAUGAUUUCAUUUUGAAACCCAUAAGGAAGUGAUUGGGGGUCGAUCCCCACCUCGGAACGCAGUUUGGAACCCUUGGUACAUCCUUCACAAAAUUUGGUACAUCCUUAAUUAAAUUUGGUACAUCCGAUCCUUUUGCUUCCAGGUCUUCCAUCUGAACAUGGAUAGUCCAUGAUUUCAUUUUAGAACCCAUAAGUGAUUGGAGAUCGAUCCCCACCUCCAUAUGCACUUUGAAACCCUUGGUACAUUCUUCAUUAAAUGCGGUACAUCUGAUCUUAUUGUUUUCGGAACCCCCAUCUGAAUAUGGAUGGUCCAUGAUUUCAUUUUGGAAUUCAUAAGGAAUUGAUUGGGAGUCAAUCCCCACCUCAGAACACACUUUGGAACGCUUGGUACAUCCUUCACAAAAUUUGGUACAUCCUUUAUUAAUUUGGUACAUUCGAUCCUAUUGUUUCCGGGUCCUCCAUCUGAACAUAGAUGGUCCAUGAUUUCAUUUUGGAACCCAUAAGGAAGUGAUUGGGGGUCGAUCCCCACCUCAGAACGCACUUUGGAACCCUUGGUACAUCCUUCACAAAAUUUGGUACAUCUAAUCGUAUUGCUUUUAGGACCCCCAUCUGAACAUGGAUGGUCCAUGAUUUCAUUUUGGAACCCUUGGUACAUCCUUAACAAAAUUUGAUACAUCCUUCAUUAAAUUUGGUACAUCCAAUCCUAUUGCUUCUAGGUUCCCCAUCUGAACAUGGAUGGUCCAUGAUAUCAUUUUGGAACCUAUAAGAAAGUGAUUGGGGGUCGAUUCCCACCUCAGAACGCAGUUUGGAACCCUUGGUACAUCUUUCACAAAAUUUGGUACAUCCGAUUCUAUUGUUUUCGGGACCCCCAUCUGAACAUGGAUGGUCCAUAAUUUCAUUUUGGAACUCAUAAGGAAGUGGUUGAGGGAUGAUCCCCACCUCAGAAUGCACUUUGGAAUGCGUGGUACGUUCUUCACAAAAUUUGGUACAUCCGAUCCUAUUGUUUCUAGGUCCCCCAUCUGAACAUGGAUGGUACAUGAUUUCAUUUUGGAACCCAUAAGGAAGUGAUUGGGAUCCGAUCCCCACCUCGGAAUGCACUUUGGAACCCUUGGUACAUUCUUCACAAAAUUUGGUACAUCCUUCAUAAUGUACCAAAUUUUGUGAAUGAUCUACCAAAUUUUGUGAAUGAUGUACCAAAUUUUGUAAAUGAUGUACCAAAUUUCGUAAAGGAUGUACCAAUGUUGCCAAAGUCUGUUAUGAGGUGUGGAACGACCUUCAAUAACUUCUCGAGGGUCUUCAAAUGAAGAAAUGGACUAUGGAAAUGGAGAUAAGUGUCUCGUUAGCUCAAGAAUUGGAUGUAUCAAAUUUUCUCAAUGGUGCACCUGGGGUUCCAAAGUCCAUUUCGGAGUAGGGAAUGAUCUCCAAUCACUUCCCAAAGAUCCCUAAAGGAAUAAACAGACCAUGGGUAAUAAGAUAGAGGUUUCAAUAGCUCAAGUAUGUACCAAAUAUUUUUAAGAAUGUACCAAAUUUUGUAAAAGAUGUACCGAGAGUGCCAAAGUUCGUUCUGAUGUGGGGAAUGACCUUCAAUCACUACCUAAGGGUCCUCAAAGGAUAAUAUGGACCAUGGGAAAAUAGAUAGGGGUCUCGAUAGCCCGAGGAUUGGAUGUACCAAAUUUCUUAACGAUGUACCAAAUUUCCUUAAGGAUGUACCUAGGGUUCCAUAGUUCGUUUCGAAGUAGGGAACGACCUCUAAUUACUUCCUAAAAAUCCCUAAAGAAAUAAACGAACUAUGAGUAAUAAUAUAGAGGUCCUAGUAGCUCAUGGAUUAUAUGUACAAAUUGUUUUAAGGAUGUGCCAAAUUUUAUGAAAUAUGUACCAAAUUUUGUAAAUGAUGUACCAAAUUGUCUUUAGGAUGUACCUUGGGUCCCAAUGUUUGUUUUAGGGUGGGGAAUAACCUCUAAUUCCUUCUCAAGGGUCCCCAAAUGAAUAUAUGAAUCAUGAAAAUGAAAAUAUGGGUCUUAGUUCCUCUAAGAAUGGAUAUACCUAGGAUCCCAAAGUUCUUUUUGGGGUGGGCAAAGACCUCCAAUUACUUAUCGAGGGUCCCAAAAAGAAUAUAUAUACCAUGAUAAGUAUGAUAGUAUUUCUAGUUCUCCUAAGCAUUAAUUUACUUUUUUUUUUUUAAGGAUGUACCUAUUUUUUAUGAAAUUAAUAUAAAAGGUUAAAUACAUUUUUUUAUGAAAAAUAUAUUUUCUUUUAUAUUUUAUUUUAAUUAAAAAUUAAAGAUUUUAACCAAAAAAAAGUUAGAUCCACAAUCAAUUUAAAAUCAUAAGAAAAAUGAUAAAAGCACCAUUACUUAUUGUGAUUUUGAUAUGAUAAAUUUAAAAUGAAAAUAAAAAGAAAAAUAAUGUAAAUAAUAAAAUAAUAUUGCAAUGAUAUUUUUACUAUUACAUGUGAUAGAAUUUACAAAAUAAAUGAAUCUGUUGUUUAGUAUUAAAAUAAAAAAUCUUAUAUCAUAAACUUCUAAAUAAUAACAUGGAAUUUUUAAAUUUAAACCUUAAUUUAUAAAAUGUAUUAUUAUAACUAAUACUUAAAAUCAUUAUUAUUUGUGGGAUAAUAUUUUCAUUUUUGUCCAUUAUAUAUUUUGUUUUUAUUUAAUUUAUUAUAUUAAUUAUUUAUUAUAUAAUAUCAUUUUAAGUUUAAUAUGUCAAAAAAUAAUAAUUAAAAUCAAUAAAUAUAGGCAAAUUAGAGAGUAAAAAUAAAUUAAAAUUAAAGAAGUUUUAUGAGAAAAUGCAUGAGCAUAUUAAAAAGAAUAUAAAGGAAAAAAAGAAAAAUAAUAAUAAAAACUAUAAUAGGUGACAAUGGAUUAUGGUGGCUGGAGAGGAAAAAAAAAAAGAAAAAAAAGAAAAAAGUGGAAAUGUGGCAAGUGGUCAGGGAGAUAUAUUGAUGUGAGAAAAAUAAUAAAAAUAAAUUACACAUGUACUUGUUAACAUGUGGUAUUAAAUUGGUGUGUACUUUAUUAUUUACUUUUGAAGGUAAUUGUGGAACAAAUUUGAAAGCUCUAUUGGAGUGCAUGAAUAAACAAUAUUUUUUUCCCAUUUUACACCAAAAUUAAAAAGAAAAAAGUAAAGUUCCAAAAUCUCUUUUUUUUUUUUAGUUGGUGUAAGGUUAGAUGACUUUUCCUUUUUUUUAAUGCAUGGUUCAUUUGAGUGAUGCAAAUUAUGAUUUCACCAUUGUCUUGAUUGUGCAUUACUUAUUUCUUUGAUAUCCACUAAUUUACAAAUCAAUUGUCAUAGUUGUCUCAACUCAUUAGUAGAUACCUUUAUUUAGGCCUUAAAGGGGUGUUAUCGUAUGAUACAUUCCUAAUAGGUAACCUGGCUCUUGGACUUAAACUUGGGUUUUCAAAAACACGUUUUUUAGCCACUCUUAGGGUUUUAUUUCUUAUUUUGUUUUCCAUUUUUUUUAAAAAUAAAAUAAGUGGUGACUCCACCUUUUAAAAAAAAAUUAGUUUUUCACUAAAAAACGAGUCAUCAUUGAGUGAGGACGCACAUGAAAAAUAUAGGUCCACAACAAUGCUAUUCCAAAGGAUCUUUCCUCUACCAGAAUAUUCAUUCAAGGAGCCAAUGAUUGUAGGAAGAGUGUAAAUGUGAAAAGUGCUUUUUUUUUGCUUGUCCCACAUAGGAAAAAGAGGAACAUCUUUAGUGGGUUUAUUAACUAGCCCACUUUCCUUAGUCUAAUGGGCUUGUGAAGAGGUGUGGGAGAGCCUCGCGUGCCCAUGGGGCCCAAGCCCAUUUGAGUGGGGCUUCGGGCUGGUUGGGUUAGAAUUUCUUAAUGCACGUCGCGUUCGCACACGCAUCCUACGCGCGCGCGAUCUCGGCUAAUUUUUUUAAAAAUUCAAAAUAAUUAUUUUAUUUUAUUCUAAUAGUCUUAUAUUUUUGGGAAGAGUCCUAUUGUGAUUGUGCUAGUGAAGUCCCAUUCCACUUAUAAGUAGAAUCCCGUUCCACUUUGAGUCAUGUUUUGAUUACAAGUAGAGUCCCAUUGGGACUGUGUUAGUGGCCUAUGAAAGUAGGUCACCUUUCACUCUCUUAAUACCAAUUUUUUAGAGAGUUUUCAGAGAGCCUUUCAUACAUCUAUGUAGAGGAAUUUUUUUAGAACCUGAGUUGUACACGUCUCGCUUACAGAGUGCACCCAAGGCAAGAUUGGGUUGUUGAAUCCUGGAGGUAGACCACUGGUACCCAAGUGCACCAAGUUUGUCUUCGAGGAGAGUGGAUCUAUUUCAAGGACAGUGCAUGUUUGUCACCCUUCAGCCGAUAAGUUUUUCUUACUAUUCAUUAUGUUCUUUGUUUGCGUCUUUUGGGCUAGUCCUUUGUUUUGAUACCCUUAAACCAACAAUGGCUAGAUUAUUUUCGCAUAAUCAUUCAACUGUUGUUUAACAUAUAAAAUAGGAGAAGAUUUAUUCUUUCCAUUUGUAUCAGCACGAUUCAAUUGAUUAGCUAAACUUAAGCAGAAGUAGUUGACUUGUCUUUCAUUUUCUACCCAUUUUUGUAUAUAUAUUCUGCACAAUGAUGUUCAUUUAAUAAGGGUCUGCUAUUGUUUUAUUCUCUUGCACAAACUAUUCUUCAAAGUUCUUAAUUGUGGCAUAGAUAAACCUUUCAUUUACUUGACAUUACUCAAAGGCCUCGACGUUACUCAACAUUGAGCUUUUCUCCUACAGAUGCUUCAACGGCAUGGCAAUGCAACCAGCCUUAAGGCAAUGGCACCCACUUACAUACUGUGCAAGAGCCCACAAUGGAAAAGUAUUCCUAUAAGUUGCAUAGUGUAACAUGCAAUUCUUCAUGAAGGCUCCAGUGAUUUCCUGCCAUAGAUAAUUGAUGAUUAAAUGGUUAGACUACCACCCAGUAUAUAUAGUCAGCUACAAAAGAACAUCAUUUUCCAUUUCCCAAAACCAAGUGAGCUACCUGUUGGGGAAAAUCACCAUCUUCCAUUUGGGAAUUAAUCAACAGCUUUGCAGCCUUGUGAAGAGGUGUUGGGUCUCUCUCUGCCUGUUAGAAAGGAAAGGUUAGACUCAAAUAUUUGGGAAGAAGCCAUAUUGUGAAAGUAAUGUAGAAGACCAAGGUAAGCAUAUUGAUGAUGGAACUGUAAAAACUAACCUGCCCAGAAGAAAGCAGACCCAUGAGAGCCCACCCGGUUUGUACCAAAUUUGACCUGUUUCCUUUAAGAGGUGUAUAUUUCUGUAUCACCAAGCACAAGGAUUACUUGUUUUUGUCCAUGUUUAUACCAGAAAACAGAGCAGUGGGUGGCAUGUAAAAAUUACCUUAUCCGGGCAAGAAGUACAGUUCUCUCCCCAACCACCAUCAUCUCUUUGUGAUUUGAGUAGAAACUCAACAGCUCUACCAAUAGCAAGACAAUUGUGGUAAGUCUUGCCAGCAGCUGCUAGGCCCCCAAGUGCAAACCAUGAGCCAUAGGUAAAACAUACUCCCCAAUUGCCAUACCUGGUGAAAUGUUUCUUUGUUUAAAUGGAUCUGCACUGCAUAUAUAAUAAAAGAUUUCCUUAGUGAAAUAAUAAUAGUGCAGUUGAGAAACAUACCAUGAGCCAUCAGGCAUUUGCAUGUCUUCAAUGUACUUAGCAGCAUUUGUGAUGAAAUUGUCUAUCUCGUUCUUCCUGUGUCCUGGGUAUAACUUCUUAAACAAAACUAGAGCCUGAAUGGCUGAUGCAGUGCACUCAACAUACCUGCAUCACUGUUCUGUUAGUCUCCAAGGACGUUAAAGCUAUCAAAGUUAGAAAAGAAAGUUGGUCUGUUAUCAAGAAUCUUACUCAUGCUCGAUGACAAUGUCUGUAAAAAAUUCAGUGGGGUUAAGUAGCUGAAAAGAGAAGAGAUUGGCAUUGAUUUAGAUUCAAAGAACACAGAGAGUGAGAAAGAAAGAGAGAUAAUGCAAAAAUAUUGAAGUUACUUAAACAUGUUGAAGUAAUUUACCUCCAACCAUUUUGAAGCUCCUGCAGGCUCCCAGGCAGCUAAACCACCAUUUUUACUCUACGGUGGUUUAAAAAAUGGGGGUUAUUGCUACUAAGAAGUUAUGACCUAUUUUGUGAAGGGGAUAACCAUAGAAAUGGCAUAAGGAAGAUGAGUCUCACCUGCAGCGAAAGCAGGAUGUUGACAGAAUCAAAUAGUCGUUCAGGUUCCAUCUUCAUACCAACAAUUUUUGGUGCCAUCAUUGAAAAGAGAAGACAACACUAUGACAGAGAGGGGACUUCAGUAAGAAACCAAGUAACUUCAGUUAAUCUGCAAGCCCUGACUUAAUUGAAGUGUUUGAGCAAAAAGAGUUACCUUCAAACCUUCUGCAGUGCAAUCAGAAACUUGCCAACCAUGAUCCUGAUCUGAGAAUGUCCACGAUCCCUUGGAAAUGUGGCGGUACAUGCUUUUAAAGUCACCAGAAGGAUUGUCCUUGACCUUCAAGAUUUCAGGUAGUAUGAAGUAAAUAGACCAUGAGAAACCCAAGUAGAUUCUGGUUGAAGUAAAGAAAUAAACUAUGGAAUUCAAGAUCAAACCUGAGAUUCCUUUAUGAAUUCAUGUCCUUUCUUGAGUGCAAGUCCAAGUUCAUCAGUCAUAUUGCAAGCUAGCAGUGCUUGAAGGGCAAAACUAGUGUCCCACUCUUGACUACCAAAGCUCUACAAUAAUCGACAAUUUCAAAACCAAUUAGGCAGGAAAGGGAUAAAAGCAGCUUCAAACCAUUUGCAUACUUGAAAAAUUUUAAGAAAAAGAUCAACACAUAUUAUCUAAUUUUCCUACAACUGUUUAGGAGAUUAGUGAUUGAACUUGUCUUCUGACCUGCAUCUUUAUUCCAUCUUCUGCAACCCAUAUAUAAUCUGGGAUCCUAGCAAGGUGCUUCUUGAAAUAAUCCCCAUUUGGAUCUUCAACCCAACAUGCGAGCAUACACAAUACCUGUUCAAUUUAAGCGAUAUCAGUACCCCAAAGAAGUGACAUAUUGUCUGAAUAGUCAUUAUCCAUUACUGAAAAAAUACCUUCUCCACACAUCCAAUGGUAAUGUAUCGACUGUUUUCAUCUUCAUAAUGGAUGUGUUUCAUUGUUACUUCAAGAGCCUUCUUUCUCAACUUUUUGAAGGGCCAACGAGUAAGAAGAGGCUCGGUACAUAUGUACAAACUAUCCCACAUUAGAUCUUGUAUUAGGGGAUGGGGGUAGUAGAGAUCCUCCUGCAAUAUUAAACAAUUUUAAAUGUGUGUUUCAUGCAUGCGUAGCAUAUUCAUAGGAAAAAGAAAUUGUUUCCAUAAAAAAUCAAAACUUACCUUUGCACAAAGAUGUCGUACUUUCUUCCAGUUGAUUUCAUUAUAAGGUUGAAGGAAAAGCUCUUCUCUUAGUUCUAAAACAAGAGGCGUGAUUGGGCCAAUGAAUCGUUUACCAUAUAAGUACGACAUGGGCAUGUAAACCAUCCGACUGUAGCAAAACAUUCUUGCUGCAUUUAAGGACUCAAAUGAAAAGAAGGUAGACCAAGACAAAGCAAUACCAAAGAGAGGAAAAUAAAAUCUUUUUAGUAUAAGAUGUUUUGGUAGACAUCGCAAUGGAAGCCCUUAAGACCAAUAAACCGGUCCCAGGUUGGAUUUGUAUGUAUUCAUGUGCCAUCUUAUCAAUGUAUAAAGCUCAAGUUGCUCAACUUUUCGCUUAUCCUUUUUGUCCCGACUCUGUUCUGAGUCAAUGUGACAAAUUCCAAAUUCCAUGCAAGAAGAUCUUAAUAUGUAAAAUACAUUAAGUGCAAAGUAGAUGUUAAAUUCAAGAACUUGAGUUGGUGGACAUAGCAUAAACCUGGAUGCAUAGGAAGAAAAGAAGGGAGGAGCCAAAACUCUGGGGGCAUUGGGUUGCUUCCUGACCAGUCAAAUAAGCCAAAUAGCUGCAUGGAAGAAACAAUUUCAUAUAAGAUUCAGUCCAACACACAAGAAUAAAUGGCAUAGGAUGAAUAUGAAUUUGUGUUUAAAAUGGCCAUACUGAAAGCCAAGUCUUUCCCCAAGACGGAAUGGAUGUCACUCCACCUCGGUCAUGGAUCCAUUUACGCCCUCUUGCACAAGCAUUGUCUCUUCCACCAUCUCGCCCUUCUCCAAGGAUACGCAUACAAAUGUAGCUGAGGGUUGUACAAAACAUGGUGCUUUGUCCCUCAAUAUGAAAUCCCCACCCACCAUCUUCAUUCUGCAAUGUUCAUAAGCCAUUUUCAUACUUUAAAGCUCCAAGCCCAUUUAUGAGGUUAGAAUGAUGACUAGGUUCAAAAUAUAUGUACCUGAUGGCAGUAUAGGUAGCGAAGAAUUUCUUUAAGAAAUUCUCCGGGGAAUACAAUGUCAAGAUGCCCUGUAAUGUAUAGACACAUGACCUGCAUUUUCCAUGAAAUUAUGCCAUUGAGAAUGGCUGUUAAAAUGGUCUAUAUUCAUGAUUUUGAUGAGGGUGAGAAGAUGUUGAGUCGACUCACCAGAGGAGGAAGAAAAUACAAUGGGCCAGAAUUUUCUGCAGGCCAAUGGCCAUCACUUGCCUGCAAGGCUGAAAAGAAAUGUGCACUCCUUCUCAGUGCUAUUGUGGCUGUCUCAUAUGUAAUUGCUUCACCAUCCCCAACCUUCACUUGUGGUAUUGUUUGUUUGAAAUUCUUCUCUCUCAAAAACUGCAGGUUUUUUUUUUUUUUGGCCAAAUGAAAUGGGAGUUAGUGAAGAACAAGUUUAAAAGAAAAGAAAAGGUAAAUUAACCUCAAUAGUAAACAUCUAUUUGUACAAUUAUUCCAAGCUAGGUGGGACUAUUAGAGUGAAGAUAGGUGUAACAAUCGUUAAUGUGCAUAAUAUUUAUUAUGAGUCCAAAUCCUUUAAACUUAAGUUUUUAAGAAAUUGAUUGUUCAACAUGAUAUCAAAACUCGAUUUUACAAUAGGUCUUACUCUCAUUAUUGAACUAUCUGGUUGAUGGUCUCUCAACCUAGGGCAAGACCCAAAAUCACCUACUUGUAGUCAUGGUUUGAAACGUGGCAAGCUUACCAGGAAUCGAACCCAAGCCGAAAUGUUUGGAUUGAAAUUUGGCUACCACUGGGCCAAGCUCACUUUUGUUAAUAUAUAUUUAAUUUAAAUAUGUUAAAGUUUAUUAUUAAAAAAAUCUAAUUAUUUUAUUUUAAAUUUUAUUUAAUUUAUUAUAAAAGUAUAAAAACCAACAUUAUAAUUUUCUUAACAAGACUUUUUUAUAUCAUUGAUAUGAUAAUUAAAUAUAAAAAAUAUAUAUAUUAAACAAAUCAUAUAUGCGUCAUCAUUUAUUUUACAUUAUUAAAUGCAUUUGAAUUAAAUAAAUUAUAAUUUUAAUAUUAAAUAUAUUAUCAUGUAUCUCAUUAAUCAUAUUUUAAAAAAUUAAUUACUAUCACUUUACUUUUAAAUUUUUUAUAUUUAUCAUUUUAAUUUUGAAUCUUUUUAUUUUAAAAUAUUAAAAAUAUAAAUUUAUUAAAAAAAAUACAAAAAUAUAAAAAAAUAAUGAAGUUCUAAUAUUUUAUUAAUUUAAAUUAAUUUGAUAAGUUAAAUAAUAAAUUAUAUAUUAAGACUCAUAUAUCCUCAUUCACUAAUAUUUUUCUCUUUAACCAUACAUGUGUUAAUUACAUUUACAAAAUAACUUUAACAUGUAUAUUUUUAUUUAUUUUAUAAUUUUUUUUGGAGUUUUUCCAAAUAUUUUCAUGAAUUUCGAAUAAUUUUCAUCUCAUCAAUAUUUCUGUCAAACUAUCCACUGAUAUUUCUUUAAUAUUUUCGAUAUAUCCAUGAAAUCCAAGUAUUAAUAUAUCUGUAUUUAUUGAUAUUUUAAACCAUGCUUAUAGUAUCCGUAAUAUAUCUUUUUUUUUUUUUCUCCUUUAUGAUAUCAUAGCCUCAUUUGCUAGGAGCUGAACCUCAUAUGGUCUUCUUAUGUGGUCAUCUCAUUUGAUGGGAGGUCAAGUGUUCACCAACAUGUUCUUUUCCCAAUUUAUUAAAAAGUCUACGUGUAAGCCAAAAAUAGGAGGCUACACAUGCUGAGGAGCAGUAGAGCUAGGAAAUGAAGUGAAGGGGGGCAAAAUAUGAGAAUAUAUGUAUAUAUAUAUAUAUCAGGGAGCAAAAAUGAAUAAAGUUAACAAUAAGAAAAGCUAUGUAGCAUGUAUGCAUGGAAGACAUGUAUAGUCAGUGAAAAACUGCAAUCUUGAGAUAGAUGGGAUCAAAUCACCUGCAUCCGCCAAAGGAGGUCGCUGCUGGGCUUAACCUGAUAUCGGUUUUUCCAGAAGUUCUCACGAGCUGCUUCGACCUCAUUUCGCUCUUCUGGGGUUCCAUAGUCAGGAUCAAACUCCCAUAUCUGUCUUCCCACGAAGUUGUUGGUGCUGUAGAUGUAGGGAUCAUUGCCCCCAUCUGCAACCUUGAGCCUCCACAUUUCUAACUCACCAAACUGAAGAGAUAUAUCUCUAUAUAUAUCUAAGUUUACAAAUAUGUGUGUCUAUCUUCCGAAAACACCUGCUGAUCAUCCAAUCAUCAUAAAGGUAAAACAGACUUUUCUUCGCAAUAAAAUUAAAUUAAAAUGAUACAGACCAAAGACAGAGAGACAGGUGCUGGGUGGGCAGAGAAGAGAGAAACUUCAGAACCUUGGAAUGGUGAGUUGCAGGUGGAAUCAUUCAUUCAUAUAGAAGCACAACACGAAGUCAGUCACUAACCCCCGUCACUUCUAUUAAUUCUUUUUUCACCCACUUCAGUUUGUGGAAAUUAGUGUAGAGUGAACAUUUUUGGACUUUCAAGUAUUUUAUAAUUGAUAUAUUUUUAAAAACGGUUAGACCAUUAAAGAAUUCAAUGCAUUAGGUCUCAUAUCAUUUUAGGUCACUUUCUACUAUCAAUGAAUAGACCAAACACAUUAAAUUUUCUUUACUCUGAAGUCGUUUAACACAUGGAGAAAGUUAAUAAACUCGAUCGGUGUGGGAGGUUUAUUUUCUAUUAACUUCUAUAACAAAUAAAUAAAUAAAGUACAUCCCUUUUUUUUCAAAAUUCAUAGAUGAUUUUAUCCCUUAAGACUCCCAAAGCACAACUUUGAUAAGAAAUAUUUGAUUUUUUGUACAAUUUAUAAUUAAAAUAUUAAUUUUUAAUUUAUUCUUAUCUAUAUAUAUUUAUGUCUAAUAUAUUUAAUUAGUUUCUAAUAUAUUCCGCAGUCCAUUAUUUAGGUCAUACAAUCAAUCCUAAAAUUAAUAUAUUUUAAGACGUACUUAAAGAAAUGAUACAUCAAUUAGGUAUAUAACAUUUAAAUUAGAUUGUAGUUAUGAUUAAGCCACGUUUUUCCCUUACACAUCCCACUAAAGCCGAAAAAACAAAAAGGGAAAUAAAUGACCUUUUGUGUUGUUGCCAUCAGUUAUAAUUAGGGUGAACAUGGAGCAGAUGUGUUGUUGGACCUCCUUAUUCCUAAUUUCCAAUUAUAACUAGGCUUUUGAUCAAAUAAUUCAUUCUAAGAAUGCAUAUGAUAAUAUUUCUAUUCAAAGUAGAAAUAUUGUAAGUAAUUUUUUAACUUUUUAAAAGUGCUUUAUAAAUUUUAUCAAACAAUGCAAAAAUCAUAUCCUUUCUUUCCUUCUUCUCUCUUUCUAUCCAUUGUAACUUAUGCAGAAACUUCGAAUUUUAAAAAAAAAAAAAAACAACCAAAAACAAUUCUCUCUUUUAUUCUUCAAAUUUGCAAAUUCAUUAUGGCAUCAGAACUUGUCAAUUAAAGAAUUCAAACUCUGCAUUCAAUCCUUCAAAUUCAUCAAUGCUCAAACCCAAUUUCCAUUUAGUCGUCCACCACAAACUUUCUCCUCUAGAAGACUCAAAUGAGACAUAAGGUAGCUAGUAGAAAUAAAUUGCUACAUAUGUAUUCUUAUUAGUGCAACUAUGAAGGACCCCCACUAAAAGAUUUAAUUUUUUAUUUAGUUGUAGUUAAGAGUUGGCCGAAACUAUAGGCUCUCAUUUGAUUUUUCUUUUUUAGGAAUUAUCGAAUACAAACUGAUUUUCAAAAAAAUAAAAUUCUAUGAAUACCUCUAACAAUAAUAAUACUCAUUAGCAUUGAGAAUAGAGAAGAAUUUGUUGUAUUCCAAAUAAAAUAUUUUCAUAAUAAUUUUGAUGGAUAAUACCAUGAUGUUACAAUUUAUGGUUUAAACUACCAAACAAAAAAAUAACACAAUCCUCGCUACGAGUUCAUACUAACACAUUAAGCCUUUCUUUCUUCAACUUUGUUGGAGCGAUGAUAAACGAGACGUUUAUGAAGUAAUCGAAAUAGGGAUGUAGAGUGAGACUGGAAGAAACGGCUGAGAAUGAAAUCUAAACUCUUUUGGGGUGAGGAUGAAAUGCUUACAAUGUUGAAUAUAACAUCUGGCAUGUAAGGAACUCUACCAUAGUCAACUACUGAUUCUCCCAUUGGACUUGGUAGACUCUGGCAAAGCUAUGGAACAAACAAUUUCAGUACUUGACACUUGAAUAAAAAUUUCUAAGGAAACGCUUCCCAACAAAAGAUAACUUUUUAUAGCAAACUUUUGUUCCUCUCGCUUCUUCUUCUUCGACCAGUGUUUUGAUUCAUGGGCUGCAACAGAGAAGGUUUAGCUUUGUAGUUAAGAUAUUUUGGUCAGAAGCGCAGUAGGGACAAGCCCUUCAGCAAAAUCUAUGAAUUGAAGCAUGGGGGGCUUCUUUGAAUAAAAUCUACUUUUAUUCCCGCACAAAAAAAUAGUUCUAUAAAUGAAACUCCCAGACUGAAAAAUUUUGAUUUGCAAUGUUAACUACAAUUUAAUUAAUUUAGGGUUAGAAUCUUACCUAAACUUCAAACUCUGAACCUCUAACCCUCGAGCCCUAAGAUCUCUAAUUCUCUAAUUUUGGUUGAUAGGGUUUUCUGAAUAAAGAAGGUAAGAGGAAGAUCUAAUUUAUACCUAGGAUUAUUAAUUGUAAAAGGACUCUUUCACCCUUAAUGAGUUUAAUUAAUGAAUUAAUUACUUGUAAUUUACUAUUUUGCCCUUAAAGUAAAUUUUGGGGUGUUACAUCCUCCUCUCCUUAACAAAAGUUUAGUCCUCUAAACUUGACAUAACUGGGUCUUGAAAAAGACAUGGGUGCUUUUCUCUCAUCUCCUUUUCUAAUUCCAAAGUGGCUUCUCAAAUACUAUGAUUGCUCCAUUGGAUCUUUACUAACUUGACAACAGCAUGAUGUAGUACGUACCUUGUCCAUCACAUCCACAAUCUGAAUUGGUACUUCUUCAUAAGUCAAGUCUUCAGAAAUCUAAAUAGGCUCCAACUCCAUCAAAUUUGAAAUGUGGAAUAUAUUAUGAAUCUUAGACAAGCUUGGGGGCAAGGCCACUUUAUAUGCCAAAGUGCCUACUCUUUCUAAUAUCUCGAAUGGACCCACAAAUCGAGGACUAAGCUUUCCCUUUCUCCCAAAUCUCAUCAUAGAUUUCAUAGGCAAUACUUUUAAGAAAACAUUAUCACCUACCUUAAACUCCAAAUUUCGCCUGCGAUUGUCAGUAUAACUUUUCUGUCUACUUUGAGCUGUCUUUAAUCUUUUUUUAAUUAAGGCAAAUAUUUCAACUGUUAACUGAACAAGUUUAGGCCCCAAAAGUUUUCUUUCUCCAACAUCAUCCCAACAAACAGGAGAUCGACAUUUCCUACCAUAUAGCCCCUCAAAAGGUGUCAUCCCAAUGCUAACUUGAAAGUUAUUAUUAUAGGCAAACUCUACUAAAGAUAAGUAAUCAUCCCAAUUACCUUUUAAGUCUAAAGUACAAGCUCUCAACAAAUCUUCCAAAACUUGAAUUACCCUUUCUAAUUGACCAUCAAUCCGAGGAUGGAAAGCAGUACUAAAACUCAACUUAGUACCCAAAGCUUUCUAUAGAUUAUGACAAAAUUUAGAAGUAAAAUGAGGAUCUUUAUCAGAUACUGUUAGGAAUUUGAGGCUAAUCCAACCUAUGAUAAUCACCCUAAAGGGGGGGUGAAUAGGGUGAUGGUCUCUUUUUCAAAUUUAAACUAAGUAAAAAUAAGAGACAAUUUAUAUGCAAGUAUAUGAUAAGCAAAAUAAAGACAAUUGCAUAUAAAUUAAAAGAGUUAGGGAAGAGAGAGAGCAAACACGAGAGUUUAUAGUGGUUCGGCGCAACCCGGCCUACAUCCACUCUCCUCAAUCUCCUAACCGAGUGAGGGUUCCACUAGCUUGAAGCUUCAACCAAGCUUCCAAUCUUCUUACAAUUGGAUUAUGGUUCCAAUUGACCCUCUUGGACUUUUGGCUCCAAGCACCCUUUACAAUUCUCAAGAGAUGUCCCUCUCUUGAAACUUCCUCUCAAGGUUUACAAAUAAUGAUCUCAAAGGUUUACAAAAAUCCUAGCACAAGAAUUUUAAGCUCAUAUGAUACAAGAAAAGCUAGGAUUGAAUGGUGCACUAAAGAUAUGCAAGUUAUGAAACAAUGGUGCACUCAAAAACACUCUUCCAAGGCUCAAAUAUAAUCAAGAAUGACUUGGGAAGGUUAAGCUUUUUAAACAAUGAAGAUUGGAGCCUUUUUAUAGAAGAAAAAAGCCAAACUAGCCGUUUGGGGUUCGACCGGUCGAGCUGGGGGUCGACCGGUUGACUAGCCGUUAGCAUUUAAUGCUUGGCAGGAGACCGUUGGGCCUCGACAGGGUCUCGACCGGACCUUGACCGGACCUCGACCGGACGAGGUUCGACCUUGACCGGUUGAACAACCGUUCUGGAAGAAAGAGAAAAUUUUUACAUUUUUCGAACGGUCGACCGGGGUACUGUUCAUCCGGUUCAACCGGUUGAGCUGGGGGUCAACCGGUUACUGUUCAUCCGGUUCACCCGAUUUAGCCAAUUGAGUCGUUUUUUGCCCAACAACCAACUUUUCCAACUUAUAACCUUUUAAACAAGUUUGAAACAACAUUUAACACAAGGUUUUAGUUGAAAACAUGAAAUCAUCCAAUUUUAAAAAUAUUUAAAACUAAAUAACUCUUGGAUGAUUUAGGUGCAUAAGUAAGGAAAAUAAUGCAUGGAAAUCCUAGUGCACCAACAACCUUACAAAGAGACUUAAGAAGCUUUGGUCUUGAAAAACUCUUCUCUUUGAGGUGGUCUUCUUCUUCAUGAUUUCUCCUUGGCUUGAUUUGUCUUUGGAUUGCCACUUUAGAAGUCAUCUUGCCUAAUCACACUUAAAAUGUAGUCAUUAGUUCUAAACCUUGUUUUGUUAUCAUCAAAAUCAAGAUUAACCAAACCUUGGUUUCACAGAUACUAUGGAAACAAGUACACCAUGCAUUCUCACAAUCUCCCUGACAUAUAAAGAAGCUAGAUGGUCCAUAGAGAAGUUGAUUUUCAUAGGCAAGAAGUGAGCAGACUUUGUCAAUCGAUCAACAAUCACCCGAAUAGUAUUAUUGCCCCCUAAGGUCCUUGGUAACCCUAUCACAAAAUCCAUAGUAAUAUGUUCCCACUUCCACUCAGGAAUAGAAAGUGGUUGCAAAGACCCUGCUAGUCGUUGAUGCUCAUCUUUCACUUGUUGACACACUAAACACUAAGCGACAAAUUGUGUAAUAUCUCACUUCAUACUUGACCACCAAUAAUUUUGUCUCAAAUCUUUGUACAUCUUUGUUCCUCUUGGGUGGAUCGCAAGCCUAGAACAAUGAGCUUCCUCCAAAAGCUCCCUCCUUAAGUCUCCAUCAUUUGGGACACAAAGUCUAGUCCUAAACCUCAAAAUCCCAUCAUUUGAUAAAACAAAGUUAGGCUUACUGUCCUUUUUAACCUUUUCCAUAAGUUGCACUAAUUUCAAAUCAUUCUUUUGUAGGGCCUUAAUUCUCCCAACUAAGUUUGGUUGCACUCUAAAAUUCGCCACAAGUGCUCCUGAUUCUAGAAAUCUAAUAUGGACAUGUAAACUCCUCAAAUCCUCUACUAAUCGCCUUUGACAACCUUUAAUAGCUACUAGGGAACCAACUGAUUUCCUACUUAAGGCAUUAGCUACAACAUUCACCUUCCCUAGAUGAUAUUGAAUAAAACAAUCAUAGUUCUUGAGUAGUUCUAUCCAUCUUCUUUGUCUCAUGUUCAAUUCCUUUUGGGAAAACAAAUACUUCAAGCUCUUAUGAUCAGUGAAUAUUUCACAAGUUUUACCAAAAAGAAAAUGUCUCCAAAUCUUAAGUGCAAAAAUCACUACAGCUAACUCCAGAUCAUGAGUGGGGUAAUUUCCCUCAUAAGACUUCAACUGUCUAGAAGCAUAAGCCACAACUUUUCCAUGUUGCAUAAGGACACAACCCAAACCCUGAUGAGAGGCAUCACUAUACACUACAAAUCCUCUUGAACUUGAAGGGAUAGUUAAAAUAGGAGUCGUCACUAAUCUAUUCUUUAACUCCUGAAAGCUAUGUUCACAGUCAUCAAACCACUAAAACUUAACCCCUUUCUAUGUCAACUUAGUCAAAGUAGGGCGAUCUUAGAGAAACCCUCAAUAAAUCGUCUAUAGUAACCAGCUAGUCCCAAGAAACUUCGGAUUUCAGUCACAGUAUUAGGUCUCCUCCAAUUUGCUAUAGUGUCUAUAUUUCCAGGCUCAACUGAGAUGCCAUCCUUAAUUACCACAUGCCCAAGAAAAGAGACUUUAUCUAACCAAAACUCACAUUUUUUCAAUUUAGCAUACAAUUGCUUAUCUCUUAGAGUCUACAAUACAAUACUCAAAUGGCGCUCAUGCUCUUCUCCACUCCUUGAGUACACCAAAAUGUCAUCUAUAAAAACCACCACAAACUAAUCUAGAUAUGGUUUGAAUACCUUAUUCAUUAAAUCCAUAAAAGCAGUAGGUGAAUUAGUCAAACCAAAAGGCAUAACCAAAAACUCAUAAUGCCCAUACCUAGUUCGAAAAGCAGUUUUGCAUCCUCACCUCUAACCCUUAGCUAAUGAUAUCUAGACUGAAGAUCAAUCUUAGAGAAUACAGAAGCACCCUAAAGCUGAUAAAACAAAUAGUCAAUUAGAGGAAGAGGAAAUUUAUUCCUCUCAACCAUGUAGAUAUUAUCUGCUUUGGACCCAAAAGGGCCUUCACGGCUUUAAAACGCGUUUACAAGGUUAAGAGAAGUCUAUACUUAUAUAGCACCAGGAACUUUCCCCCCUAUCUAAUGUGGGAUGUCACACAUCAGAUUCUUCAAAGGAUUGUGGCAUGCAUAAAAGAUAUCACAACUUACCUUGUCUAAGCAUGAAAGGUAGCUUUAUCCCCAACCACCAUCAUCUAGUUGUAACUUGAGUAGAAAAUCAGUUGUUUUGCGAACAGCAAGACAAUUUUGGUACGCCUUGCCGAUAGCUGCUAGCCCUCUCAGUGCAAACCAUGUGCCAUAGGUGAAGUAAAACCAUGUGCCAUAGGUGAAGUAGAGUCCCUAUUUUCCAUACUUAUGUAAAUGUUUCCUCAUGUAAAUCGAAUAUUCAAUAACUCAUACAAAAAAAAAAAAAAAAUUGUGCAAAUUCUUGAGCAAAUCUAAUAGUUGAGUUUAGAAACAUAUAUACCAUGAGCCAUCAGGCAUUUGUAUUUCUUCAAUGUACUGUACAACAUUUUUUAUGAAAAUUUCUAUCUCUUGCUUCUUGUGUCCCGGGUAUAACUUCUUAAACAAAACUAAAUCGUGGAUUGCUGAUGCAGUGCACUCAACAUGCUUGGACCAUUCUUCUGUUAAUCUUGAAGGAAUUUAAAGCAUGAAGAGUCACAAAAGAAAUCAACAUGCCUGAAUAGAAUCUUGCUCAUGUGCAAAGACCACAUCUUCAAACAUUUUAGUAGGAUUUAGUGACUGAAAGCAUUCAAGGAUUCUAUUGAUUUAGAUAGAUAGAUAUACAAAGACAGAGAGAGAGAUUCCAUCAACAAAGUUUAAAGUUACUUCAAUAUGUUGAGGUAAUUACCUCCAACCAUUUGGAAGCUCCUGCAGACUCCCAGGCUAAUAAACCACCAUUUUUACUCUAUAAAGGUAUAUAGAAAAUGGGGUUUAUUGAUACCGGAGAAAUAAUUCUGAGAAAGGUAAAUCCAAAGGAGGAAAUAUAAGAAAGCUUCCUACAAUUCUAAAAUCACAAAAGCCAUGAUUUGUUUAGUAAUUGAGACCGUAGAUAUAAUACAAGAAAGAUCAUCCUCACCUGUUGGGAAAGCAGGAGAUUGACAGAAUCAUAUAACCAUUCAAGUUCAAUUUUUUCCCCAACAAUUUCCAGCAGCAUUACUGAGAGAAGGAGACAACACUGUAACAGAGAUGAGAAUUCAAUUAAUGGAAAACCAUGCGACAAGUAUAUGAAGUGUUUGAACAAAAUUUAGUUACCUUCAAACUUUCUGUAGUGCAAUCAGAAACUUGCCAACCAUGAUCCCGAUCUGAGAAUGUCCAAGAUUCCUUAGAAAUGUGUAUGUACAUGCUUCAAAAAUCACCAAAAGGAUUGUCCCUAACCUACAAGCUUAAUUAGCUUUCAAAUGGCAUCAAGAAAUAAUGAUGAUUCAUAAGAAGAGAUGAUCUGAGAAAUUCAAGACAACACCUAAGAUUUCUUUAUGAAGCCAUGUCCUUUCAUGAGCGUGGCUCCAAUUUCAUCUUUGAGAUUACAAGCUAUCAGCUCUUGAAUGGCAAGACUGGUGUCCCACUACUAACUACCAAUGGUCUACAUAUCUCAAUGAAAAUUAUCAAAGUUAGGACUUUGAAUGAAGUUCAAUCUCAAAUACGAAACAAACUCUAAAAAAUAUAUAUAUAUAUCGGAUCUAACCUACAUCUUAAUUCCAUCUUCUGCAAUCCAUAUAUAAUCUAGGGGCCUAGCAAGGUGAAUCUUGAAAGAAUCCCCAUAUGGAUCUUCUACCCAACAAGCAAGCAUACACAAUACCUGCUCAAUUUAAGAGACAUUCUUCCAUUAGAGUUUCUUUUUCCUUUUAAACAUUUCAUAAUACGGACAAUCGUGUUACCUUCUCCACACAUGCCAUGGUAAUAUACCGACUAUUUUUAUCUUCAUAAUGAAUGUUUUUCAUUGUUGUUUCAAGAACCUUUUCUCUCAACUUGUUGAAAGGCAAAAUAUUUGCCACAUCAAAUCCUGUAUUAACAAAUGGGGAUAGUAGAGAUCCUCCUGCAAUAUAAAAUUUUCCAGAAUGUUUCAUGUAAGCAUGAAAUAUUUGGACAGAUGGUUCUAGUAUAACUAAAACUUACCUUUGCACAAUGAUGUCGUACUUUCUUCCAAUCGAUUUCAUUAUAAUGUUGAAGGAAGAGCUCUUCUCUUAGUUCUAGAAAAAGAGGGGUAAUUGGGCCAACGAAUCGUUUACCAUAUAAGUAUGACAUGUUCAUGUUAACCAUCCAAGAAUAGCACCACAUUUUUGCUGCAUUUAUGAAGCAAUUUUUUUUUUUUAAGAAACCUCUAUACAAGAGAAAAGAGAAAUCAGUUUUAGCACAAGAUGGUUAAAGUAGACAUGGAAGUGGCAUUCUGAAUAUCAACCAAACAACAUGCCAAAGCUUAGGUUUCUAACUCAGUAUGUGUGACCUGAUAAUAGAAUAAGACUGAAGGUGACAUGGCUCGACUUGCCUCUUGUCUGUUUUUUAGGCAUUAUUAUUGAUUCUAUAAUGACCCAUUCACAACUAUAUAAAAAUGAUCCAUUCUAGGCCUAAUGUAAGAGGGAGAGAGAGAUUAUGGUUGUUUGGUGGUGAAAACAUGAUUCUAAAGAGGACCCCAUAUCUCUUAUAGAAGGAUGUAGGGAUCAUUGCCUCCAUCUGCAACCUUGAGCCUCCACAUUUUCUAACUCACCAAACAGUCGAGAUAUCUCUCUCUCUCUCUCUCUCUCUCUCUCUCUCUCUCUCUCUCUCUAUAUAUAUAUAUAUAUAUAUAUAUCUAAGUUUACAAAUAUGUGUGUCUCCCUUCCAAAAACACCUGCUGGUCAUGCAAUCACUAUCCUUAUAUCAAAGGUAAGACAAGCUUUUCUUUGCAAUAAAUUAAGCUAAAAUGAUACAGACCAAGGACAGAGAGAUGGGUGCUGGGUGGGCAGAGAAGAGAGAAACUUCAGAAACUUGGAAUGGCGAGUUCCAGGUGGGAAUCACUCAUUCAUAUAGAAGCACAACACCAAGUCAGUCACCAACCCCCAUCACUUCUAAUAAAUAAAAAUAUAUAUAUAAUUAUCAUUUUAGGCCACUUUCAAGUUUCAAUCCGUCAAUCGACCCAACACAUUAAAUUUUACACAUGGAGAAAGUCAACUUCUACAAUAAAAAAAUAAAAAUAAAAAUGAUAUAAUUUGUUUUUUUUUUUAAAAUUCUUAGAUGAUUUUAUUCUUCAAAAUACUGUCCCAACAUAACUUUGAAAAGAAAUAUUUGAUUUUUUUUACAUUUAUGAAUGAAAAUAUUAAUUUUUAAUUUAUUCUUAUUUAUUUAUGUCAAAGAUAUUAAAUUGAUUUCUAAUUCAAUUAUGAAUUUUGUAACAUAAAUUUAUAUUUUUUCAGAAAAUAUAUCAAUCAUUCAAUCCUAAAAUUAAUAUACUUUAAAACAUACAUGAAGAAAUGACACAUCAACUAACAUUCUAAUUAGGUAUAUAGCAUUCAAAUUAUAAAUUCAAGUUUGUAAACACAUCAAUUAAAGUCUCAAUCAACUAACAUGUGAAAGAUUCCAUUUUUGCAAACCCCCCAAAAAAUGGAAAGGAAAUAAAUGACCUUCUGUGUUGUUGCCAUCAGUUAUAAUUAUGGUUCUUGUGGUUGUUAUUUGAACAUAGAGUAGAUGUUAAUCAUGUGACUGCUGCAUUUUUUUUUAAAAGCUGUGGGGCCUCCUUAAUAGUACUAUAAUUUAUGAACAACAGGCUUUGAGAGAGAUGGCUACGUCUUGUAUGUUGGCCCUUGUUUUUCUUUUCUGCUUAUCAUAAUACCAUGUCUUAUCUUUUCCUGUUCUUGAAAAAUGGCCUUAAUGGAGAUCAUGGCCCAUGCAUGCUAAAUAGGUGGCCCUGAUGCUUUAUACGCUACAUGUUCUAAAAGAAAAUCCCGAGACGUCCUCAAAGUGGCAGCUUGUUGUCAUCUUCUUUGCAUGGUAUGGUUGCCCUCCAAAUUUCAUCAAAACGUGUGGAUGCCUUUCACAAAAUCCGGUGGUGCCAUAUUCUUAAAGUGGCAGCCUUCUUUUUUUUUUUUUUUUUACAAAAAAUAAACUGAUGUGUAGUGGAGGUUCAAAGUGGCAACCUUAUUCUCAUCCUAGUAGUGCGUGGUGGAUACCUCUCACAAAAUCUGGUGGUGCAAAAAUCUGUGCGUGGAGGGGCUUUUUGAGUGGCAGCCUGCUGUGUAAAAUCCACAGAUGCAGCCUUGAUGGAGAUCUCUAGGUGCGUCAGUUAAAGCUCCAAUGCAUAAUCAGUCCGGUGCGUCUUAAGGAAGAUUUGGACAUUCAAUGCAUGCAGCUCCCUAUUCUCUCCGAGUAACAAGGACUGUUUAAGCUUUAACUCAGCAAAAGUAUAGCCUGAAAAUUAGAUAUCAAUGAUUAUGGUGCAUUCUGUUGCUUCAAUUGAUAGAAGCAUUGCUGCCCGACCAUAUGUCGUGCCACUGAAUUUAAAUUCUGAAGAUUUUAUAAAAAAGGACUGUUUCAGUUCUGACAAUCCCCAUCUUCUCAUUCCAUUUUCCAGUAGAUUUUAUGUGGAGAUCCAACCACAUGAAUUAAGAGUAAGAAGCUCAGCUAUUACAGGUAUGACGGGCAUGCCUAAACAAUAAUUUCAAGUUUCUAAGAGCAGUAGAUCCCUUCACAUCUUCAGAUUUUAGAAACAAGGCGAAAAAAAUACUCAGACUUCUCCACCCCGCAACCAUUCCAUUGCAAUUGUAAAUAUGCAGUAAGUAUAACCAGUCCAGUCUUGAAGGCCACUUCUUGUGCCACUGUAUUGGCUUUCAUUUUGGGAGCAAAUAAUCACCAGUAGGUCUCGAAAUCGAAAAAAGUUAGUGGCUCCCUCAUCUUAUGUAGCUUUGUACAUAUCUGUCUAGUUAACUCUAGGCUUCAUUAUAGAUAUUACAGUGUUGCGAGCCACGAAAAUGAUAUAUAGCUCCCAUGUCAAACAAUGCCGCAUCUCCAUCCUCAGAGGUUUUACCAUUUAGAGCUACUGUGUGCCACUUUCCCCGCAGCUUGUUCACUUCAAGAAUGCUAAAGUUUCUCCAGAGACAUCCGCAACAAUCAUAAACAGAGGAGCUCUCAGUGAUCUUUUCUAACAAAAGAAUUAUGCUCUUUAUCAUUGAAAUCUUCUUAUUUGUGUUGAACACUCUUGCAUUCUCAAGUUCAACAAUCAGUUUCUCAGGGUAUGUAACAAACUAUGGGGAGAUAUAUCUUCUGUCAAUAUUUGUUCCUUCUUCAACAUCAGCAAUUAUUUCAAGAAAGAAUGAUGACUCAACAAAUAAGAGACCGUUUGGCUCAACCUAAUCAAUUGCAUCAACGAUCUUGAACCCAAUGAACUGUUUAUUUCCCACAGACACAGAAGCAAUAUCUUUGAUAUCAAUAUUGACUUCAACAAGUUGAGCUUACGUCUCCAACUCCUUCACUAACUCACGUACAGUUUUGUAGUUCCCUUUUUCUAUGAAAACUAGAUUUGGACCAGAUUUAACACUUGGCAGGCCCAAGGGCGUGAACCAGAAGUAGAUGAAAGCAACAAAAACAAGGCACGAAUGGGUAAAACAAAAUGGACUAACAAAAGCCACAUUUCAUGCCUAAACAACAGAUCAAGAACAAGUAAUACAAACUAAGAGCAGCAAUAUGAUUAUCAAAUGCCAAACCUAAAGAUAAAUCCAACUAUUUACAAGGGGAAAUCAAAGAAUCCAAAAUGUGACCAGAACAGAGCAUGCAUGCAGACAAUUAGAUUCAGUCAAAGCAACCAAAUAACUCCUGAUGUCCACACCAAAUCAACAAGAUAAUGCUCAUAAAUCUAAAGAAAAUGAAAUAAAACAGUAUUGAAAACAAAGAAGAAAUGAAACUCAUAGUGAUCUUACUUGAAAGGCUCCACCCAAGUAAGGUGUGUUCGCCUUCCACUCAUCAGGAAAUGACCGCUCUUUAAUACUGGUGAUGUUGCUGAUCUCUCAACAUGCCACCAUUUUUCUAAAUUUCCAAUUCCCCAAAUUAUGUGUCUUCUAUUCUCCAACUCACGUGCCUUCUCAAAAGAACCUGGAGAUCCUCCUCCAAAGCAGUGUUAGCUUGACUUCAAGUGAGACCUACCUCAAAAUUUGGCAAAGCCAAUCAAGCUUUCUCUCUUCUGCUCCUCUACCUCUAGUUUUUCUCUCCAUUUUGAACUGGAGAAUCCAUUUUUCUUCCUUCAAACAUCUUCUUCCUCUCUGUCCAAGAAAAAAUCUUGUGCCUUUCUUCCUCUCAAACGUCUCCUCAAUGUCCCAUCCUAUUCUUUUACAACUCUUAUAUCCCUCCUGUCUCUACUCUGCUCCACUCCAAAAAAAAACUUUUGAAUAUCCUCUCGUAAUCCACCAACUUCUCAUUCCUGAUGGCCCUUUUCCACUUUCCCACCAAAACUCUUUAAUUCUCCCAAAAAUUCAACCUAUGUCUCCUUCCCCCAUGGUCUCUUUUUCACUUUCCCACCAAAUUUUUUUUUAGCCUAAAUAAAUGAGUAAAUAAAAUAAAAACAAAUAAAAAGGAAUUUUGGAAAAAAAAAAAUAUAAUAAUAAUAAUAAUACUAUUAAUAUCAAUAAAAUAAUAAUAAUCUUAAUAGUAAUAAUGAUAAUAGAAACAAUGGUGACAAAAACAAUUCUAAUGAUAAUAAUUAAAAAAAUAAAAUAAAAUGACAAUAAUAAUAAUAAAAAUAUACAAUGGCUAUAUAUAUAUAUAAGUAGAUAUGAAAAUGAACAAAUAAAUAAAUAAAUAACUAGAUAUGAGUACGCAACAUGUAUUUAUAAACAAAACAUGCAAGCUACGUAGGUCAUGCAAGCCACGUAGGCCAUGCAAGCCAUGUAGGCCAUGCAAGCCAUGUAGGCCAUGCAAGCCAUGUUAACCAUGCAAAUGACUUACGAGUGAUGGGAUAAGCCUAAGUGGGCUAGGUGCCUAAUGGGCCUAAAUAUGUCUCAGCAAACUGUCAUAAAAGUGUACCUAAUAUCCAAAAUGGCUCAAAGAAGCAAGUUAUAUGAGUAGCAAUGGGCCAAUAAAAACUACUGUGGAAUAAUGAAAGGGCACUUAAUUAGGGCAUUCCAAGGAGACAAAAUGGAGGGUCUACACACUCAAAAGACAAGAUAAAAAGUCGUAUACAUUCAAUCAAUGAAAAAUUAAUCAUGUACUAAAAUAUUAAAAUUCAAUUAUGCAAUCACAAAUAAAAAAUCAAUUAUAAACUCAAAAUUAAUGUCACAUAUAAUCACAAGUAAUAAUCAAAUAGGAACUCAAAAUUAAAAUCAAAUAUUCAAGAUUCAAAUGUGAACUCAAAAUUAAAAUCACUCAUGCACUAAAAAUUAAUCAUGCAAUAAAAUCAAUCACAUGCACUCAAAAUAUCAAAAAUCAUUCAUGUACUUAAAAUAUAAAAAAUCAAUCACACACUAAAAAUCAAAUAACAAACCAAAGCUCAUCUAACCUAAAAACAUGCAAUCAAAAUCAAAAUCAGACCUAAUGCACUCAAAAAAUAGUAACUAAACAAUAGAAGGACUCACUAGAAAAUAAACUCCUAAACUAUAACCAGAGCCACUAAAAAAAACCACACUAAGGAUCCAUAUAAUCCUCCAAGAUAUAUAUCCAAAAAAGGUCCAAAAACAAUGAUAAGGUGAAUAGUAGUAGACCACCAAUGGAGACACAAUAAAAACUAAAAAAUAGAUUCUAAGUGCGCAAUGAAGGAUCAUGAUAUGAAGGAAGACAACUACUAGAUAAAAUGUGCCAAGAUGACAAAAUUGAGGGUCUACAAAUAUGCCCAUCUUCGAUAGAGAUCAAGAGUGUAAUGAAUAGAUCACUGAUACACGAGAGAUGAGUGAAACGAAGUGUCCCAAAUUCCUAAUUAGUAUAGAUUCUUUUUUUCUUUUUUUUUUAAAGAAUAUUAUAUAGAAUAUUUCUAGGUUGAUAUAUUAUUGUAAUAUUAGACUUUCUUAUAGAAUAAGGAAGGUUGUUGGAAAUAUCCCUAUAAAUAUUCUAGGUCAUGAGGAGAAAAAGUUAUGAGAUGAAGAUGGGCUUGUAAAGACUAUGCAAGGUGGAUAAAGAUGUAAAGAAGAACGGGAGGUACCCGAUGGAGUUAAAAGGCUCGUGGUAGGGUAGGGAUACGAAGAGUGGGGAAACACAAGAUGUUUCGAGAACCCAAUAAUUGUAUCUGGUUAUGUCCUUUGUAAUUGUUAACCCAAGGGUUCUCCUAAUUGAGUUUUGAUGAUAACCAACCAUGGUUAAGUGACUAAUUCGUUUAAUGGUUAAGAAUCUCAGGCAUAAACUCGAAAAUUCAUCAAAUGACCAAAUGGAUACAAGAUCGAGACUUUUGGAAGACUUGUGAUCAUAGAAAACAAAUGUAAGAUGAAUACAUGGGUGCACUUAAGUUUUUCAUACUAUUUCAUGCAUUUUUGAAAACUCGGUUUAUCAUUUAAACUUUCAAUUUCAUUAAAACCUAAGUUUUAUCAAAUAUACCUUAGGCAAAAUGUUUUAAAAUUGGCAUAAUAAUUCACCUAAAGACCUUGCCUAAGAGUUAGAAAAUAAAGGAAUUGAAAAAGAUAGGUUUUUGGGGCCAAAUGGCUCAACUGAUCGAGGCUAUGGUCAAUCGGCUCAACUAGUUGGGGAACCGGUUAACCGGUUUCCCUUGUCCGGUCGAGGAUGCCCAAAAUCUUCUCUUUCUCCCAAUAGCCUUUUCUUCCCGAUCGAGGUUCGGUCAAGGCAGCAGUAACCUGUCAAAACAUUAAAUGCUCCAAAGGCUAGUGAUAUGGUCGACCCCUAGCUCGACCGGUCGAGGUUACCUUUUACUGUUUUUGGCUCCCGAGAUUAGAAACCUAUAAGUUGAGAGCUCCACUUCAUUUAUGAACAAGAGAACACUUGCAAUCAAUUGUCUACCUACCUGUUCUUGACCAAAAAGCUCUCAUUUCUUUCUUAGUGCAUUAAAUCAUCACUUGCAUAUCCUUUAGUGCACUCUUAUAUGUCAUCCUAGCUUUAUCUUGUAUUUGAGCUAUCCUUAAGCUAGGUUGAGGGAUUCAUUCUUGUAAAAAUUGAGUGUUAAAGCCUUCAAGAGGUUUGAAUCUUGAGGAGAUUGUGUAAGAGCCCAUUAGAGCCAGAAUCUAAGUGUAAAAAGAUUGAAAGUUUGGUUGAAGCUUCAAGUUAGUGGAACCCUCACUCGGUUAGGAGAUUGAGGAGAGUGGACAUAGGUAAGGAAGUGUCGAACCACUAUAAAACCCGAGUUUGAAUUCUCUAACUCUAUCUCUUUAUUUUUGUUUAUAUUGUGCUUGAACUUGUUGUGUUUAAUUAAUUUUUAAAAAACCCAAUGCUCUGGUUUUGUCCUCUAUAAUGUUCUUUAUUGUAGAGUGAAAUAAUUUUCUCUCAUUCGUGGAUGUUGCCAUGGUUGGCCGAACCACGUUAAAACCCCGUGUACCAUUGUGUUGAUUAUUUUAUCUUUGUGUUCUUGAUUAACGAUGAUUGCGUCAAAACUUCCGCCAUCGCAACAUGAAGUGAACUAUACCAAAGAAUAAAAAAGAGCCUGAAAUUUUGUCCUGACACAUGACAUGAUAAACUCAAGGAUUGACCACACAUGGGGGAAAAUGUACUCUCGAUAAGGGACAUUAAAGAAAUCUUAUGCGAUGAAAUGAUGGAAACAAUGAAUAUGAUAAAAUAAUGAGAACAAGGACUAUAAAACUGCCAUCUCUGAACAUUAAGAAACUAUGACCUUGAUCGCCAAAGAGAGAAAAAAAAUUGCUUUAAACGUCAAAUAAAAAAUAAUGGCUCUGAACACUAAACCUAAGAAGAAUGGAUCUAAACGCCAACACUAGGAAAACAAAUGGCUUUGAACGCCAAUACUAAAAACAAUGGCUGUGAAUGCCAAACUAAAAAUGAUGACUCUAAAUGGUAAAUAAAAAAAUAAUAGCUCUAAAAGCUAAACCAAAGAGGUGGUUUGUACCUUUCCUAAGAAAAGUAUACUAGAGAUCUUUAGAAAGCACAUAUGCUAGAUUGUUCUGCCAUAGCCACGCUUACAUCUAUUAAAGAUUCACUAAUUAUAGAUUAUUUACAACCUUUGAAUUUGAGUAUGACACCUUGGUUGGUACCCUCAAAACCAAAUAUCACUCACGCAGUUAACAAAGUGUGCCAAGACCUCCAACAACCAAGGCAAAUCUUAAGGAUGUGAAACAAAUCCUAUGUUGUUUAAAAAGUACCUUAGAUUACAACAUUCACUUAUUGGCUUAAAGCUCAAUAUCAUUAUAUGAUUUUGUUGAUUCUAAUCGUGCAGGUUAUCCGAUAACAAUGAGUAGCACCAUUGAUUUUGUGUUUAUCUUGGCAGCAAUUGUAUUUCUCAGUCUUCUAAGAAACAAGAGUCAAUAGUAUGCCCUUGAAUAGGGGCAAAGCACCACUCCAAGAUUGCAACUUUUGCAAAAUUAACUUGGCCUAUAUUUCUUUUAUGUGACAUUAGCUUACCACUUCCCCAAUUUCCAUUUCUCUUUUGUGAUAACAUAAGUGCAUUACACAUGGCCAAAAAUCUGGUGUUUGAUGCACAAACAAAGCACAUUGAAUUAGAUUACCAUUUUGCCUGUGAAAAGUUGUUGUGGGACACCUUUAUGCUAAAUAUGUUCCUAGUUAUCUUCAAAUAUCUAACAUUCUUGCUAAGACUCUAGCUAGAAAGGCUUUUAGUAUGUUUAGCUUCAAGUUAGGAGCUCAAUGCAUGACCGCACUAGCUUGAGGGGGUUAAACCUCCUUUACAUUUAUCUCCACAACCAAACAAAUCAACAGGUCACCUUUUGAGACAAAUAUGACAAUAUGCAAGUGUAGACCCUCCAUCUUAUCCUAGUAGCAUAUGUUAUUCAAUAUAUUUUCCUUCACUUCUCAUUGCCUUAUAGUCGUCCCAUGGUGGUUUAUUUGUCGCUCAUUUGGUACUAUUUUUUAAGCCACCUUCAAAGAUUCAUUGUUGAUGGAUUUAUUUAUUUAUUUAUUAUUUUUUAUGGAUCCCAAUUGUGACCUUAGUUGCAUGCUUAGUCUAACUCACUUAGUUUACUUAGUUGCAUUUUAGGUUUAGUUCACUUAGUCACAUGCUUAGUCUAGCUCACCUAGUUCACUUAGUUGCAUUUUAGGUUUAGUUCACUUAGUUGCAUGCUUAGUCUAGCUCAGUUAGUUUACUUAGUUGCAUUCUAGAUUCAACUUACUUAGAUGCAUUUUAGGUUUAGCUCACUUAGAUGCACUUUGGUUUAGUUCCCUUAGAUGCACUUUAGUCUAGCUCCCUUGGGUUCAUGCAUGAGGGGAUUUUUAGGAAGGAAGAGACCUUUUUUUUUUUUUUAGGAAGACACAAUUGCACAUUGCAUGAGGAGAAGAGAUUCAUGCAUAGGAAAACUUUUAUUUGGAAUAUAUGGGCUAUCAUUGAGAGGUACACUACUAUUAGAGACUAAUUUUGGAAAAAGGAGUUAGAGCUGACACUAAUUGAUCUUGAAGAAAAAAUGAAGCAUCUUGAGAAUAAAAGUCGAAGUUUUGAAGAUCAAGAAGGCAAGACUCAGUGCAGGGAAACAAAGAAAGAAGUAAGCUUGCAAUCUUUUGGAGGAAAGGUAUGAUUUUUUUUUUCUUGCAUAUCUCGAUUAUGGUUAUCUCUUUAUUUAUUUUUUUUUUCCCAUCAUGUUUGAGUGUAGGAAUUCUCUUUGUUUGGGGUAGAUAAUGAAGGCCACUUUGAUUGUUGUUAAUUGGAUUGUUGAUGACAUAUUAAUGAGAAGUUGAUGAAUGGUUAAUUGAUCUCAUGUUGAUUAAUGCUUAUUAGAAUUGAGAUUAGAGUUAUUUUCUUUGGAAUUAUUUUCAAUUGAUUGAGGCCUUUUGAUAACAUACAAUAGGUGGCUAAGAGAUCCUUUAUUUGAUUUUUUUAUGCCUUAGGUUUUAUUUUUGGUUAUUCAUUUUUUAUUAUGAUGUUUGGAGUGUUCACCUUGCUGUUGUUUUGUUAGAAUUAUUGAACCUUUGUAAUUAAAAAAUUGAAUCAGGUUAUUUUACGUCUCUCUAAAAUUUUUCAUAUGAUUGCAUGAUGUUGUAGACUUCCCAAAUAUAUUGAUAGAAGUUUGUUUGAGUCUAAAAUCAUUUUUCAAUUAAGAGAUAUAAACCAAUUUUUCAAUAGGUUCAUUUUUUCACUCUAUUUUGCACACCCAAAAUUGUUUUUUAAAAUUAAAUUAUUUCAUGAUCUCUAUAAUUUUUUUUUUUAUAUUUUUCCAUUAUUAUAAAUUCUUAAGUUUAAUUUUAGGACCCUGAUUUGUUGAAAAUCGAUUCUCUAAGUAGAAGAAAAAAACUCUUUUUCCUACACCUAUUGCACUAACCCCUUUUUGUAGUCAAGGGAAGUUUGGCUUAAUUUAAAAAUUCACAUUGUAUUAUUAAGUCAUGUUGUUAUUUUUUCUGUAAGUUAGAUAUAUUGAAGGUAUUGUACAAUUUUUUUUUCAUAAUUUUGUCAUGCUUAUAAAUAGAUUAAUUAAAUUAGUAUUUUCAUGCUAUAGGAUUUUGCUCUAUUUCUAAUCAAUAUAUUUGUGAUUAAAUCAAGUAUUAAACGAGAUAUGAUUUGAUGAUGAAGCCUUUUGGGUUGUAAUCUAGACACAUAGGGGAUGUUGUCCAAGUAUUUUCAUGGUGAAAUUUCAUCUGUAGAUAUUUGUUUAGGAUAUAUUUUGCAAGUGUCUUUGUUCUAGAUGCAUGUUGAAUAUUGUUCUGUAAAGUGUCCUUAAUUAAAUGUUUUGGGAUUUUGCAUUGUAAUAUAGAGACAUUGAAGAUGUUACCAAUAAAGUAGUGAUUUUGCCACUGCAAGGCUCUUCAAUUUCUUUCUUAAUUUUUCAAUUUGCACGACUGUGGAAACUUUUACACAUCAAUCAUUUGCUACAAUAAUAAUCAUGUAAAUUUGGUCCACUUUUCCCAUUCUCUAUAAUUGAUUAGCUUAGGAGCUGUAUGGAGAGGAAAAUGACAUGGGUCGGUGUUUGACAAUAAUAUAUAGGAGACCUCUGAUGCAGGCUCUUGGCAUUAAAAUGAGCUAAAGAUGGGUUUGGAAACCACUUUCAAAUGAAAAUUGACAUGCAUAAUUUUUGGUGUAUUUGUCACAUGCAAUAAAAAUUACUUAAAUAGGAGUGACUUUGUCACAUGGCUUCAGAUGGAAUUACAGCACAGUAUUGGAAUUAGUAUUCAAAUGGCUGCCCUAUGGAGAGUUUUUUAGGCCUCAAUCCUAACAGUAUAGGUUGACCACUCGGAAAUUAGGACCACAAACUAGCCUAGGCUUGAUCCAGGCACUGCUUAUGGACACAUUUCACUUAACUUCUUUGAUCUGUUACUUGUAUUUAUUGUGACACUUGUUCCUUCUUGUUUAUCUGAUCCAGGAAGCUUGUUUUAUCAAAGAAGCAAGACCUUUCGAUGUUUAUGGAUGAAUUCCUCUUGUCAGCAUUGGUUCUUUAAUAUUCACCAAAAAGUGAACAAGCUUGGAGCCUUAGGUAGAUAUUUUACAAAGCCUUCUGUACUGUUAUCUUAUGCUAAGUACUGAAUAUAAAUGUUGUUGAGGGUACCACCAGUGACAUGCAGAUGCAAUGUUUAUUAUGAGAACACCAACGGCAUAGUGCAUCAACGGAUAUUUGAGUUUUCCGAGAAGGAGGCCUUUACAUCAUCGACCAGAUCAGGAUUAUUUGAUUUUAGUAAGGUCCUGCUAUUGUUUUAUUCUCUUGCACAAACUAUUCUUCAAAAUAUGAUUAGAUAAUCUAAAGUCAGAUCAAUGCAUUUUACUGAAUCACGGGAUACAUCCAUGGACUCACUACCAUAUGCAAAUUCUUUACAUACAAGUAGGUAAUAAACAAUAACACGCCAAGAAUUUCUACAAUUGGACUAAAUCGUGACCGUAAAGUUUGAGAUACGAAAGAUAUAAAAACGAAACAAUAAAAUCUUGUAGAAUGAAAAGGUCCCAAUCACGCCAAGCAUUGCUCGCCUAAUUGGAUAUUAAAAGAGGUGUCAUUCACGUCUCACAACCAAUCUGGCACGUUAAUUAGAAGACGUUCCGUAACUGAAGGGAACUUUCAUCUGUGUGCAGUCACCAGGGUUUCUAUAAACCGUAAGCCGUCGAAUCGGGGCGCGAAUUUUUCCUUAUCAGCUGAUGAGGAUGUAUGGGAAAUCUGAGUGUUAUUUUUCCCCAAAGACAGUGGCAAGCCCUAAAGAGAAUAAGACACGAGUGUAAGAGAUCGUGAAACUCUGAAUAAAUAGGAAAGAAAGAAGUUUUACAAAUGCAAAGCCCUAACCUCAAUCAUAAGUAGUAGAAAAAGGUGAUCAAACUUUUCAUUUGCUUAACAUUGUUCAAAGGGUUUGACAUUGCUCAACAUUAUCUGAGCUUUUCUCCUACAGAUGCUUCUUUGGCAUGGCAAUGCAACCAGACUUAAGGCGAUGGCACUCACUUACAUACUCUGCAAGAGCCCACAAUGGAAAAAUAUUCCUGUAAUCUGCAUAGUGUAACAUGCAGUUCUUCAUGAAGGCUCCAGUGAUUUCCUGCCAUAGAUAAUUGAUGAUCAAAUGGUUAGACUACCACCCAGUAUAUAUAGUCAGCUACAAAAGAACAUCAUUUU